UUUUGUUUUUCGUUUUUUUGUGUCGUCGUCAUCUUCUUCUUCUCCGUUCUCCAAAGUUUCCUUCAUUCUGCAUAAGCUAGAAAGAAAACGAAGAUUAUGAACAAAGAGAAAAAAAUCAAAGUAGAAUGAGAAAUAGGUAAUUGAAAUGAAAAAUAGAAACAAGAAGUUAUUCAUAAGCGAGAAAUAAUAUUUAAACACAAAGAAAAAAAAAACAAGAAAUAGAUACUUGAAACAAGGGAGAAAAACAAUAAAGAGAAACGAGAAGGUGUUCACAGGUGAGAAAAAAGCAAGUAGUGCAAAUUUUGAGUAUGAUGUUGGGCAAGGACAAGUAACGAAAGGUCGAGAAUGAGAAACGAGAAAUAGAAACAAUAAGAAGUUUAUAGCAAAUUGGUCUCGCGUGCAGAUGAGAUUAUUUUGGUAAAUUCAUACGUUGUUGACGUCAUCAUAAGGUCAUUACUCAUAACAAUUUGAAUUGUGGAUCAAAUUUCAUUUGGACCACCAUUUGGCGGUCAUUUGUACAAAAACCUCAAUGAUUAUUCAAGACUAUAACAACCAACUCUCUCUAAUGAAUACUAUCUUGUACUUCCUAUUUGCCUACAAUCAACACUAUUUUAGAACCUCUAAUUUGUAAUAGCAUUUACUAUUUUACAUUCAUCGUUCCUUUUAUUAUUUGAUUUUCUACCAUGUUUACUAUUUCAUUCUUAAACUAAAUUAGUUUAUAGCUCAAACAUUAUAAUCUAAACUAAAGUAAUCUAAAUCCAAAAUACAAAUUAUUACAAUCUAUUUAUAGUAAUCUAAUAUUAUAGUAAUCAACUUCUCAUACCAAACGGGAGCAUCCAUUGCUCCAUCUUUCCCUCAUCUCUUGUGAGGUUUGUUUUAUAGAGUUUUUCAGUGCUUGACCUUGGCCUUCUCAGCUUUUGGCCCCAACAAAUACACUUAGCUUUGGACCAAUAGAGCAAUUACAUUUGAGCUAAACUUAUGGUUACGGUUAUUUUAGCUAUUGUUCUUAUAGAUAUUCGUAUUCACUCUCACCCAUUUCAACUCUCAUUUAUUUCAAUUUUUAUAUUUUCUAGAAAAUAACCUUAAAUUAAAAAUCAUGAAAACAAUUUUUUUUGGUAAAUACUAAGUUGAAUAUCUAAAAAAUAUUGUAAUUGAUUCAAAAUAUUGGGAUAUAUAGUAACACUUUUUCUUUUUUAAAAUGUAAUUAUAGCAAAAACUACGUCAACAAACAUUGAUUUAUCAGUAAUAGAUCGUAAGAACCUAUCCGUAAUAAAAGUCCAUCCCAAUAGACUCUACCAUAUAAAGUUACCACCCAUUAUUUAUAAUAUAUAAACUAUAGACAAACAAAAGUUACUAAAGAAAAAUGUUAUUAAAAAGUAUCAUUUUUAUUUAUACACUUUUCAAACUUUCUUAAUAUUUAAAAAGAUUACUUUGAGUGAAUUAGCAAAUCCUUCCUUUUUCUCAAAAUUAUACACUUAAAAACGUACCAUAAAUUAUAACCAUCAUUAUACAUAUCAUAAAUCAUAACAAUCAUAUAUAUAUUGUUUAGGGUACAUCUAUUAAACUUGUCAUACCCCUAAUGUGUCUAUACUUAUAAAAUCCAGAUUUUUCUUAUAUUUUAUAAAUAUUUUAACAACUUUACCACAUAGACUAACUCCUCUUCCCAUAUAGCAAUAUACUUAAUUUUCACUUCUAAAGCAAUACUUCAAAAGAAGAAAAACCAAGAACUCAAAAGUUCCAAGUUUUUAUUUAGUACUACAAAUACAAAAGUACAUGCUCAAUGUAGUAGUAGAACUUCAAUAUUGCCUACCCAUUAAUAGUAAUUAUUUUAAUUUCUAUGGCAUGCUUGUGUGAUUGGAAUAGGAGGGCUUGAUAACGAACCACUGAGAAUGUGACUUGCAACAAAGUGAUUAGCGGCCUCAGAGUAGUGGACUCCAUCCCAACUCACAUAUUGAGCUCUGUUUUCACAUGCAUCUCCAAACACCAAGCUUCCAUUUAUGGGUGCUUUCGUCCCACACCACACAUGGUCAUACCUCACAUGGUACCCACAACAUACUUUGAGAGGUUCCGGAAACCCUGCAAAAAAGUUCGAUAAGUGAAAUAGAUGUUGAUUCAUAUUUUGUAUAUCUACACCAUGGUUCAAUUAGCUUAGAUCUUAAGAAACUUAGGACCGAGAAAGAUAGGUGUAUCAACCACUGAGAAACACGACCACUUUGUAGUUUGCUAGCAUGUCCAUUUGAGUGUUAGUGCAACGGAUAGUGUUAGAUAUUAGUUAGUUUUACAAACUCAAAAUAGGACCAAUAUUUAUUAGAGAUGGCACGUAUAGGAGGAUAAAAAUUAUAAAAUUGAAAUAAAUACAUGGAACUUAUUUUCUUAGGCAGCCUAACUACGGGUAUUUCUAUUCUUUCAUUCCUCAUCUCACAAUUCUAGGCAAUAGACUCUCAAUUCUUUGUUUGCUAGAAGAAAAACCACGAAAAUGUGUAGUAGAAAGUGUUAUUGAUGAUUAAAAGAUGGAAGAAUAACCUUGAGUUUUGCCAUUGCUGAUUAGAGCAUACUUGGCAGCAUAGACAUCCACAUAGGUAAUGGCAGCAUCUGGGAGCUCUGCCCUAAGCUUGUCCAAUUUUGCUUUGAGCUGAUUAUUUAACUCCAUUGAAAUAUCAUUUUGAGCCUUGAUACAACCAUGCUCAUCAAGGAUGCCAGGGGGAGGGUUCAGAUUGUAAAAUUGGUUCACUGGGAGGCAACCAAAUGGCCCUGUAUUGUGUAUCCAAAAUGAUCUCCCUCCUAGCUUGUAUAUUCUCUGUAAUGAAUCAAAUGACAACCAGAUUUCACGUUCUCAGAAAAUAACAACAAAACAAAACUAUGUUCUUCAUCAGUUUGAGCUUGUUUUCAUUACAGAAAAUAGAGGUAUCUUUUUCUGGUCAAAACCCAGGCUGAACAACAUCAAACCGAGAUUUAAUAAUGUUCAACACACAUUGAGUAACUGUCUUCUAGAACUCAUCUCUCUUAUUUUCUUCCCACAAAAGACUUCUCUAAGCACAAUCGAAGUUUGUUUCUCUUCCUCUAAUGCACUACCUACAUUUUGAACUUUUUAAUAUUAAAUCGCCGAUUCAUCCAAAAGUAAAAACUUGAGCUAAUGGGAGAAGAUUAAUUUAAUAUAUUAUCAACACUCUAACACUUGUCUAAAAGAAAGAAAAAGAGAAAUCUCACCGGUUUUUAAAACAACUCUAUAAAAGUAGCCUAAAAACUAAACAGCCCACACCAACAUAUGACCGCAUGGCAGACAACUCCGUGAGAUAUCAAGAAUGACAAGGAAACAGCUCUGUGAGAAAGAAGGGUGAGUUUUCUUCUGCUUACUUGAAUUGCAGAGGCAAACUGGUUAGCAAUGUCAGGCAAAGCAGCACGCAGUUGAUCAAUGCUCAGCUUUCUAAACCCAACAGCUAAAUCAUUUUGCCCGAUAUCAAAAGUGUAGAGUGCUUUGGAGUAAUCCUCUGGCCUUGUAAGUUUCUCUCUGUCAUAUGGGUUCUUGGCUAAAAUCAUCAACAACAACAAAUUUCAGUAUAGGAAAAGAAAAAAGGUCAACUUACAAAUUGCAAUUUUAACCCCGAACUUUGACUGUUGUGUCAAUUUAAACUUUAGUCUUUGCAAAACAAAACUUCAAUUGUAUCGUUCUAUUAAAUCUACUUCAUUAAUACCACUAUUUAGUACGUUAAGAAUUAAUUUAGAAUGGUGACUUGACAUGCUUAUUGAUCAAUGACCUAAUUCCAACAAGUAGGUUGGCAUAAUGAAAAGAUUUGAUAUGUUGACUUAACACAAAUAGCAAAUGUUAACUAUAUUUAAUUAGAAUGAGAUGACAAGGGUCAAUCGUUUUAAUUUAGUACCCUACCCCAUACAAAUAGUAUACACUUGGAUAAAAUCAUCAGUCUCAAUAAAAGCUAGUUCACCACUAGAUUUGUUGUUAAAUCACACAGAAAGUAAAGUAAAUGAUUGAAGUUAUGAGUCUUUGGAACCUUGAUUGUAGAGAUCAUUGGAGCGAGCUUUGAAUUGUUCAAACUGUGUAACCUGCAUAUCAAGAAAAAACGGACUAAUUCCAUACUCAUAAAUCGUUUCAUUCGGCUUCCGUACAGUCGACCCCCCGGUAGCGAAAUUGGCGCCGUGCCGGAAAUUAGCACCAAGCGAAUUCAGAUAAGCACUCAAAUACGGCAAUCUCAACUUCUCGGCUACAAAAUCAUCAAGAAACCCCAAAAUCAACACCAACAAUCCCACCCGUAAACUAAGAGAGAGAGAACCGGAAUCAAUGUUGCGUCACUUACCGAUGAAAUCAAUGAUCAGACGACCAUCACUAUCUCUUCCGGAUGGCUUGUUGAAGAAUACAUCACCAUAUGGCCAUCGAAUGGGCUCGAAAGCGGCGGAGAUGGCGCCAGUAUCGGAAUUCGAGUCACCGAAGUUGAAAAUCACUGGAAAGUUACAGUCCGGUGCAGCCAGUGCAACGAAAACGUGAAAAACCAAAAAUGCCGACAGUGCCGUCGCCGUAAACUCCAUUUUUGCCCUGCAAGUGAUUUCUGGAAGAAGGUUUUAGAGAAAAUGUAAUAUGUUCAGAAAAUUUAACAUUUAUAUAUUAUAUAUAUGAGUGCUCUUCACAUUUGCCACACACAUACUCUCUCUCUCUCUCUCUCUCUCUCUCUCUCUCUAUUCGUACAUUAUCUUGUUCGAAGUUCGAAGGUCUGGUGUUGUGCGGCCAUGGCCAGAGCUUCAGCGGGAGUGGGGGGAAAAAGUUAUCUUAACGUUUUGUUAUAAUGUCGGUGAAGAGUGGAAAGAUUGGGUGGAUUGGGACCGUUUGAUUGGGAUGGUGAAUGGUGAUCGUCCGGCUGUGAUUUGAAGUUGGGGGAAUCGAGGAGAAUAUCUCAGCCGUGGAAUGGAUCGACGUGUCACGUGAGUGGAUAAAUAUAUAUUAUUUAAUGCAGACUCUCUUGUCCUUUUCUCAACGUCAAUCAAACAACCCAAGUUAGUAAUUCUAUCGUUAGAAUUUGGUUUUUGAUUUAUUGGUUGGUAAAUUCAAUUUGUAAAAUUGAAAGUAUUAUGUUUAAUUAUUGAUAUGUGUAUGUGGAAAGUUAGGGUGGAGUAAGAAUAAUUAUAGUAUGGAAUAAAAUAAUUAUUAAAGAAAAAUAUAAAAGAGACGAUAGAAUGGGUUAAUUUCAGUUUUGUUCGUUCUAAUUAUCAAAUUAGUAAAUAUUAUAAUUCAAAUACAAAUAAAAGUUUAAACACACAACUAAUAUAAUAUAUUAACAUCUCUACAAGUUAAUUUGCUAUCAACAAAACUUCUUUCAAACGUGUAUACGUUGUAAAGGAGAUGUUAUAAGUGUGUCAAUAGAUCAUAGCUGUGAAAACUCGAUGAAACAAUAGAAAAUCAACGACAAGCGUGCAUGAUGGGAACUUGGGGGUCGGAAAAUGAGCCUUUAACAAUUUGAUUAGCAAUCCAUUGGUUUGCAGCUUCAGUAUAGUGGACUCCAUCCCAACUGAUGAAUUUUGAAGGAUCUUCACAAGAUCCAGCAUACACUUCGCUACCAUUUAUGGUUUUUCUGUUCCCACACCACACAUGGUUAAGGCCUUCGUGAUAUCCACAACAUAUUGCUCCCUUCUCCAUAAAUCCUAAAACCUCAAUACCACUCAGUCAAGUUCACUUAAAUUUGUAAAUAAUAAUAACAUUUUUAAAUUUUAAAUUUAAGCACGUAUUUUUAGUGUAUAUAAUGUAAGUUAAGGUUAAAUUAUAAAUUUGGUUAUUGAUGACCUUCAACUCAAAAUUCACCAAUUUUCAAUCUUGCAUAUCUUAUAAUAUUAUUUUAGAAUUAAUAAAUCUAUUAUAAACUUAAUUUUUAAAAGUUUAGAGAUUUUCUAUGCACAAAAUUAAUUGUUAAAAUUUUUAUUUAUUUAAUAUGUAUCUUAUAAAUUAAUGACUAAAACUUGUAAUUUAAUUUACAAGUUAUUAUUCAAUUAAGAUAAUAAAAUAAAAAACAACAAAAUAAAUUUAUGAAAAAUAUUUUAAAAAUUUAUGAAAAAUUAAAAUUAAAAUUAAUAUAGUUAUAAAAUUGGAAUAUUUUUAAAAAUAACAAAAUAAAUUAAAAUAUUUACAAGAUAUAACAAAAAAAUUUAUUCUAUUAAUGAUAGUCUUCUAUCACUAUAACAUAUCAAUAAUUAUUAGUAAUAGAAUUUACUAUUAGUUGUAAAUAUUUUAUAAAAUUUGCUAUCGUUGAAAAUUUGGUUUAAAUUGAUAUAAUUAGGAAUUUAUGAUAAAAAAAACAAUAAUUUAAAGGAUACAAAUUAAUAAUUGGUCUGAAAAAAUAGAAUCCAUUUCAUAUUAUAUAUAAAAAAGAAAAUUGUGCAAAUAAAUUUACCUUCUUCCUUUGCAUUAGCUAUGAGUUUGAUCUUAGCUGCAUACACAUCCACGUAAACAAGAGAGGCAUCUAACAGAUUUGCUCUUAACUUAACCACCCGUUCUUUAAGCUGUCUAUUGAACUCCAAAGCGGCGUCGUUUUGUUCCUUAACGCAGCCGUUUCGAUCCAAAUCUCCCUCCUUGGGAUUGGAAACGCUGCGAAUUGCCACCGGAAUGCACCCAAUGGGCCCAGUGUUGUGUACCCAAAAUGCCCUUGCUCCUUCUUUAUAUAAAUCCUAUUAAAGCGAGGGUAAACUUGUAGUUUUUAUUUUCUUUUUAAGUUGAUGAGAUAAAGUUUAAGAACAUAUAUAGAAAAUUGAUGGAUUAUAUUAUUGUCCUUAUAAUUUAACCUUUUUGGACGUUUGAUAUCGAAGUAUAAUAAUAAAACAAGUCAAAAUAGAAGGACGAAAUUGAUGUUUUAACCAUUUUUUAUAAGGGAAAGUACAAUUUAAUUGAUGGGAAUUGACUUACUUCAACAGCGGUUGCAAACUCAUUGAUGAUAUCAGGAAUCGCUUUUCGAAAUUGGUCGUUCGUCAUUUUUCGAAAUCCAGCCGAUAGAUCGUUUUGGCCAAUAUCGAUGGUGAAAAGAGCCUUGGAGAAUUCUUCUGGUACAGGAAGAGUACUUCUAAUGGAGUCAUCUAUUGCUGCAGUGUACAAGUCGUAAUUAAUAUGAAAAACCACGUACAUACAAAAAAAAAUUCAUGGAAAAACGUUGAAACUCAACCUUCGACGUAUCGAUCAAUUGUGCGAUUCUUGAAUUGACGAAAUUGAACGACUUGAAUAUCAAGUGAAAACGGACUAAUUCCAUUCUCAAAUACUGAUUCGUUCUGACGUCGAAUUGUGGAACCACCGGUUGCAAAAUUUGCACCAUGUCGAAAAUUUGUUCCAAUAGAAUUGAGGUACGCACUUAAAUACGGUAACUCUAGUUGCUUAGCUACAAAAUCAAAUUCAAAUUAACCUCAUCUUAGUUUAUUAGUGACAAAUGAUUUAUAUACUGUAUUGCUCUUUGAAUUCUUAUGCUAUCUUAUAAAUGUUUAAAUAAAUAAAUAAAUAAUAAAAGUAAAAAGGAAUUUAAAUAAAAGAAAUAUAACCAAUGAAAUCGAUGAUGAGGCGGCCGUCGCAACCCCGACCGGCGGUUUUGUGGAAGAACGUCUGACCGCAGGGCAAUAUGGUUGGGUAAAACGCGGCGGAGAUUCCACCGGUAUCGGAAUUGGAAUCGCCGAAAUUAUAAAUGGCCGGAAAAUUACAAGCUCUAGAAUCCGCCAUUGAAAUCAGAAUAAUGGAAGCUACACUAAAAACCAUCUUCAUCUUCAUAUUCAUCUUCAUCUUCAUCUUCAAUCGAAUGAAUUAGAAAGAAGAACUGUGUGUCUUCUGAGAAAUGGUUAAUGGAUCGUUUUGUUUUGGAGGAUUCAUGGAAUUUACUAUUUACAAGAAAAAAAAGUUGAAAGUGGAGAGUGAGAAAUCCAUUUUUCUUUGAUGGGUUUGAUUGAAUUGUUUAAUUGGUGCAGUUUUUUAUGAAUCAAUUAAAUAGACGUUUUUCUUGAUCAUUAAAAAUGAUAUUAAUGAUUCUUGGUUUGAAAUCUGUGUAAGUGUUGUGUUGGAUAUGAUUAUUGUAAGUUGAGGAGUCCAAGAUUGUUUGGUCAAACUGAACGGAUUUAUUUAUUUAAUUUCAUUGAAUUACCGAUUAUCAUUUUUUCUAUAUAUAAUUUAAAAUAUAGAAAAUAUUAGUUUAAAUUGCAAAAUAUUUAUAAAUAUAAUAAAGUUUUAUAAUCUAUUACAAAUAUUUUGGUUCACAUUAUAUUAUAAAAUAUUUAUUAAUUUUUUUUCGUGUAUUUACAUUUUUAUAUUUUAUAUUUUAUAUUUAAAUUGCAAAAUAUUUAUAAAUAUAACACAACUCAAUGUUCCUAUUUUUCAAUAUUUCAAGUUUAAUCAUAUCAUUAUUUUAUUUUUACUUUAAAAUAUCAUUUUAAUUUGUCCUCUUUGUUUUUUGAAAUUUGUUAUAGUGUUAGUUUAUUUUAUUCAUCCAACAGUGUUAAUUUAAACUUGUCUGGGAUGAUGCACAUUUAUCUAUAAUAAAAAUAGUUGAAAUUUUUUUAUUAUCUAUUAUGUUAUCUAAUUUGUAAUAAAUUUUUCAUUAUAUGAUAAUAACAUUAGAACAAAAAUGGUUGUAUGGUUAUGAUAAAUCUUAACUUAGGAAUACUAUGUCUAAUUUCUUGGAGGAGAACUACUGUCCUGAUUAUGCUUAGUUUAGAUUAACAUAUAGAAUGGUUUAUUUUAACGAAAAAGUUAUUUAAGUUUAAAUAUUUCAAAUCAUAUUUGUUUAUUUAUUGAUUUUGACGCCUAACUUCUAGUUGAUCAUAUAUUACAAGUUAUAGUGUGGUUGACCAUUAGGUGUCAUUGUUAUACCCGUGAGCAAAAAUAUUGAAUAUUUAAAUUACACUAAGAAACAAUGUCUUAGUGACUAAUAAUUCAAAUAACAUUAUUAAAACAAUAAUACUUAGAUACAUUUCAAGAUGUAAUUAUUUGUAUGUAUCACACUCUCAUCACAUACAUAAAAACAAAACAAAAAUUAUUUGAAGAACGUAGAAAGGAUAAUUCGUUACGUGAAACAACUAUAAAAAAUAGUUGGUGUUUAAAGAUGCAUGCAACUUAAACCGAGUCGAUAAAAAUCAACUUUAAUAAGUAGUAGAAAUAUUUGUUAGUAUUUUGUAUUUUGACUAAGCCAUAGUACAAAAUCAACAUAAUUUUCUCCACCGUAGAAACUUCCUUUCAUGAUCAUAAAUGUGACCAAUUUAUAUCAUGAUUAAGUACAUAUAUAUGUGUGCUCCAACAUAUAAAGGUAUGACAUUGAGGAGCAUGUAAAAAGGGGAGACAAAGCAAGUGCUCAUUUUCAAAGAGAGUAGGAUGAGUGUAUCCCCCAUGCUUUCAAUAAGUGGAUAGUUAGGUAUUUACAACACAAAGUGGGUUAAGUCAAAUCUAGUGCACUCUAUGCAACAAAUUGCAAAUUGCUUUUCUAAAAGGCAAUUGAGCAAAAGAAUGAACUCAUGCUAGGAAAAAGCAUGAACUCAUGCUAGGAUUGAUAUUCCCUUUUUAUUAUUGCUUUUUUCUUUUGGUUCGAUGAAGGGUAAUUAUAAACUUUGUAGACGUUGACAAAACUUUAUGCUAGUUGAACUAUGUUUACUUUAUCGAUUGAUUGGUGUCUCUUUAAAAUUGAGUAAAAGAAUGAAGUUUAGCAAGUUAUUAAUUUGAAAGAUGUCCGAUGAUUAGCCGUUUUUAGUUUAUGGUGAAUGUAAUUCUUAUUAUUAACGUAUUAUUCUCAAUCGUUGGUGGAUGAUUUGAAGAGUUCACACUGGUUAAGUACACAAUGAUUUAUUUUUCUUUGAAAUAUUACACACUAGGAAAUAAAGAUUGAACUCGUGGCCUUUUAUGAAGAUAAAAAUGUCUCAACAAUUGAGUCGAAUAUUCAAGUUGGUUUAAGAAUGAUAAAGAUGUCUUUACAAUUGACAUAUAAUAUGUGUUAACGAACAAAAUGUAAAUGAUUUGAAUAAUCUACUAUGAUUAUUGACGUUUAGCUUUUAAAACGAAUUUCAUAAAUAUCUAUCUUUUUUUUUGCGAUAUACUUUUUACCAGUGUUUUCAAAAUUGGAACGAAGUUUUAAAAUUAAAUUUAAGAAAGAGUUGUUUUUAAAAUUUAACUAAGAAGUAAAAACCGAUUAAUUGACGUUUCUCCCAUUUGUACAUCAUAUUAGGACUCCACUAUGGUGUCGACUACUGCCAACGAGAGACAAGGUACAGACCUUCUAGGCCAACUGAACUUCAUGGAGCUCGACAAUGCUUCAUAUGUUUGACUUGGAAGUGUAGAAGUGAGAAAUUGAUAUGAAAAUGAGGUUAAGAGACUGAGUCAUAUUUAUUUGCUUAUUGUUCUUUGCGGGAGCUGAAAUGAGAAUUUGAUUAAUCUUGGAAGUUGGUAUUCUAUGUUUUUCAGAAAUAGUGGCAUUAACUUUGUAGUAUAUUUGAGAUUUGUUUUAGAAUAUAUGCACCCACGAAUUUUUGAAUACAAAUACUUUUGGGAGAACAUGCUUGAUAAUGAAGUGUAUUGAUGAUCGGUGUUUUUUGAUUGAGUUAAAAACACUCUACAAGUGGACACUAGGGUGGGAAGAUCACCUCUAGAUACUGCCUUUGCCAGAUUAUUUGCUCUCCCUAAUCAUAAGGAGUGUAGAUUGCACAAGCUGUAACUAGUUUGCGGUAAAAUCUAAAUGAAGAAGAGAAUUGUUAAUGGUUUACACUUUCUACAUUACUUGCUGCCCCUAGUAACCCCAUGGCCCAAGUCAAAUGGAGAUGGAAAUUAGAUACAUCGGGUCAGUUUACUGCAAAUUUCUCACAGACUCACGCAUCUUCUUUCAUCAAGUGGUAGUAAACAUAAUGGUCUCCCUGAUAAAAGCUUAUGGAAAGGUCCAAUCCCAAAGAAUAUUCAAUAUUUUUAUGGGAGGUUAGCCAUAAGGUCAUUAAUAAAGCAGGAGGUUCUUAUCAAAAAGGUCCCGUCGAUGGUGUCUGCCUUGAGCUGGUGUGUUCUGCAUCUUGCCUUUUCGUGUAUUUACUCAACUAUUUUGGAGGAGGAUAUUAUCUUGCCUCAAAUAUCCUAUGGUCUUCCUAAUGACCCUCUGGUUCUUUUGAAUAUGUUGCUUAUUGGUCAUCCAUUCAAGAAUUAUAAGCCGAUCUGUGGACCUUCAUCAUCAAAGGCUUUCUUUGCCCAUUUCGAAUGAGUGAAAUCACUUUACUUUUGAAGAUAGAGAUAUGGAAUUCACUCAAUUUUUUUUUAUCAUCUUUAAUAUACAUCUUUGUCUUGGUUUAAAUUCAACUCCUCUUCUUGUCAUUACAAUCUCACUUCUCUUAUAGCACAUUCGAAUAACAAUAUGCAACUCUUAUGACAUUUUCUUUGCCCUUUUAUAAUUUGAUACUAUCAAUGAAUUUUCUUUGCCCUCUUAUGGUUCACAAUUUAUAUGAACACAUUAUAUUUCAAUUCUCAAGGAAUUCCAAUUAGAUUGGGGUGUUACACGCAUUGGAUUAACUCAAUUAGAUUGGCAUCUUAUUACUGCAAUGGUGGAGCGGUGGAGACCUGAAACUCACACGUUUCAUAUGCCUGGAGGAGAGUGCACAAUUACAUUACAAGAUAUAACUAUUCAAUUUGGAUUGUCGGUUGAUGGAAAGGCAGUAACUGGAUCAUUACAACAUGAUUGGCCAAUGUUAUGUGAGGAUUUGUUAGGUGUAAGACCUCCACAACCACAAUUCAGGAGGUCUAGAUUAAGCCUACCAUGACUAACAUCACAUUUCACAAAACUAUCCCUCGAAGCAGACGAGGUCAUGAUCAAACAUAUACUAUGGCAUAUAUAAUGCAACUUAUGGGAAGAUUUUUAUUUGCAAAUGAGUCUAGUGCGUUUGUUCAUCUCAUGUUUCUCCCUUUCUUAAAUGACUUUGAAGAGGCUGGACGAUAUUCAUGGGGGUAGUGCAUGUCUUGCACGGUUGUACUGUGAAUUAUGUCGAGCCAGUCAAAUUGAUACAUUAGAGAUAGCAAGACCUCUCAUAUUAUUGCAAGUGUGGGCUUGUGGUAGAUUUCCUACCACUGCACCACAAUGCAAAUCAACCUCUAAUGAAUAUGUUGGAUGCCCACUUAGUGCUUGGUGAGUAUUUUGUUUACCUAGUUGUUUUAUAUUGCAAUACUAAAUAACUAGAUUCUCAUUCACUCAACCGAUGGAGUGGUUCUUUAACUGCCACCAAGGUAUCCACACAUGUACUAAGCAGUAAAAUUGUUUGGAAAUAUUUAAAAAAUAACCAUUUUUUUUAUCUCAUGAUAUAUUUGAAUAGACAUUUGUGGCCAUAGAUGUCUAUUAUGAUAGAAAAUACAAAUUUAUUUAUAUGAGUUAAAAAAAUAAAAAAUUAUGACAAAAAAAAAUUAAAAAAUAACAACUAAUAUAACAUUAAUGAAAUGUGCUUUAAAUUUGUUAUUUUUCUAAUUUUAAAAAUAUAAGUGACAUUAGUUCUAUUAUCAUAAAUUAUUUUUGCUAUGGUUGCAAAACUCCAAAAAAAAAAAAAUGUUUGCUAACAAAUAUGUCAAUAAUAACUCUAUCGACUAGAUUAAUGUUUAUUUUAAUGGUUUAUUUACACUGUUUUCAUAUAUAAGUAGAUUUCAAUAAUAUUUUUGAACCACUGAGACAAUAAAACAACAUUAGAAGAUAAACACGAGUUCAUAUUGAUAUAUAUAUUUUUUUUGUUAAUGUGUGAGUGUUCAUAUUAGCAUCUUGAAUAACUUUUUGGGAUCAUUUAUUCAAUCUUACAACAUUUGAACGUGGGAAUCAAAUUAGAACGUAAUUUGUUGGAAAUUACGGCUAAAAAAUCUAGAUAUUAAAAGAAUAGAAAAUGUUAUAGUUUCAGUUAAGAAAUUAGAGGUUGAAAUCUCACCUUACAUGUUGUUAACCUCCGAAAAAUGUAUUAAAAAUUAUCAAAAUAUGAUAAAAAUAUUUGUAAAAUAUCUAAUUUUAGUUUGCUAUAAAACAAACUUAUAAUAGUUUUUUUUGUUAAAGCAACCUAUUCGAGCAAAACCCACCCGAUAUCACUUAUCCCACAAAUCAAAACCCAUCAAUGUCGACGAGUACCGCCGAGGAGACUGCGGCGGCGACGGUGGAAGGGGUGGACCUUCUAGGGCAACCGACCUUCACGGAGCUCGACAAUGGUCGCUUCCGGUGCGUUGAGACUGGUCACGAACUUGUUGGCAAGGAUAAGGACUCUUAUUCUCGGACCAAGCGCUGCCGUCUUGGCCUUAUCGAUCUCGCUUUGUCCCGUCGGAAAGCUCCUCUCAAUAUGUUUGAGCAGGACCCUCUCUCUCGGUACUCUAAACUUUUUUCGUUUAUGUGCAUACAAUUCAUUAUCAUCAUACUUGGAGAUUUGUAAUAUGAGAAAUGUUUAGCUCGGUGAACCGGUUGAUUUCUUGAUCUCCGUGGAAAUUAAUAGGAAUUUCAUUGGAAUAUAGCUUUUGGUUGAUGGGUUGUUUGCAGCUUGAGAAUUGAUAAUGUUAUGAUGAAGUCAAAGUCGAGUAGAGUAGUGUUUAUUUGGUUGCUGUUGGUGAUUUAAUGAGCUUCAAUGUGAGCUCCAUUAACUUGGAAGUUGGUGAUUUUGGUCUAAUUGAGUUUGAAAUUUGUCUUUUCUUGGUAUUUGAGCUGUAGUUAUUUAGGUAUUUUGGACUGAUUUUCCCUUUCUUGUCAGUUAUUUCAUGUUCAGUUGGAAAUCAAUGGAUCAAUGGCAUUGGCUUAUAUUAUUAUUAUUUGUUCUGCAGUUCGAAGCUAAAAUGUAAACUGACUGGUGAUACGAUCAACAAAACAGAGGAACAUAUAUGGAAGCACAUUAACGGCAAACGAUUCCUCAACAAAUUAGGUUUGUACUUCUCAGUUUACAUGGAUUUUUUAUUGUAAUCUUUUAUUCUUACCGAUGAUGUGCUCAUGACAAGUUCUGAUCUCGUUAUGCUCAAGAGACAAAUUGCAUGCUGGUUGGUGCUAUUAAGUGUUGACAAAGUUUGUAUUGUAAUUGUAGAGCAAAAGGAGUCAGAGAAAGAGUUAAUGGCUAAAUCAGGAGAGCAGCAAAGCAAGAAGAAGGCCGCCAAGGCGUUGAAACCAAGUUCAGAAAAUUCAAAGAAGAAGAAGAAGAAGGAACAGGAGGAGACUAUUUCUGAAGCCCAGGAAUGCAAUGGGGAAAGUAAUGCAGAGGACGCCUUCUGGAUGCCUCCAGUAGGGCAACGCUGGGAUAAUGACAAUGGAGGAGACCGAUGGGCUUCAGGAUCAGAUUCAGAGCAUGAAAGUGAUAAAAUCAUUGCAAUGGGUAUGUUGUCAAUUUUGCAAACUUCACAUUAUGUUUACUUUUACCUUUUCAUUUAAGUCACAAGCAUGCUAACGAGGAAAUGUAGUAGCUCAUUGAAUGCAAAAUCUGGAAUGAGUUGGGUAGUAUGACAUGAAGUGUGAACCUGAUGUAUAUUAAAAUAUGGUUUAAACCUUUAUAUGUUACUCUCUCGUUGUUUUCUUUUACAUAGUAACACUUGUAAUUACUUGUAGUUAGUUACUUUCUGUUUAGUAAUUGCAGAUGUUAUAGUUAAUCAUAGUUGUUAGUUAGUUUGGAGCUGGUUAUCUUUUGUACAUAUAUUUAAAGGGGACUUCUAUUAUUGAACUAAUAAGAGCUAAGUAUUCCCUUUAAUUGUGAAACUUUCACGGUAAAGCAGGGAGUUAGAUUGGGGUUAAUGGUUGUGGUAGAGAGAUCUUGGGAGUUCUUUCUUGGGUUUGGUUUCUGACUUAUGGGAUUUGGUUUGGGUUAGGUUGCUUGUCUUUUGGCUGUUUGGAUAUCUCCUAUGCAUUUAAAAGGUAGGAACCUGUGUUUAGUAAGGAGAUCCAAGAUUUAUUGAUUGAGUUUCUGAUAUAGCUCUAUUGGUCAACCAUCAAAAGAUUUGUUUAAGUUACCCUGUGGGGUGGGAAGGGUUACAUUCUUUGGGUAUUGGUGGAGUUCUUUGGUGAUUUUAAAGAUGGCUCUCUCCUUGUAUGGAUGGAAAGCCAUGAUUUUCAAGAUCUGAUAGAGCACUGGUGACUAACCAAUUAUUUUAGACCUCUGAGAGAUUUUGUUACUUGUCUGCCACAUGAUGAGAUUUCAGUUGCUACACUGAGCAUUAUGCUAUUGAUGUUCCAGCAUAGAAUGUUGAUAAAUCAAUUAGGGACCCUUGUAAUUCUAUUAAAGCAUGUUUUAUUGCCGAGUCAUAGAAUAUAUUUCCAGCAUUUAGGGAGCUUGAGCUUUUCAUAGAAUAUAUUUCCAGCAGUUAGGUUGAGCUUUUCCUGCACUGUUAUUUGUUUCUUCUGCUGGGGAGCUAUGCACGUGUCUAAUUUCUUCAGCAUGGAAUUCAGUUUCCCCUUCGUCUACUUCCUCUUCUACGUUGGCCUCCACUUUGGGGUGGGUGGUUUUUGGCUACAUGAUUUUGCUGUUGAUGAGCAGAAUUGUGUCAUUCCCCUUUUGCUAACUUGCAGAUCUCCUUCCCACCAAGGAGAAGGGAUCAUAACAUGUAGGAUCCAAUCCAGGCUUUUGUUGCCCAUGAUUAGGUAGGGUUGUACGUAAAACCUCUAUCAAUCAAAUCAAUUGAAAGUGAAGUGCGGGGCAUUUGGUCCACCGAGUGGAGUUAAUAAGUAUGAAGUUAAUAUGUUGGAGUUAGUAAGUUUGUGUUUGGGGUAAGAUGAGUUCUUAGAUAAUUAUGAAAAGUAGAUUAAGAGGGGAGUUGUUUCUUAAGAAGUUGGAUAGGAAACAAUUACAUUGAUUGAUUGUAAACAAAUUAGAUCAAUGGACUUCUUUUUCUUGGUAGAAAACAAUUACUUGAUUGAUUGAUUCAAUGAAACGAUAUGAAAAGAAUCCGUCUAUAAAGAUUACAAAAGAUUUCAGGAACGUAAACAUUAUUAAUUUUAGUAUAGGGGUGAUCCUACCAAGAAUUCGAGCUAAGUGGAAGCUUAGCCCAAGUCUUGGGUUCAAGCCUCUAGGUAGAAUGUAAAAAGUGAGAAGAACUCUUUUUGUCUAUCGGAGGUUGUUGAUGCAUGCAAAAUUUUCAUUCAAGGAGUUGACCUGAUGCUGCAGAUAUAUUAAAGAAAGAACACAACUCUUUUGAAGCUUGUGGAAACUGCUCACUUUCUUUGUUUUGAUGCAUUACUGUCUAAACGUCUAACCGGUUGGAUGACAAAUAAUUUUUCACCCAACCCAUAGGAUCUCGUGUCUACAAUAUCUUGAUUGGCUUUUUUAUGGAGUAAAAAUUUUACUUUACUGAAAUUGGUUUUCUUUCCUCUUCAGAUGACAAGGAUGAUAAAGAUGAACACGGUGGAAACAAGUCAGAUGAAGAUAAACACCAUGAAAAAGAGUCAGAUGAAUUGUCUAAGCAGUAUGUAAAAGAAACCGUUAGCUUACACAUGCAUCACUUUUCUCAGUCUAUCCCAAAUUAUGUCAACUUGUCAAGUCCCAUGUUGAUUGUGUACUUACUGAAUGUGUUGAUCACAGGACCAAAAGAAUGUCCAUAGAGAUUGGACCCAGCAGUUUUGCUUCAAGAAAGAAGAAGAGUAAGAAAAGCUCUACGUGAACAAUAUUUCUUCAACAAGCAUCCCCAACAAUCCAACUAUAUCCAGGUUGCUUAGGCAUGCACAGAUGCCUCCGCUCGCUAUUUCCGAUAUGCUGCAUCUUUCAUUGGUGCCGAAUUUUCCAGCUUUAGCUUCUGCUUAUUUAAUCACCUUUGUUUUAUCAUCUUCCUUAAGGUUUUUGCUCUUCUUAGCUUUAGCCUGAUUUUCUUGAUAGCUUUCUUAUACAAGCAAAUUGCAUGGUUGUUGAGCAGGCUUCAGUUUGGCUCUCUUCCUCCUUUUGUAGAAUUAGAUAAUAGACUGGUCCAUAAUAUUCAUCACAUUUCAAAUUGAUUCUUAAUAUCCCUUUAUUUUAGUUCCAAUUUCUUUUCCCCGAGAAAAUAAAUAUUUCUUAAUUUUAGAUUAAAGAUGAAUUGGGAAUUCUGUCUGAUAAAUAUUUUGCUCGGAUCGAUUGGCUUUUUAAAAAGCACGAAUUUGAACCAAAGAAACUUGCGUCAAACAUAUAGUUGUAUGCUAGUAAAUAACAAUGACUAAGAAUUGAGAUAGAUUGGGCCGUUUGGUUUGUGGGUGAAGAGGGUGGGAAUGGGUAUGGGCUUACAAAGUCCACGUUGGGUUGACGAGUAUUUUAUUUUUACCCUGGAAGAAAUAUUUUUCAGAGUUUAUUAUUCAUCACGAUUUACAAUCUCAUCAAUAAUCAAAGGUUUGUGAUUCCUUUCCUCAUGCUUGGGUGAUCUCGAUGAAUUUUGCCUUGAGUCUCAAAUCGAAAUCAUCUUGUUUUUCAUCUUGGGGUAACUUUGCCUUAGUUUUAAAAUUUAAAUAAUUUGUUUUCAUUUCGGAACAUCUAGUACAACUUUGUUUCGAGUUUUAAAACAUUUUUCUUCUGUUUUUCAUCUUGGUGCAUUUUAGAGGAACUUUGCCUCUUAGUUAUUUAUUUAUCCUCUUAAGUUCUUAAUAUCAUAUCCUCUUAAGUUCUUAAUAUCAUUUCCAUGCGCAGCCAAACAAGUAGGGAAUAAAUGAUGACUAAGAAUUAUAAUCAAGGAUAUCUGCUUUUGGCUAUGCAUGGUAAAAUUAAUUGAUAAACAAUAAAUCUAAUUGAAAAGUUUGAGAAAAACUAAUUAUUUAACAAUUAAAUAAUAAUAUUAAUUAAAUUAUUAUAAAUUUGAUGGAUUUAUAUAACCAUGAUCAAAUAUUUCAUAAUUCUAAUUAAUUAAUUAUAAAACUAUUAAUAAUAAUUAUCAUUAACUAAUUACAAAUAUAAUCAAUUAAUUGAUAGUUUAUUUAUUGCAUCAAUUCUUUACCAUUUAUUUAAAAAUAGAUAUGAGUAUAUGUGUAUAUAAUAAACUAAUUUAUUAAACUAAAAUAAAAGGUAUAUAUAUAUUAAAUUAGGGUAGUUAAACGCUAAGGUAGUUUUAUAAACCACAAAUUUAAUUUUAAUAUAACUAAUUUCAAUAAUAUAAAAAUAGAAAAAUGUAUUAAAAGAAAAAAGAGUAGGGAGAGUAAGAAAAAUUCAUCAUUUUGUAUGAGUAUAGUUAAUGAACAUAAAAGAUACAUAAAAAUAGUUUUGAUUUUAUACCAAAGAAGGAAAUGGUUACAGUCAUAUUCAUUUCCACCCUUAUUCUUCCCUUAAUCCAAAUGGUCCCGGAAGGAUUAAGAAGAGUUUAAGAGACGUAGAAUUUUCCCUCAUUCGUCUACCUUUUGAGUUUAUGAAACUAGCAAUGAAGAUGAGAUGUGUAAUCACUUAUUAUGACUUGCAAUAAUGAAAUUAAGUAAAAAGCGUAAAUUGUAGUUCGUUGGUACAUUUUCACGUUAAAAGAUCUAGAUAAUAAAGAAAUGUAAUAAUAUGUAGAAUCAAUUUAGACAUGAACUCUAAUAUCUUUUUAUCAUCAAAAUAUAUAGAAAUUUAAACAAAUCAAUUGGCAAUUAUUGUAAUUUAAAUGUUCGAGAUUUUAUACAUAGUAUUUAAUAUUUGAUAACUAGGUUUAAUAGAUUUAUAAGUUAAAUUGCCAUUAAUAAUGAACAUUACUUUUUUACCACUUUAGAUUUUAUCUUUAUUAUUAGGUUUCAAAAUUGUAUAGUUUUAUUAUUGUGUUUUCUUUCUAUUUAGUACCUAAAAUUUUAAAAUUAUAGCAUAUAUAUAAUUAGGUCGACACCAAUUUUUACCACUAUAGGCAAUUAAUUAUAAAUUAUAAAAUUGUAAUUACUUUUAAUUAAUUAAUUUAUAGUUUAAGUCAAAUAUGAAAAUAAGAAUUAGCAAUGUAUUGAAGUAAAAAUAAAUGUAAGAUAUUGAAAUAUGAGUACCAAACAAAAACAAAAUUUAAAAUUUACAAGUAAAAAAGCACCCUUUUGUAAUCUUAAUCUAAGAGUAAAAUAAUGAGAAGCACCCUUUUAUAAGUAAAAUAAUUCCUUAAUCUAAGAGGAAUUAAGCUUAAAAUUAACUUAUAAAGUUAAAGAUAUAUCAUUAAGGACUAAAUAAUAAUUAGACCCAAAACUUAUGAUCAUAAAAACUUAACAUCGAAAUUAGAUAAAACGAUAUGUAAGAACGACGUCGUGUUGGCCUUCUUCAUCUUUCAUCCCGCGUCGUCCCGUCUGACUCUGAACUUCUCAGUCAGCCCACCGACGGUUCGGUUAAGUGAUUCUCCACCGCACCGAUUGCCGGAAUUUUUAUCACAUUUUGUAUGGCUUUUAUAUCCGAUCUAAUGGCUUUCGCUUUUCAUCUCUUCCUCUCAAAUAAAAUCCUACGAACUCGCCGCCAUCCUCUUCUUCUCCGGUUUCUCCACUUGCUACUCCGCUACUUGCUCUAAGUUGAGAGUGUAGGUGAGAGCAGUGGAUAUUUUGAUUCUGAAGUUGCGAAAAUACUAAUGGCAAAAAUGAUCAUAAUUGAUAAAUUGCCUCUCAAGUUUGUGGAAGAUGAAGGGUUUAGAAGGUUUUUGGAGCAAACUUUGUGUAAAUAUGUUCCACAGUUUGUCAUUCCCUCUCAACCUACAUUAGCUAAGUAUAUAUUGAAAAUAUACUCGAGUGAGAAGAAUCCCUGAGGAACAUUUUUGUGGAACAAAGUCUUAGAAUUUCUCUCACAGUUGAUACGUGGACGUCGGAUCAUGAUAUGAACUAUAUAGUUCUUACUGCACAUUUCAUUGAUGUCAAUUGGAGAAUGCAGAAGAAGAUUCUUAACUUUUGUCCAAUUGAGAGUCUCGAUGGAGGGAGGGACUAUUGGAAAAGGAGUAGUAUCUUAUUUGAUGAAAUGGUGUAUUGAAAAAAUAUUGACUUUCACCAUAAACGAUGGUCGUUCAAAUGAUGCUGCCAUUGCUUAUUUAGUUCACCAUUUCAAGAAUACGUUGGUUAUGGAUGGUAAAUUUAUGCACAUUAAAUGUUGUGCCCACAUUAUUAAUUUGAUCGUAUGUGAUAUCAUGGAAGAUUUUCAUGAGUUGAUAUCUAAGGUUCGAAAUAUUGUUAGGUAUGUGAGAUCUACUCCUGAACGAUUUAGGAUCUUCAAAAAAUGUAUUGCAGAGCAGAACUUAUCUAGCCAGAGUGCCGUGUGCCUUGAUUUUCCAAAUAUGUGGGACUAUACCUACUUGAUGCUUGAGGGAGCAGAGAAGUUUGAAAAAGCAUUUGAAAGACUAAAGAUCUAUGAGAAGGCUUUUUUGGAAGAGGAUAUUCCCACUAGCAAAGAUUGGGAGGUUGUCAGAACACUUGUUCCAUUUUUAUCGCUGUUUUAUAAAGCGACUUUAAGACUCUCUGGUUCUCUUCACGUCCCUUCAAAUGUGAUCUUUGAUGAGAUAAGCACCAUUCAAAAUUACAUAAAAAAGUAUACUUCCAAUUCUGAUAAUCUUGUUCUCAAAGACAUGGCGACAAAAAUGCAAGUGAAGUAUGAUAAGUAUUGGGGGAGUAGUGAAAAUACUAAUUACUUGUUAUACAUUGCCGUUGUUCUAGACCCUCGUUACAAGUUGAAAUUUAUGGGAUAUUGCUUUAGUGAAAUGUUUGAGGGUAGUGUGGCAAAAGAGAUGUAUAAGAAGGUUGAAAUUUGUCGAGGUGCACACAAAUUAUCUCGAUAAUAAUGCAUAUGAAGAAAAUUUGAUUUCAUUUCAUUUCAUUUUAUUGCAUACACUUUCUAUUGAUUUAUUUUCACCCUCACAAGUUGUUUCAAACUUUUGUAGGGAACAUCAUCAAACUCUUUACCGUGCAAAUUUUGAGUCGUUGAAACCCAUUUUUCUAGUAGUGAACACCCCAUGUGCAGAUGAGGUUUUGGUUGUGAAUGAUGAUGAAAAUGUGGAUGUAUCACUAUCAAAUUCCACUACAAAAGAUCAAAACAGUAGGAAGUGAAAAGGUAACAUGAUGAUCCUUAUGCGAAGUGCAAAUACUUCAGGUGCGUCAUAUACUAGUCUUUCAAAUAGAGAUGGGAUGGAAAAUGUGGAAGCACAUCCUGAGAACUAUUCCGAUAACGAUAAGUAUCCUUUUCGUAGCUCUUGUUUGAAUAAAGCAUAUGAAGAGAGUGUGAUUUUUGAAAGUGUGCGGCCGAUGUAGGAGAGAAUUCAAAAUCAUUAGGCUCAUCACUCAGUUGAGGUGUUUUUGAUGCAAAAGUUGCCAGAGUUCCAAUAGCAAAAAUGAUCAUAAUUGAUAAAUUGCUCCUCAAGUAUGUGGAGGAGGAAGGGUUUAGAAGGUUUAUGGGGCAGAUUGUGUGUGAAUUUGCUCCAAGGUUUGAAAUUCCCUCCCUACCCAUAAUAGCUAUGAAUAUAUUGGAAAUAUAGAAAAGAAGAGAAACAAUUUGAAAAACAUUAUUUUUGGUGAACAAGGUCCUAGAGUUUCUCUCACAGUCAAUACUUGGACAUCAGAUGAAGAUAUGAACUAUAUAGUUCUUAUUGCACAUUUCAUUGACGACUAUUCGAAAAUGCAGAAGAGGAUUCAGUAUGUCCAUUGUGAAUAACCGAGGAGAGGUUAUAGGAAGCAGAGUUAAAAAAUGUUUGAAACAGUGGGGUACAAAAGUUGAAGAUGUUUUAAGAGAAUUAUUUAAUGAGUACAGUAUGUCCAUUGUCAAAAACUAUUCAUCUACGUACUCCUAUCAUGGCCCAUAAUUCAAAUACCGGAGAAAGUUCUCAAAAUGAUUCAGAGUCCUGUUUCAAGGACUAUAUUGAUGAAUGGGAGAAAGAGUUUGAAAUUGAAGAGGCAGCUACAGAGAUAGAAAGAUACUUCUUGGAGCCACUUGAGAAACGAGAAAUUUUUGACGUAUUAAAACGGUGGGAAAAUAAUUGUUAGAGAUUCAAUGUUCUUAGUAAAAUCGCUCGAGAAAUGUUAGCGAUUCCAGUAGUAUCCACUGUUGCUUCUAAAUCUGCAUGUAGUUAUAGUUGAAGAGUGGCAGAUUCUUUGUGUUUUACAUCCACUCCAAAUUUAGUUGAUGGUCUUGUAUAUGCUUGUACAAUUGGCUAAAAAAGGAUGCUACUACGAGUAUUGAUCUUCAAAAACAGCUCGAGGACGUUAUUCGUAUGGAAGAAAGUAAGGAAAUUUUAGCUUAUGAUCAUGUGUACUAGGGUGUUAUCAAGCUUGAAGGGGAAGAAGCAUCGACCAUGGAGGUGGGCUCAAUGCUUCAUCAAAAAGAUGACUAGGAAGUAAGUGGUUUAACUAUGAACUCUUUAAGACUUGUUCUUUUGUUUGUUGAAGUUCUUGAUGAUGGACUACUGUACUUUGUGAAUUGUCAGACUUCAUUUUCAAGUUUUCAACCAUAUCCUUGAUGUGAUCCUUCUUCAUUUUGCAUGCGAACGGUUUGAUGGACGUGAAUAUUUUGUUAGUACAUGUUCCGAAUAUGUGUUUUCUAAUCCAAAUAAUUAAAAAUUUAUCCGAGGUGGUUAUAAUAAUAAGUUAAUAGUUUUACAGCAGAUAUAAUCUCAAUAACUAACUAAGAAAUCGUGUAUUCAGUCUAUGUGGUCACCUACUUUGAUGUACGAAAUUUUUGAGUUUGUAACUAGCAAAUACUUUCUUGCAAGGAUGAUAAAAGUCAAUUUUUGCGAUGCAUUUUUACAAGGGUUCUUACGUUCUUAGUCCAUGCAAAGAUAACAUACAAAAAGGACAUUAAAUCAAAUCAAUUUUUAAAAAUGAAAAGAACAAAAACACAAACAAAAAACAUCCGGGUUAGGUAUUUGAUUUGGUAUUAUUUCGUACGACAUGUUUUUCACUUAUUUAUUUAGUCUUCUAUUUUUUUUUACAAUAAGUAAUAGACGAGUGAUUUUGAUAGAUAUUGGUAGAAUAUAUAAAUUUUGAAAUUUUAGUAUAUUUAUAAAUAUAUUCUUUUAGCAUAUUUGUCAUUUGCAGUAAUGUAAUCUAUUCAUUUUCUAAUACGAUUGGAUUGAAAAAUGGUAUAAUUGUUUUACGACUUUGAUUGAUAACAACAAACUUAAAUAAAAACGUGAGUGAGUUGUUGUAGUUGUCAAUUUUUUAGUAAAAAGAUGACUAAUUCACUCUCUUUUAUAUUAAGUAGGUGACCUUUCUAUUUUUAUUAUAAGCAAGUAGACAAUUCAAAUCCUUUAAAAUUUACCUAAUACAUAUUUAAUAUAAACAUUUUGAUUUUGUUGAUUGGAUUUGUAUUCUCUUUUCUAUGAACAAAAAAGAUGAAGAAUAAUGGGUCAAACUUGAUUUCGUAAUUAUAUGAUGACAUUAAUCUUGAAAAUAAUUAACUAGAAAACAAAACUUGAGGAUGAGAUUUUGCUUGUUUGUUAAGUAUGGAUGAGAAGCAAUAUAAUCCACGUAACCCUUUGCUUAGUUGGCUAAGCAUGCAUCACUUCACAUGACACGUCCCUUCCACGCCUUCUGUGUUGCCAUUGCUUUCUUCCCAACUGGAUCAUAUUUUGUUGGAAUAAUUCAAUACAUAUCAUUAUGGAUUUCCAAAAAGUGGAUUUGCAAAACACUUUCUAAUAAUAUGAAUUAGAGAAAAUAAUAUUCUCUUUAUUUACAUUCAUAAAUUUAUUCUAUUAAGUAGGGAGAAAACUAAGUUGAUAUUAGUAAAUUAUAUAUUAAGAGUAUGUUGACGUCACACACCAUAAAUAUAAAAGUAGAUUAAGGUAAAAUAUUUAUAUUAAUGUUCAGUAUAAGUUUGUAUUCACAUUUUGUUAAAACUCUAUUUAUCGGAUUAUAAUUUAUUUAGACUAUUUUAUUUCACUUCAUUUUUUAAAAUUUCCAAAUCUAUUUUUUUAACUUUCUAAACAUUCUCAUUUGAGAGAGAAUUUUUAAAUUUUUAUGAUGAAAAUUUAAUUUUACUUUUAAAAUAUUAGAAUUGAGUGAUUAUUUAUUAGCAUUAAAAUGGAGAAAUAAAUUGAGGUAAGUGAGAAAAAUAAAAUACUAAAAUCUGAUGUGGAUAAAAAGAAAAAUAGCUUCACAAAAAAGUAAACUAUAACAACCAACAAAUCAUAUAUUAUAUUACAUAUAAAAGAACUUAUUUUAUUGUGGGUUACACAAUUACUUUAUAAUAUAUAAAGAAAGUAUAGUUUUGAUACCAUAUGAUAUGAUAUGAUAUGAGAUGAUAUGACAUUGUAUUUAUUUAUCUAAUUUAAUAAGUGACGUGCCGUUACAUUUAUAAUUAACAUGAAAGUGAUUAAUUAUAGAGAUUCUUUUUUCUUUUUCUUUUUCUUUAUUUGAAAGAACAAUCAGGAAGAUCCCGUUGUCCAUUCAAACAAAUGGCGAAACUCAUUGGAUUCCAUUGAAAAUAAAUUUCUUUUCCGUUCUCAAAAGUCUUCAAAUCCCACUAAUUUCAGGCAAUAAUUCAGCAUUUCUUUGCUGUGGAACCCCACUUUAAUGCUAAAUCAAGGAAUCGUUUUACCAGAUUAACAAAUUUCAAGAUUCCCGUUCGAACAAACAAGUCAAAAAUCUGUUCCACUUCCCAAUUUUCUUUUUCCGAUUUGAUUUUAUUGUCUUCCUUGUGCAUUUCUCUUUUGAAGUGGAUUGUAAUUUUGUCAAUUGCCCAAAAGAAGAAGCAAUUUGGAGAAAUGGAAACGAUGGUACGGAUUUCGUUUUCGUGCCUUUUCGAGAUGCUUUGCAGCUUUUUAAGCGGUUUCUAGGAACUGGGGGUUGAAGGAGAAUCUUGUUCAUUUUUAUUUUUCUUCUGGGUUAUGGGGUUUUUAAAUGGCGUUUGUUAGUUUUAGGAGUCUGCCACAGAUUUGAAGUGAUCGGGUUUUUGGUUUGCAACUUGUGAGUUCGGAAAUUACUCAGCUUUUUUUUGUUUGUGAUCAUGAUUGGAAGUUGUCAAAUGGGUUGAAUGUUUUGAAUGUUGAAGUUGAAAAUAUUUAAAAGUCAAGUGAAAUCGUGUUGUUUAUUAGGAUCUUGGAUCUCUUUUCUCUUUCGUAAAUGUUUUUUCCUCGUGAGAAUGCAUUUAUAUUUUGAGAACGUUGCAAAUUCAUUUCCAUUCUUCAGCCAUUUUUGACAGACGGCGGCUCUAUCUUGUUUGAAUGUUCCUUGUUUUCAUACCUUCGUUUGGUUGUUUCUUCUCUUAGUCGGUAAAGAAGCGUGUCGUAAUUGAAUACACAGCUUGCUAUUUUUUCUUUUAAAUAUAAAGCUUGAGAUCUUUUCUAAAACUUCAUUUGCAAGAGAGAAUAAUUUAUACCCUUUGGCUUGCUGAACUGCUAUUUCAUCCUUUUGGAUAUACGGGUAUCUGCCUUUUAGCUGAGGAUUUUGGUUUAUUUAGGCUGAUUUUAUUGCCUUUAUUUGUUCAUCAGACAAGAAGAGGUUCUUAAGUUUCGGAAGAAUUUGAUAGAGUUUGAAAUUCAUGGGGGCUGCGAAUUCAAGGGAGGAACCUUCGGUUUCAUCGUCAUGGAAUGGUGCAUAUGGCCAAUCCCCCCCUUAUGCUCAGGAAGCAUAUGCUCCAUCCCCAUAUGGUCAAGCAAGUCAGAGUUAUGUGCCACAGCAAUCAUUUUCCUCGCCACAGUAUCACCCUCCUGAAAACUACCAUGGUGGUGCUGCUGCUGCUGAUAAUCGUAAAAAAUUUGAUAGAAGAUACUCAAGAAUUGCUGACAACUACAAAUCCUUGGAGGAGGUAUGAUAAAAUGGAAUGUUUCGAAUGGGGGAGUUUUCUUUAAAUAUUAAAUUUACGUUUAACUGCAAGAAUAUAAUGUUAAUUAGUUGAUAGCCAUUGUUUAAGAGUUCGUUUUUUUCCUACCUGACAUGUUCUUCGCUUGAUGUAGCUGUUAGGGUGAAAGUAGUGUUAUUUUUUGUGUUAUAAGAAGAUGGACACAUGCUUUUUCAUAACUAUGUUCUGCAAACUUCAAAUAAUGAGGUGAAACUUGUUGUCGAUAGGUAACAGAAGCUCUUGCUCGUGCUGGGCUUGAGUCGUCCAAUCUCAUUAUUGGGAUUGAUUUCACAAAGAGCAAUGAGUGGACCGGUGCAAGAUCCUUUAACAAACGAAGUCUUCAUGACAUCAGAAAUGGCCCCAAUCCAUAUGAACAAGCCAUAUCCAUUGUUGGAAAAACGUUGUCUGCUUUUGACGAUGAUAAUUUGAUUCCGUGCUUUGGAUUUGGAGAUGGUAAAUUCUUGAAUUUUCCUCGUUGGAUUUACUUUUCUCUUUCGAACUUCCAAGACUUCUCAUACUACAAAUUUCUCAUGUAAUUUGCAGCAUCUACACAUGAUCAAGAUGUCUUUGGUUUCUAUCCAGAAGGGAGAUUUUGUGACGGAUUUGAGGACGUUUUGAAUCGUUAUAGAGAAAUUGUUCCCCAUCUACGUCUUGCAGGUUCUAGAACAAACAUACUCAUUCUUGUAUUUCAUAAAAUUAUUUCGUACAUGUAAUGGUUCUUAUGAGGUCGUUUAUUAUUAUAUAACAGGACCAACUUCAUUUGCACCUGUUAUUGAGAUGGCAACAUCAAUUGUGGAUAAGAGUGGUGGUCAGUAUCACGUUCUGUUGAUAAUUGCCGAUGGACAGGUACUAAUACAGUUCAAAAUAGUUUACCAUUUUUCUUUGAUAGUAAAAAAUGAUGGUAAAAAAAUGAUAAUAUACAAGGGCACACAAAAAACCGCGAAUGCACAGGAAAGAACAUCCCACUAAAAAAAGGGACUUCAACUAUGUAAAUGGUGUCUAUCGAAUCAAUAAUCUUUACCAUAGAGACUAUUUAGUAGGAUUUUAUCAAACCGUAGAGAUUAAAUUCUAAUUAUAAAUCAUAUGGACUAAAUUCUCACUUUCUCCAACCUCCAAGGACUAAAUUUACAAUUUAAUGUUUUUCUUUGAAAAAAACAGAAGGAAAAAAACUCAACAAUUAGCCGUAAAGAAAGCUUUUUAGAUUUAUGAUCUCAUUGAUAGAGAAAGAUGAUUAAAUUUGGACAUUUGAAAUUGAAGGGACUAAAAUCCAAGUAUAGGACACAAAUGGAGUUGUAACCCACAAAAAAAGGAUAAAGAAAAAAAGUAAAAAGAAACUCAUUUUGAUUGAGAAUUCACAUGUGAUAUAGCAAGAUAUCUGUUCUGUUCCUGUAUCUUGUACUGAAAUGUAAAAUAAAUAUCUCAGGUGACUAGAAGUGUGGACACUGAGCAUGGGAGGCUAAGUCCACAAGAAAAGAAAACAGUUGAUGCCAUUGUGGCAGCAAGGUGAGCAUAGGAUUUAUGCGGUAUACUUUUUAGUUAUAACACUCUGAACAGUUUGUAAUAAUUUUAUUUGUUUUCAUUUCAGCAAUUUCCCUCUUUCAAUUAUUUUAGUUGGUGUUGGGGAUGGACCAUGGGACACAAUGAGAGAAUUCGAUGACAACAUCCCUGCUCGUGCCUUCGAUAAUUUUCAGGUAAGCAGAGGUGCUUUGUUGCCUUUUUUUAUAAACAAAGAUAUGCUUGCUUAUCCUAUGACUGGAAAUUUAAGAUACGUUAUCUUUUUCUUUUUUUGGUCCGCAUCUCUUUAGUUUGUGAAUUUUACCGCAAUCAUGUCAAAGAACGUUCCCCAGCCCCGGAAGGAAACAGAAUUUGCACUUGCCGCUCUUAUGGAGAUUCCUUCUCAAUAUAAAGCCACCUUGGAACUUAAUCUACUGGGGUAAGAAGCGUUUAUUCCCUUAGUUAUUUUAGUAGGAGAUAUUUUAAAAAGGGAAUCAUCAUCUUUAUUGCCACAAUCACUUUAUUCAUUCUUAUCGCAGGACUCGGAAAGGCAGUGCUCCCCAAAAGAUUCCACUUCCUCCACCUGUUCCAGCAUCUUUCAGCACACCAAAACCUCCUCAAUUCUACAAUUAUGAGCCAAGUGUGCCUCCGUAUCCUGGGAAUAAUAAUCCGAUCGAAACUGUUCGUUCUAUUGGGAAUAAUAAUCCGAUCGAAACUGUUCGUUCGGUUGAUCUUUCAUCAUACGAUGACAAGGUAACACUUUGUUUUUCAUGAUGUGUAUUUGUUUGAGCACUGCCCCAAUGUGACUAUGACUGUUGUGACUAGUUCUUUUUGUGUAAAGUCAGUUUUGGAUGUUUCUUAGAGCAGCGAAAAGUUCCUAAAAGAUCAGUUAGAUUAUUUGAAGUCAUUAGAAAUUCUGAAAGUAGUUCAUUUAUGUAUAAGAUCAACUGGUGAAAUGCAUUAUAACCUCAACCUAAUAGGUCGGAGUUCACUCCAAAUAGAAACGUUGCACUUAAAAGGUAUUUUUAUCAAAAGAAAUGUCAAAAUUCAUAAGACGCUUGUAUGUUGACAUUAUCAUGUCCAUUUUCAUUGUUCCUUUUUGAGAGUUUUUAUCAAUAACAAAAGCUUGUUUUUCUUCUCACAGUUGUGCGGCAUUUGCCUCAGUAACCCAAAGGACUUGGCAUUUGGCUGUGGACAUCAGGUAUUCUUCUGCCCUUCAAGUUCAAAACUAUUACUAAAAUUUAGAUUCUUUACACUCACAAAUGCGCUCGUCAACCACAGACUUGUGCCGAAUGUGGACAGGAUCUUCAAAUAUGCCCGUUCUGUCGGAGUUCAAUCCACACACGGUUAAAGCUCUACUGAUCAAGUCUCAACUUGCAACCGAGCCAUACUAGUCGAAACAAUCGUGAAAGUUGGUGAUUUGGUACAGGCAUAUCACUUACGACGUCAAACAGUAUAUUUGCCCUGUAGAUGUGAAAAUGUAGGCUACCAAUUCUAUUCAUACCUUUUAUUACUGAAGGAUUUUUUUUUUCCUUCAAAGUUUGAUGGUUUUGAGUCUUCUUUUUAGUCCAGUAGCCAAACCUUUCUUUGCUAUUUAUGUACAAAGGUGAAGAGGUGUUGUAAAUGAACUUUGGCCACUGGAAUUUGAUUCUAUUCUUUCUUCAAUUUAUCUAUCCACAUGUCUUUUUGUACAUAAGAAAACAUAUAAUGCAGUGUAAUGUUAUAAGUAUACUUUCUGCUUCUUUUGUUUUUUGUUUUGUUGUAAUUCUUUACUUUCUUUUAUUUAUAUAAAUGGAAACUAAGAAGAAAAAAAGUGAUGUGUAUAUCUUCAAGAAUAAUAAUUGUGCAUUUUGGCAAUACUCUUUUGCCACAUUUGUGUUGGAGAAAUCAUCAAGGGUGCUCUGAUAUAUCUAACAAUUUUAGGGGAGAAAUCACAAUACUUUUACUGUUAAAAAUCACUGAGUUCUUAAAAAAUUCUUGCACCAUAAACUGAUAGUCCAAUCCAACUAAUCCCUCACUAACUAACUAUGAUUUAAAGUGUAAACAUAAAAUAACUAACACUAUCGUGUGUGAGGCAGUAAUACUUACGAGUGUUUUUAAUAUUUAUUAUUUUCUUACGUGAUGACAUGAUUGUUCAAGGUGCUUGACCGAUUGAUGUGUUGAGGUUGUUGUGGAGCUAAGAGCAUGUCAUGUUUGAUGUAUUUCCUUUCCUAUAUAUUUCUUCUUAGAAGAAUAAAACACGUUUUACGUUGAAAUCAUUCCUUUUUAGAGUUAUUAUAGUUGAGUUAUAUACUAGUUUGUGUGUAGUGUAUAUUAUUUUAGUUUGAGCUAUAAUAUUCUGUCUAAAUGAAGAUUUUAAAAUAGUAUUUACUUGUGGUUACUAUAAUCUUUUGCAUAUUUCACGUUUCGAACGACUUGAUCACGUUUUAAAAGAUUCUAAAGCUCAGUUAUUUUGGAUUUUUAUUGGAAAAUGUUAUCCAAUAUUCAUAGACUUUGAAAACAUUUACGUAUCCGAGUUAGGAUUUGGAUCAAAAUUGAGAAUUUGAAUUCGACAACGGAUGGUCUUACCAUCCCUUUACAUCAUCCCUCGCAACGGUUAAAAAUUCCAUUGGACCGAUUUGUUGAGACAAGGCCCGUAAGCUCGACCCAUCUUGCACAAAAAAAAAGCCCAACAUCGUCGAACCCGCGCACAAACGCGGGAGGGUUUUGGUGAGAAGCUCGUUGGAGAAACAGAGUGAGCUCCGUUUCACUUCGCUUCGUCGAUCGAUUUCAGUGUCAAUGAAGCUCCUUCAAUCUCUCGCCGGUUUUGCUCCCUCACCAUGAAGAAGUUCUUCAGUUCUUUAUCCCCAUUCAUUAUUUUUAGCUUACACCUUCCUCGUUUUUCCAUUUAUGUUCAGGUCAAAGCCGCUCCCUUGUCCGUUUUCUUGGACAGCGUCGAUCCUUUGCUGUUUCUACGGAAGAAUACAGAAAACGGAAUUACGCUGAUAAUGUUGCCGAGUACAAAACUGUAAUUGCCUCCCUCACUGCCCAGAGAAGGUCUUCUUUCUUUCGUUCUUUCUUUCUUUCUUUGAUUGAUUGAUUUGUUGUUCUUUUUAUUCGUGGGUAUUUAAAAUGGUUUGUUGUUCAAUACAUUUCUGGUUUAGGUACUUCUCAUUGACGGAUGUGUAUGACGAUAUGAUGUUGGAUGGAGUGCAGCCUACAAUGGACGUUUUCCAUUUACUGAUAUCUGGAACCAUGAAAGGCGCUCGUUUCCAGCAUGCUUUUUUCUUCAGGGAUGAAAUGAAGGCCAUGGGUUUGAUUCCUGAUGUAGGUAACUUCUUGAAUAUCAAUUGAGUCUUUUUGGCCUCUUUCUAUGCUUGGCUCUUUCCAUUGAUCAUUACCUUUUUUCUGUACUUGCAUAUAUGUUUUGCAGGUUAGUCUGUAUAACAUGCUGAUCUCAUUAUGUGGUAAAUGUAACAACUCUGAAGAGGCUGUCCGGGUAGGUUUCUAUGUGUUUUUGAAAUGUUCUUUAAGGUUGUUUUGGAAGUUCGAAGGAAAAUCUGGACCCGUUUUUUAAUUGUCAACUAUUUUAUAUUUAAAUUGAAGAUCUUAGAUGAGAUGAGGAGAUAUGAAGUGAAGCCCAAUUCACAGACGUACAUCUGUCUACUUAAUGCUUGUGCAGCUGCUGGUAGAUUAGAUCGCGUGUAUGCUUCUUCUUUCACAACCUAACCUCUUAUCAUUCAGCCUGCAAGGAUUAUAGUCAUGUUUAUUGAUCUAUGUCAUGUAUAAAUGGAUGAGAGUGAAAUUAUCAGCAGUAAAUUCACUUAUUUUCUACUUGGUUGGUUUAAUAGUUGUCUGGCAUUUUUUAUCAAUAUACUAGGUAUACGAUUGUCAGAGAUAUGACUUCUGCUGGCCUUGGCUUAAACAAGUUCUGCUAUGCUGGACUUAUAGCUGCACAUAUGAACAAGAAACCUGUGGCAGAUGAUUUUGAUACUAAAGUAAAAAUCAUCUCAGCUGUUCUUUAUGUCCUUGUUAAUAUGGGGUUUGUGAUAUAUCAAUACAAUGCUACUUUUCUAUGAUUAGGUGGUUGAAUUUGUUGAACGGUCAAAGGAAUGGUUAUCGGUCGACGCAUCAAGUGUAACAGCUGAAAAUUUUAUGAUGGGUGUUUCAGAAGAGGAAUUGUACAAUAUUCCGACUGCUGAAUAUGUUCAUAGACGUGGAGGAUUUUUGAACAAACAAUUGACUAUUUAUCAUGUUGCUUUAAAUGCUUGUGCAAAUCUCAAGAAUGUGAAGGUAUCUGACUCAUAAUUUCACAAUAUUAUUGGAUAAACUUAAUCGGAUUAGGGUUUCUUUAUUUCAGUUAUGUUCUACAUAUAUGAUAGUCGAGCCAUUCUGCUAUUGUUAGGUCUCCUGCUAUUAUUUCUUACGUAGUAGAUACCCUCUAUUCUCCUUUAUAACUUAAUUUUUAUCAAAUGUUUUCAUAUAUUACAUGUUAACUUCCUCGUCAUGUAUUUUCAUAUAAAAUACUUUUUUGUUUCUUAUCAGUUUUUUGUUUCUUAUAAUCUAAGUAGGUUAUGGAGACCAUAAUGGAUAUGUUAAAGAAGGAUGGAAAAACUCCCGACGUCUACAUGAUAAUGCAAGUUAUGAGGUAAAGAGCUCAGUCCAAAAAUUAAAUUCUGUUGUCUAUGGCUCCAUGCAGUUUCUAAUUAAAUGUCACUGGAUAGAUCAAUUUGAUUGGACUAUUGCAUUGAUUGCAUGGGAAUCACUCACAAUUACCCCAGUAAUUGAAAGCCAACAAUUUUGUUUGAUUGAGCUGGUUUUCUUUAGCUGUUCAUUAGUUCGCUUCUUGUUUUGAUGAGAAUGACCAGGGUGAUAAAUUUUAAAGAUCAGAUUGUUAUAAGAUAAUAACUAUAAAGUUUGCGUAGAUCUAAUGGAACUACUGAUUUGGCCUUGUUUGUGCAUUUGCCUGCCAUUGAUCAAGCUUAAUGUAAUAUGGUUGCAAGUUGAGUGUUUUUUUUGUAUGGCUCUCGAUUACACCAGUGAUGGAGGCUUGUGUUGGAUUGAUUAUAUUAUUGUAGAGGUUCGUGUGAUCAUUCAGUUUUUGUCUCUAACAUGCGCUGUUUAGUAGCUUUUGUAUGGGUGCUUUCUUGUAUUUUCAUAUCCUUGUCAUGUAGCUUGAAUGAAAGUUGCGAGGAUUGUACAUCAGCACUAUGUAUAGGUUGCAGUCGUGUUGUUUCAUUAUUUUUGACAUCUCAUUUAUAGGAUUCUUGGUUAUUAGAAUUCCUAACCACUCAGUGAUUUUUUUUUGUUCUAUUGAAAUUACAAUGUAACCCACUCCAUGUUUAUUGGAAGAACUGCUAAUAGUCUAAUACAGAUUUUCAUCUAAAUAGAUGUGUGGAGUUUGAGGCUUAAUCAUAAAAUUGAUUAUUUUGGACAUAGGAUGGAUGAGUCAAGUCAUCAAUACUAUUCUAGGAUCUUCAAUUUUAUUAGUUGUUCUGUGAUUUGACAGUUAACUUCUCACAGGUGCUAUCUACAUUCUGGAGAUAUUGAUCGUGGUCAUAAAGCUUUUGAGGAGCACUUAAAUUCUGGGGGUUCUAUAGCACCUGAACUCUAUACAGUGAGUUUGGCCCAACUAUGUUUCUGGCUUCUGCUUUUACAGCACUAAAAUAUUACUCCAUAUUAACUGUUCUUAACCAAAAAGGAGAUAUCUUUAUAUAUAUAUAUAUAUAUGUUCUACUGUCCAUCUACACGUUUUCUAUUUUCUUUGGAAAUUCCUGAAAAUCUAGAGUGAGAGUUAACUUUUUCCAAUAUAUUUUAUCUCACUUGCAAAUGAGAUUGCUGUAGUAUAGACACUUCAAAUGAACAAUACGAGAGUUUUUAUUAGUAAGCAUUCAAGGUAACUACUGCGGAUAUUUAGCAACGGUUUUUAUUUGGCUGUAGACGCUUGUGGAAGGAGCCAUGAUUGGUUAUACACCAAAGGGAAUGCAAUUGGCUCAAGAAACACUGGUAACUUCCAAUUUCUACUGAAGUUACAAUUGAAAUUGAGUUAAUCUUAGUAAUGCGAUGUUGAUUAUUGCUUAUUGCAGGAAAACAUGAAUUCCAGGGGCUUUUUCUUGAACCCCAGAUCAGGGAGUGAGCUCCUCCUUGCAGCUGCGGGUGAAAAGGUAGGCCGACGGUUUAUUACAUUUUAGUUCACAAGAGACCCUUGUGGUUAGCAAUUGGCUACUCAAAAUUCUUACACUUGUUACUUCGAGGUCCAUAUGAUUCAAAAAAUGUGUUUAAUUUUUUCAUAUUACGAUGCAGACUGGUGGUUAUACAACUGCCAAUUAUAUAUGGGAUCUCUUGCGAGCUCGAGAGAUAACUCCUUUAUUCCCUGCUGUGGAUGCAUAUUACAAGGGAUUGAAGGUACUUCUCUUUCCCUGAUCUUUAAUUCUUUUGUUAUGAAAUUUCUUAUUCUUGGUGUUGAUAUUUGAUAAUUAAUACAUGCAACUUCCUUCUACUAGUAGUUGAGGUCUGGUUGAAUUGAGAAUUUGUCAAUCCAACAACUCACUGCAUUCAUUUCUCUGAUGUUUUUGGGUUUCUUUUGGUGACAUUUUAUUCCCGUGUCUUUGUGCAACUAAAGUGUAAUUACAACAUUUGAUUUUAACCAUGCCCAGUGGUAAAAAGGGAAACCGUCUCAAUAAGGUAAGAGGUCAUGGGUUUAAUCAAUGGUGACCUACCUAGGAAUUAAUUUUCUACUAAAGGGUCAAGUGGGUCGAGACACUCACGGAUUAAAAAAAAAAAUAUAUAUCACAUUUGAUUUUAAACGGUGUUUGCUAGGUUAAAUCAAACCUUAUGUCAAGUUCUCAUAUCAUUUGAUAACGGUGACAUUUGAAUUUCAAAAUGCAGAAACGCGAGAUUCCAGAAGACGAUCCUAGGCUUGUAUUAGUUACUCGAAUUCACGAAAACCUUCAAGCCAGAUUUGGUGGUGACCGAGCAUAAUCUAAAUCAGAUUUGGUGUGUCUCCACAUUGAGAAUAAUUUAUGCUCCAAUUUUAAUUGAUUCUUCCAUCAGUUGAAGGUAUGCAUUAUGAUGGGGAUCCAACGGUCUAGGGGUGCAAGCCUUGAGAAUUAUGUAUUUUGGAUAGUGAAUGUGGAGAUUUGAUAGCAAGUUUUGAGUACUUGUUUUGGCCUAGUUUUAAUAUUAAUUUUAGCCUAACGUUCAAAGAAUUACAAGUUUGGAUUCCAAUUUCUUUCUUUAUUUUGUGUAUAUUAUACAUAGUGGUUUUAGUUUCAUUAUUAUUUCCAACCUUUUUUUGGUAGGGUCUAUUUUGGUUCGUAUAUUUUUAAAAUAUCUAUAUUAGUCUCUUUUUUUAUCGCUUAAUAACAUAAUCUUAAGAAUGUGUAUUAGUAUGUCAAUGUUAACAUCUUUUAAACCGCCAUAAUUUGAUGUUAAUUGAAGAAGUUUUAUAGCAAAGAUUACUAUCUUCCAUCGGUAUUAUUUUAAAAUUUAGUGUGCAAAAUAGACGUUUAAAAUUUUAGUUAAAAUUUAUAGACUAAAAUGUAAUAAACUUUCACACAAGUUUUAUAUUAAAAAUUUGUUUUACAUCUCACCAAUUUUGGAAAUAUUUAUAAAUAUAGCAAUAUUUUAUCGAGUUAAAUUAUUAUUAAGAGAAAUAUGUGCUUUAUAGACAUAUCUAUAUCUAUGUAUAAUCAAAAUACACGAUUUUGAUUAUUUUAUUUAAUUUCAUAUUCAACAAAAAUUUCAAAGAAAAAAAAUUAGUUUAUCUAAUUGUUCUAUUUAUAACAAAAUUUCAAAAAGAAAAAAAAAAAACUCAUAUGAUCUAAUUCUAAUUCAAACAAAAUCUCAUUUUGUCUCAUUUAUAAUUCAUGUUAAAUAACAUCAAUUUUCUUUAUCUAAUAGUUUCGAUUAAAUAGAAGUUUUGCUUAAAAAUAAUCUAAUUCUAAUUUUUUUUUUAAAAAAAUCUCAUUUUAUCUAAUAGUUCAAUUAAACAAAAGUUUGGCUUUUCUACUUCAUGUUUAUAUCAAUGUACAAAGAUUGUUUUAUUUUAAUCAUAAAGAUUUGGACAUAUUAAUUAUAAUUUUUCUAAAAAACCUAUUUUUUUAUAAUAAUUAUAUGGAUUAUUUUAAUUGUGAACACUAAUAAUUUCCCAUCUAAAAGGGUUAUGAAGAUGAAAUUUGUUAUAUAUAUAUAUAACAUUAUUAUAUCUACUUCUAAUUCUAAAUAUAUAAUUUUUUUUAAAAGUUCAUUUUACCUAAUUCUAGUUUUCAUUAAAUGAAAGAAAUUUUAUUUUAGAAAGUCUCAUUUUAUUUAAUAAUUUGGAUUGAAUAAAAUAUUUUGACAUAUUUGAUGAAUUAUAUAUUUGCAUGGAAGGAAGAAAAUAAGAAUGUGUUGUAAUGAAUAAGAAUGUGAAUCAAUGGAUAGAAGGAUACAAUAGUUAUAAUCCAACGAUUCUUAGUUAUGUUGUUGAUCUAAUGGCUUCCAAAGCGAAAAAAUAGUGAAAACGAUUCAUUAAUCCUCAUGCAUUCUAUUGGAUUAUUCCACUUUCUUCUUCUUCUUCUUCUUCCUUUCUUCUCCCAUUUCUUUCCUCAAUUCCUUUUUCUGGUUCAUGAUUGCAGGUAUUAAUUUUUUACGUUCUUCCUCUCGCUUUGGAUUUCUUCUUCUUCUUCUUCUUCUUUUGCAUUGCCGCCAUUGAUGGAUUUUGAUCCAUUUCAGUUUUUCUGUAAUUCGAUUUUUAUUUAUUUUAUUUUUCUGAAUGAUGAUGACGACGAUGAUCUAUGAAUGUUGAUGUUGAUGUUUCCAUUGAAAUUAUUAGUGUGAUCGUGGUUGUGGUUGUGGGAAAUAGAGCUUCAAAUCGCAUUUUGAUGAGAGGUCACAAGAGAAGGAAGCAGCACAUGCAUCUAUGAAGAAGAUUGGGGUACGCAGGUCGCUACCGCACUACCUGAUGCAAUUGUCGCUUGUCGACAUUGUUGUGCUUCUUCUUCAUGCGGUUUCCCCACGAUUUUCUCAGAUGGAAUGGCAGAUCCUGCUAGUUAUGGGAAUCACGAGCGUGACUUUGAACAAGUCAGUUUUUCUUUCUUUCUUUUUUUCUCAUCAAAACUUUCCCUCUCUCUUUUGUCUCUUCCUUUCUUCUAACACACCUAUUUCCAUGUGUUUUUGUGAUUUUCAAGGCACUUAUCGCUUUGAAAAAAGGAACUCAACUAAUUAAGUAUAGCCGAAAAGGAAAGCCUAAGCUCUGUCCAUUCAGAAUCUCUACCGUGAGUAAUUAUUAUUUCCUUUCUUCAUACACAACAUGUUUAUUACUUAAUUCCUUUAGUAACAGGUUUGUUGUUUUCUGGUGUUAAUUACAUGUAUAAUGCAAUUUCUUUUUAAAUUUUGUAAUUCACUCGGUUCUGUAAUAAAUGAUGAACAAAUAGUUUAUCAACUUUUUUGUAUUUCUUUUACUGGAACAAAAUUUUAAUGUUCUCAGAAAUUACGCCAUACGGUAAAAUGGUGAAUAACUUUCCACGUACAUUCCACAAAUUUGUCUUCAUUUCUCCAAAGACUUUCCUUUGGUAGCUUCAUCAAUAGUUGAAGAUAUGUAUUCCAGAUUUUGGGUCUUAGCAGGCUCGACGUAUGUUUGCCACAUACGAAGAGUUGAGGGGGCAUAAACAAAACUAAUUAAACUUAUACAUCUGCUGUUCACUUCCACAAGCAUUAGAUGUCAUAGACUAUGUAUGUCUUCGAACUGUAAUUUUACUGCAACUAAUUUUCAGGACGAAACGACGCUGAUCUGGUAUUCACAUGGAGAAGAAAGAACCUUGAAACUAUCAAGCAUCUCACGAAUUAUCCCAGGACAAAGAACUGUGAGUUAAAAACUGCACCAAAAUGGCUAAGUAGUAGAAUAUGUAUACACCUGUGAUUAACUAUAAGGAACACAUAUAAUGUAAGAUCUUCUUGAGGCAUGGCUAUAUUCUUCUCUUGGAAUAUAUAUUGUAUUUAAGUUAUGCUUUAUUUGGUAUUUCAUUUAUGUUAGAAACCUAUUCAGUUCCAGGCCUAUGAAAUUUUGGAAUUGCAUUUAGUUUUGUUAUUAUUGAAUAAGACUUUGGAUUAAUUAACUUUAUCAACUUCCAGCAAAAGUCACUUGGGUUCUUUCUUCUCUAACCAUUCUAGGUGGGUCUAAUGGUAAAAAGGGAGACAUAGUCUCAAUAUCUAAUUAAGAAGCUAUGGGUUCAAUCCAUGGUGGCCACCUACCUACGAAUUAAUUUUCUAUUAGUUUUCUUGACACCCUAAUGUUGUAGGGUCAGACGAGUUGUCAGAUUAGUUGAGGUGCGCAUAAGCUGGUUCGAACACUCACAAAUAUUAAAAAAAAUAAAAAAAUGUUUAGCUUUUGUCCAUAUUACUAUGAUUGGCGUUUUGAACUUGAAAAUAAUAGUGAUAUAUCUCCUACGUUUUUCCUCCUCUUUUCUCUUUUCCAUUUACAGGCCGUAUUCAGAAGGUAUUUGAGGCCUGAAAAAGAUUACUUAUCAUUUUCAUUGUUGUAUAGAAACGGGGAACGGUCACUUGACUUGGUUAGUGAAAAUCAACUUCAAAUAUUCAAAUUUCAACUUCUUAUCUACAGCAUCUCUGAUUGCAGAGUAAUUUCAGUGAUUUCUGUUAUCUGUAAUCUUUUUAUAGAUCUGCAAGGACAAAGGUGAAGCUGAAGUCUGGUUUCUUGGCCUUAAGAAUUUAAUUUCUCCAAGACAACAUCAUGGACGUUCUAGGAGUGAUUUUUCAGAUGUGAGUUUUUUCAUUGCAUUCUACAGCAUUCACUUCUAUUAUGAGCACUGUCUUGUAUUUAUUUUAAAAUUUUUUUUUUUAACACAUUGGCAGUUAGAUUUAUUAUUAUCUUCUUUUGGUAUUGUUAUUGCAUCGAUGUUGAACUCACAUGUAAGACGGCAUGAAGUAGCUGUGCAAUUAUUCAGGAUAAUGCAAUAGCACAAUGGUUUUACAGAUAGUCUUUCUACAGAAAAUUAUGUGAUACUUGCUAUAUAGCUGGAACUCAAUGCACCAUACCCUGGAUGGUCCUCUAAUACACUCGAGGAUGAGUUUAAUAUUCUCCAACACUAUCCACAUGUUGGAGAUUUGAAAGGCAUCUCUUUGCCAUACCAUUUCUAGCUUAUAAACAAUGAAUAAGAACUAAUGAGCCAUAGAAUAGAAGUGUGUAUUCAAAACUACAUCACUGAUUGACCCAAAAGUGGAUAAAGGCAUAUUUUAUUAUACAUCACCAACAAAAACAUAUCUACAAUUUCUUCCAUUCCUUGGUAUUUUAUUUGAAAACAGUCAUAAUUUUUUAUUCAAUUCCUAUAUUGUAGUUCACUGUUCCCAGAAUAAAACCAUGUUAAAAACUUGAAACUAUAGCAGCCCCAAACAUUUCAAAUUGUAUAUUGGUUGAUCUUUCAUUUUCUAUUUUUUUUUCUUCCAGUUAUGGAGUAAGUAUAUGUUUUAACCAAGUUGCUGAAUAUGAUAAAUCUUCCAAAUUUGGGCAUGUAUUUUUUAGCGAUCUUGAUUCCUUAUGAUAAUCAUAGACGACAUGGGUUGGGCAGUAACACUUUUUAGCUGGUUAUCAUGUGGCUAAUUUUCUAAGCUAUCCUAUAAAAAAAAAAAUUAUAAUUUACUAUGGAUCCUUAAUUUCCAGGUUCAGGAUGCUAACGAAUUCUUUCAAAGUAGUCGACCUUUUGGUGCAACUUUAGAAUUUAGUAACAGCUUAGCUCGUGGAAGGGAUUCUAUUGAUUUAAAUUCUCGUGAAUCUCAUUUGCAUCUGGUAAGUUCAGAUGUUGGUUCGGAACGUGCAAAUAUGCAACUAAGAACAAGUGGUGGAGAUGGUUUUCGCAGCAGUGUAUCAAGCACUCCUAGUUGUUCAAGUGGAGGAUCUGGACCAGAUGAUAUAGAAUCACUAGGUGAUGUUUACGUAUGGGGAGAGAUUUGGACUGAUUUAGUUUUACCAGAUGGAACUUCAAGUCAAAUUCCAGUUAAAAAUGAUGUGCUCACUCCAAAGCCAUUGGAGACGAAUGUUGUUCUUGAUGUUCAACAGAUUGCUUGUGGUGUCCGACACAUUGCUCUUGUAACAAGGCAAGGUGAGGUUUUCACUUGGGGUGAAGAAUGUGGUGGACGUCUCGGUCAUGGAAUUGAUAGAGACUUUAGUCGCCCCCAUCUUGUUGAGUUUCUAGCAGUUAGUCAUGUAGACUUUGUAGCUUGUGGUGAGUAUCAUACAUGUGCCAUAACCUCUUCGAAUGAUUUAUACACUUGGGGUGACGGUAUUUUUAAUUCUGGAAUUCUUGGUCAUGGUACUGACAUUAGUCACUGGAUACCCAAAAGAGUUGUCGGUUCGCUGGAAGGGCUUCAAGUUUUAUCUGUUGCAUGUGGCACGUGGCAUUCAGCAUUAGCAACUUCCAAUGGAAAACUAUAUACAUUUGGUGAUGGAACAUAUGGUGUCUUAGGCCAUGGUGAUAGGGAAAGCGUGGUAUAUCCAAGAGAGGUGCAACUAUUGAGUGGACUUAGGACCAUCAAGGUUGCUUGUGGAGUCUGGCACACUGCUGCUAUUGUUGAGGUUAUGAGUCAGACUGGUUCAAAUAUGUCAUCUAGGAAGUUGUUCACGUGGGGUGAUGGUGAUAAAUAUCGCUUGGGUCAUGGAAACAAGGAAACUUAUCUUCUUCCUACUUGUGUUUCUUCACUCAUAGACUACAAUUUCCACCAGUUGGCUUGUGGACACAACAUGACAGUGGCUCUUACCACCUCCGGUCACGUUUUUACCAUGGGUGGUACUGCAUAUGGUCAGCUAGGCAACCCAAGUUCAGAUGGAGUUAUUCCUUGCUUAGUGCAGGAUAGAUUAGUCGGUGAAUUUGUUGAAGAAAUUUCUUGUGGUGCAUAUCACACAGUUGUUUUAACAUCAAGAAAUGAAGUAUUUUCUUGGGGGAGGGGUUCCAAUGGAAGAUUAGGGCAUGGAGAUGUGGAGGACAGGAAAGCCCCAACACUCAUAGAAGCUUUGAAGGAUAGGCAUGUUAAAAGUAUAUCUUGUGGGUCAAAUUUUACUGCAAGUAUAUGUAUACACAAGUGGGUUAGUGGAGCAGAUCAGUCCGUUUGCACUGGUUGCCGUCAGGCAUUUGGUUUCACAAGGAAGAGGCACAAUUGUUAUAACUGUGGGCUGGUACAUUGUCAUUCGUGCAGCUCCAAGAAAGCUUUGAAAGCAGCACUUGCACCUACCCCAGGCAAACCACAUCGUGUAUGCGAUUCUUGUUAUGCCAAACUUAAAUCUGCUGAGGCUGGCAACAACUUUUGUGUGAAUAGAAAAUUGACAGCCAAUCGUCGUUCAACAGAUUACAAGGAAAGAUUUGAUAGAGGGGAUGUGAGGCCCUCUCGCAUUCUAUUGUCCCCCACUACAGAACCUGUUAAAUAUCAUGAGAUUAAAUCGGUUAGACCAGGGAGUAGACCAACUUCUCCUUCUAUGGUUAGAGCUUCUCAGGUCCCUUCCCUUCAACAACUGAAAGACAUUGCAUUUCCAAGUUCGUUGAGUGCCAUUCAAAAUGCUUUGAGACCUGCACUUGUGGCACCGCCGUCACCACCACCAAUGGGCAAUUCCAGACCUGCAUCACCGUAUGCAAGGAGACCAAGCCCUCCACGCUCAACUACUCCGGUGUUCUCAAAAAGUGUUAUUGACUCUCUUAAGAAAUCAAAUGAGACGUUGGUUCAAGACAAAUCAAAGCUUCAAAGAGAAGUAUUAACUUGUUUCCUUAUAAAUCCAUAUUUUUGUUUGGUCACUGUAAUAUUCUUAUGCUUUUUCUAAAGAAGCCUAAACCGAAAGAAACUUGGUUUCAUUCAUAUAAAUCCCGUCCUUCCUUGUUUAUCAGGUUAAGAAUUUGAAGCAAAAAUGUGAUAUUCAAGGUGCAGAAAUUCAAAAUUUGCAAAAGAAUGCAACUGAAGCAGCUUCAUUAGUUGAAGAAGAAUCCUCCAAGUGCAAAAUAGCAAAGAAAUUAGUUACAACAAUAACAGAGCAGGUAAUCCAAAUAUAUUAGCAUUUGAGUUACUUCAUUUUUUGUUCAAUAGCUUGUUUAAAUAAUUGAAGAGAGUGGUUUUGAUCUCAUUGGUAACCUCACUAAGUUUAUUUGCAGGUUUGUGAAAAUUUGUUAUUGUAUUAGAUAAGACAAGCAACCUUCUUAGCUCUUAACAUAUCAAAUUACUAAUUUUGCAUCCUUCAGUUGAAAAAAGUCAAAACAUGUUUGUCCCGCAAGUGAAUGAAAACAAGUUAUCUUCUUAAGUUUUUUCAUGACAAAACCACAUGAGAUGUAUUGCUAACCAAUGAUUCAAAUAUUAGUCAGGCAUGAUGAUUAAUGUAAAUUUGUUCCAUUUUCUUAUAGUUGAAGGAAAUGAAAGACAAACUGCCACCUGAGAUAUGGGAUGGUGAAAAUUUUAAAUCCAUGUAUGCCCAAGCUGAAGCUUUCUUAAAUAUGGUUGAGACAUCAAAAACUUCAUCCUUACCUACGAGUCAUGAAAAAACUAACAAUCUAACUGCACUCAACAAUGGAUCUACUCCCUCACUUGACGAUUCUUCAAAGAGGAUAGAAGACGAUGGUUCAGGAAGGAAGGACUUAACGCAGGAGAAUGUAAAUAGUCUCCUGGAAAGUAAGAAAACUUCAGAAAAUGGCUCGAGAUCUCCAUUAUCUUCGACUGAAGGCGAAAAGCAAGUUAUUGAGCAGUUUGAACCUGGUGUUUAUGCAACUUUGGUUGUGCUUUCAAAUGGUACCAAGAUUUUCAAACGCGUUAGAUUCAGGUAUAUCUAACUCUAAUCUCUCUCUCUCUCCCUCUCUCGGCUCGGGUGCGCACCUACAACACCCUACCAACGUAAAUCUAUAGUUACUUCAAUUUAAUUUCUUUUCGUUUUUGUUUGCAGCAAGAGAAGGUUUGAUGAGCAGCAAGCAGAAGAUUGGUGGAGUAAAAACAAAGACAGGCUGCUUAAAAGAUACAACCCAUCAACAAGCACAAGCAGCUCUACGCCAACCGGUUCGCCUAAAACUCAACCAGUAUCAUCUACAGAGGAAAGCAAUGAAAUUCCAUCAGCCCCCCCAUAAUUAUUGGAUGUAUAAUAAUCCAAAGGUUUGCUUUAGAAUAGCUGCAUCAUCGAUGAAUUCGUAGAUUUUAUUAGCAACAGAAGGCAACAAGAUGGAGAAAAUUCAAGUUGAAAAUAAGGCAAAGGUAAACGUUUAAGUUCCAAGUCGGAAACCUCAGAGUGAACCAUUUCUUCUCCUUUCGUUUAAUCUUUUUAUUCAUUCAUUUCAUUUUGAGCAUCUCCUUUUUUUGGAUGCACACAACCCACUUUCUUACAACUUUGUGAUGAUGUUUACUAGAAAUAGGAAAACAAAGAAAAAGGCUCUAAUUUUAGUGUUCUACUCAUUGAAGCUCUCCAUUCCUUACAUCCUUCAAACAAAAUUAUUUCAAUCGGAGGUUUGGUUUAUGGCCCUACCCUUUUCAUUUGGUGAACUUACACCUUUCAAGGCCAUUAAUUAUAUAUAUAUAGCUUUAACUUCACAAUCACUGUGUGUAUAAUACGAAACUUGGAAUUCCCAUUCACAAACUUUAGGACUUCAAAGUUAGAUAGUUUCAGUUCUAAGUCCCAUUUCAUAUGGAUUUAUUUUGCUAUAUUUCACAACAAACAAUCCUUUUUGUUUAUUUGAAAACUAUUUUCUUUUUUCUUCAUAAUAGGAUUGAGGUUCGGAGAUGACUAAAUUAUGGUUAACAUAAUAAUAAUAAUAUAAUUCAAGUAUUCGUUUAUUUAGUAAAUUCUAUCAUAUUUGAAACUUACAUAAGACAACAUUUGAGAAAAAAAGUUCAUUAUUAGAUUUUCAGAUUGAUAUUUGGACUUUAUUACUAAAACAUAACAUUGAUUAGUAAAAUAAUUAAUAGAUAUAAAUUCAUCCAUUCAUUCAUUCAUUAAACAAUUGUUUGAACAACGAUGUUAAUUGUUAAACCUAUGAUUGAUAUUUAGAAAUAGUCCGAACUCUCUCGAUUCCAACUUAAUUAUAUGAUUAAACAACAUAAUAAAAUGAUUAGGAAAAUAAAUCAACAGCUCAUUCAUUUCUUAAAUGAAAACGAUAUUUAGAACAUAUUUUCUAAAAUUAAUAAUAAAGGAAAAUAUGGUUUAGAGAAAAGAAGAGAACAAUGUAAGGAUUGCAAGGGGACUGAAUAAAACAUUUAUACAUUUACACAAAAGUAAGAAGAGAAAUUGCAUUUGUUUGCUUUCUAAAUAAUCAAAGAUUAGGAGCCAAUAAAAAUGGUGUAAGAAUCUGAAAAUUUAGAUUAUAACAUAACAAAAGAAUUCUGCACAUUAUGGUUCCAUGAACAUUUCUACUUGAUGUUUUGAUCUUAGAAGUAAGACUUACAAACUAUAAGCAAUCUGUGUAAUCAGACAUUAAUUAUCAAUAAAAUUUGAGAGCUACGGUAGAGGAACACAAAACGGAAACCCAAAAGAGUUUAGAAAAAAACAGCUCGGUGAGUUCCUCCAACCAUUAAAACUCGGUUGUCAGCAAAUUCAUCAAAACCCUCGAUACUCAAAUUUGGUUGUUUCUCGGACCACUUGGGACAUCAAAAGUUUUCAUAUGACCCCACAAAAUUCUUCAAAUUAGUGCAAUUGUGAUUCAAGAAGUAUGUUUGUCGCAAUGUUAACGUCGUUUCUGGCCUGCACAAGGGCCUGCCUGGCCGAGUUUCUGUCGAACCCCAUUGAAACAAGUGUAGCAAUGGCGUCUUCCGAUGGUUCUGUGGCAGUUGGCACAGAAGGAUAGUUCCUCUAAAAUUAUAGGAGGAAACAAUUCAGGUUUUAGUAUAAUUGAGAAUGGGGGAAUCGAGAAUCACAAACCUCGUAGUUAUUAUGUUAACAUAAUGGUAUGUCAAUUGAACCAUCCUCAGUUUGACCAAGAGAAAACAAUCCAGUUUUUAGGUUAAAGUAUCAACUUAAGUAAUUCAUGUUUUCUGUGUCACCAAUACGAACUUAAUUACAACUGUAAAGAUUAGAUUAUGCCAAUAAUAGCAAUGCCUAUAUUGUGACGACUAUCAGGACACAGUAAGUUCUCGUGCUUAAAACCUAACAAGUCAGAUAUUGUUCCUCGAAUCAUUUAGCUUAUCAAAGUAUGUUUAGAGAAACCAACACCAAAUAGAAGCAUUCGUCAAAUGUACUAACCUCAACCUGGCGGCUCAUGAAGGAUGGCAUGUUUCCUCUAACAUCUCUAUUUGGGGCUGCUGGAGGAUUCCCCGCAGAUGGCAAAGAAAGUCUUGAAAAAAAUGAACUGAUAAACUCUGGAAACUGUAAAAGCCGAAGAAUAAUAAUAACACAUUAUUAGAAAACUAGAAAGACCUGAUUGAAAAGUAAGAAAACCUACAUCAAACUGACUCCAAAUGGAAAGAGACUAAUACUAAAAAAUACAAAACAUUCAAUUAAAAAGACAAAUAAAGACACAAAAUUAAUGAAGUGCACCAACCAAAUAAGAUGAAAAACCUACAACUAAGAAGCACCAAAAACUUAAAGAGAGCCCCCAUAAGAAGCUAAGAGACUAACCGAACUAAAACAAAACAAACCAACAAAGUGGGGCAUCAAACCAAAAGGUCCAAAAUAAAACUAUAAUUAUAAACAACAGAAUUACAAUUUCAGAAAGAAAGAAAACUAAGAAACCAAUGUGUGCUUAAGCAAAAUUUGAAUUUAACCUUGGCCUUGCGGAUGCCAAAUACAUUCAAUCGAUAUAAGGAACCAGCAAGAAUUCCGCAUAUCCCUGGUAAGAUAGAUCUUCUCCACGAAGACAGAAGGAGCUGCAACACCAACAAUAAAACUAGCUUACACAGCUGAAGAAAGUAAAGCAGGUUAUCCAAAAGAGUAUAAAACAAACAGUCCUUAACCUGAAGACCAGCCAGAUAUAUGAAAGACUUGUCAGAGAAACGAACUCCAAAUACACGGAACCGUGUUGAAACAGGAAUAUCAAAGAAGAAGGGUACAAAGGAAGCAAACAAAAGACCAUAAGGUCCAGAAGUCACUAGAUUUGCUGCAGGAUCUGCUCAAAAAGAAAUAAAAAUACAUAUUAACUAAAUGAAAAUCAUAAGCAUGGAUGUGUUCAGUUUAUAGGCAUGGUUGGAAAGAACAACAAAAGAAACUUAGGAAAACAAGUCAUCAGUUAGCUAGAACGUGUAUCGAGGGAGACAUGACCAAAAAACAAACUUAACGUGUUUGGAUCACAUUAAGAUCCUGAGUCGGUGAGAUUUUGAGCACACGUUAAGUUCGCAUUUUGGUCAUGGCUCCCUCAAUACAAGUUCGUUUUAGCUAACAAACCACAUGUUUUCAUACAUUUUUUCGUGCUCUUUCCAUAUAUGCUUAUAAAUGGAGAAACAUUUUAAAGCAUUUUAACUACCCUGAAAAACUUGGUAUAAAUUUAUUAUUAAUAUUUUUGUUCCUAUAGAAAACAACUUUCAUUGAGAAAAAAUAAAAAUAAAAAUACAAGUGCAUACAAAAAACCAAGUCUACAAAACAAAAAUACCAGUAGAAAAAAGGGACUCCAACUAUGCAAAACAGCACCUAUAGAAUAAUUACAAAAGGUUUUUGAAACCAAAGUCCAAAGAGAAACAUGAAAUCAAAACCCUAUAAAAACCCUAUUAUUUUAUUCCCCCACAUAACCUAUAAAAAGUGAUUCUUCUCUCAAGAGGCAAAUAGAGCCAUUGCGGUGAUCAUAUCACUAGAGUCCUUGGACUCACAGGAAACUCAAAGACUCACAACGCCAUAGAAUAUGGUCCAAAUCUUCUGUCUUCAAACAAAGAAAGCAAAAAAAUGAACCGACUAGCAAAGGCAACUUCCUCACAAGUCAAACCAUCAUGUCAGUGGUGUAAAACUUGCCAAGUAAAAAACGUCCCUUCUCUAGGGAUCUCAUUCUUUGAAGCAUUGAAAAUAUCAAAUUACCUAAGGAAGAAUGGUCACUCAUACUACAAAAGUGACUUACAGAAGAAUCCGUCCAAAGGAUUGGGACUCCAAACUCUCACUUCCUUCUCCCACGCCUAAAGAAGUGGCCUUUGAGUAAAUAAAGAAGAGAGGCCACAUUCACUACUUCCAAAUUGAACAAAGAAUGAACAAACCCAAAAGAAAAGGAAUAGAAGCUCCCUGACCAAACUAAGAAGUUAUGAUUCAAUUUUUUUAAUUAAAAAAAAAAUGGUAAAAAACCAAACUUUCAUUGAGAAAAAUGAAGGAAUAUGCAAGAGUACAAAAAACAAGCUGAAAAAAGGUCCACAACUAGCUACAAGAAUGGUCUCAAAUCCAAAGGAAUUACGCAACGUGGAAAUUAAAAAGAAUCCAAUUAACGAACUUCCCAUAUCUCGAACAACUUCUCCAACCUCCUAACAAUUUUACUAUUCCACCUAAGCCACGUUCCACGCAGAAUUGCACAAAAUCAAGCUAGCCAGAAAGCUUUUCUUUUCUCAUAAAAGGGAGAACUCAUAAGGACAUUCAUAAGGACCCCCUCCAUCAUAGAAAGACAAUCCCUAUUAAACAUCACUGCCAUACCAAACACCCUACAAAGUAAACUGCAACCCCAUAAAAGAUGACCAAGAUCCUACUGACAAUAACAAAACAAUUGGGCCACAAGACAAAGGCAGACAAUCGCUAAACAUGAUCCUACGUGUUCACUCUACCAUGUAAAACUUGCCAAGCAAAGAAGUGAAGGACUUACAAUGUCGUAAGAACUUCCACUUUCCAAAUAGAGGGAAAAAGUGUGGCCCCGGUUUGGGAAGCGAAGUAAGAGCGAGGCAAAAGGAACAAACUUUGGCUCAAUCGAAAAAAAUGAUAUAAUUCAAUUCACCAUCCAUUCAACUAGCAUCUCUAAAUCACCAUCAUUGCUAGUGCUGUCUUGUACUCUCCUUAAACCUAAAUCACCAUCAUUACUACUGUUGUCAUGUACUCUCCUUAAACCUAAAACAGCCAAAGAUUGAGGGCUUGUUGUCAGAUUGCGCCCAAAACUUGGAGGACAGCCAACUUGAGAAAAACAUAACCUGCGGUGUCACGGGGCAGAAGUGCGAUAGAAUGAUUUCCCAAAAUUUUUCCCACGCGAUGCCAAGGUACAACCUUGACCAGCCUAGAUGUUGGACCCAAUUUUCCCCCCAAAGGUAUGGCCAAGUCACACGAACCCUAAAGUGGGUUGUGGGGGGCUAACUCACGUAAGGAGGGAAGGAGAGGCGUGCACUUUGUGGAAAUAACACUUUACUCACAAGGUUAUAAAAACCACAAUCAAGGACAAUAUACAAAACCGACUCUACAAGAGAAUUUUGGACAGCAAUUCACUCUUACAAAAGUAAUCAAAGUGAAUGUUAUGUGUGAUGUCCGACAACCCCAAGACUCUCACUAUUCAUAUAGGUGGGAGGAGCUAAAAUCUAGGAAGUAGGGGGGAGUGGUCCUAGUGGAGGUUAAAACGUCAACUACCCAUUACUCCAGGACCACUCAACAUGUCCAAUGAUCUCCUACCUUUUAGGAGAGAACAUGCCCACUAACUCCUAUAUUUCUGCUCCACUUUCCCACUUACUAAAUAUUGGACACCACUAUCCUAUUUUGUAGGAAAAUAAUGAAAUUUCAUUUGGAUUUUCUAAUUCUGAGUUUACAUCAUAGAUGAGUAGGUAGAGACUCAUCAAAAGAAAAAAGAAAAAAAGUAAACAGAAGAAGAAACUAAACAGGUUUUUUUUAUAUAAUAUAUAUAAAAACUUUCCAAACACUUGCCAAGAAAUAUCAAAAGACCAGGCACGAUUGUCAAUAUACCCAACUAACUCCCCAACAAGUGAGCUACUUGCUAAGAAAAACUUUGGGUCCUAUUUUACAAAUAUUAGGGGAGAAAAAGUAACAAGAGGAGGGUAGUUCAGAGCUACAAAAUGAAAAGUACAGGGAUGGACAGCAAAAAAUAAACAAUAAUUAAGCAUGGGUUAAAAUUAUCCUAGCUGCCAAGCAUACUAGUAUAUUAAACGAAAAUGCAUACCUUUAAGUAAUGAUAUUGCAAGGACCUCAAAAAGUAAGGAGGAUGUUAUAGAGAACAAUAUAAAGACCUGUAUCACAAUGGAGUAUUAAUAUAAAUCUAUUUAAGAAAAAAACACAUAUCACUAAGGGAAAAAACAAUUAGAUUUUUGUUGUGAUCCAUUCAUUUUAAGGAUCGUGACUGGUAGCUUCAUUAUGACAUAUGUUUUAAUGAGAUCUUGCAGCAUGAAUUGAAUAAAAAACUUACCGAGUAUUUGUUGGAACCUAUUUGUCUCUCAAAUACUCUGAAGUAAUAUAGCAGAAACAGUCCGAACAUCAAUUCAGGAGUAGAUGAAAAGGCAAAAACUGACAUUACUAACUUCCACAAUCGGAGCUUCACAAUUACAUCCUGCCAUAAGGAUUACAAUUAACUGGUCAAAAGUCUACUCCCUAGUCCCUACCAGGAAAAUUAAGAGGUAGAAGAGAGAUAAAAUAAGUUGAAUCUAAGUCCUCCAUAAUAGGAAUAUAUCAACAAAGAUGGAAUAGAAGCAGUCAGAACAAUAAAAAAAUAUAUAUAUUUCUACAAGUGGAUCCUUUACCACGGCUCAUUUGAACCUAUAUGCCUUCCAAACUUACUAUGUUCAUUCACUCCCAUACCCCCCCGUCCCGGGGUUUGAGGAAUUGUAUCUCUCCCUCCCCAAUAUAUGUAUAUAUUUUAGGAAAAUAUCAAUAUAUACCUUUGAACUAAUAAUUCUAUUAAUUUAAACCCUAAACUUUUGUAAGUUUAUCAAUUUAUACCCUCCAUUACAUUAUGUUUAGAUAAACAUCAUAUGAAACUUAUACUUUUAUCAAUUAAACCCCUAAACUUUCAUAAAAUGAACCAAUUUAGACUCCCAUGGUCUUCGUUAAGAUUUUCUUUACAAAUCGACCAUGAGUCAAUGCUAAUCUUGUUAAGUUGAUAUUCGAAAAGAUUACACAUGUAGAACUUAUGCAUGAAUCAUUUUCAAAGAUAAUCUUAAUUUUUUAAUCAAACCAACACAACGUGCAUUCUAUAUAUAAGAAUGUGUAAACAAAAUAGGUCCUCUGUACCAAACGUGUAGAAGUUAUUAAGUUAAAAUCCCUUUGAAAACAUCGAAAACAAAUUCCUUCGAUGCAAGAUUACUUCGAGAAAGAGAGAAGAAAAACAAGUCAGAAAUGCAUGGAGUUCAUAGAAAAAUCAAUCAUCACAUCAAAAGGUUGAAAGAGGAAAACUGGGAGAGGACCCUUUGGUUGGAAAUUCAAAGAUAAUCUUUAUAAAUGGCCUAAAUCCAUUCAUUUUGAUAACUUGGGAAUUUAGUUGCAACUAUUAUAACUCCUCACAUGAUGCUUUUUGAAUGAAAUCUGAAGGAGUGUGUAUAUUGGGUACACUUAAGAAAGUCCAAGGUUUAAACUAACGCAAUUGUUAGUUUGUUUUUAUUGAUACAAUCCAAAAGUUUAGGGUAUAAAUUGAUUUUCCCCCUAUUUUUAAUAACCAACCUUACAUUGAGAACAAAUGAAAUAAUAGAAAUGAAAAGGGUCAAACAAAAGGAGGAAAAUCGUAGUAAGCAACUCCAACCAAGCAAAAGAAAAACGUGAAGCCAAUGGAGAUACAUGAAACUCAAUAAGGAACCAAACAUAGUUCAAAAAAUUGUUGAUAAGAAAAAAAAAUCAUUUAUGCAUGAAAUUCACAAAAGAAUUGUUGUCCAAUAAAACUUUAAUUUCUCUCCAGCCAAAUUUCUCAUAAAAUGAAAGCACUGCCUGCAAAGAACUCAUUGGAAGUUCCCUUGAAGCAAGAAGCACCAACGCUCUAUUGUCUUGAACUAUCCUUGAUUGCUUCACAUUUAACCAAUCUAUCAGCCUUCAAAAAUCGGAUAUUUCCUCUUCUAGUAAGCUCCUUAUCCAGUAGAAUCUUUAUCUUCUGGUCACCAAAUCCUGAAAAUCUUUGAUUGCAACUCCAAUGUGUACAGUAGCACGUAAUAACACUAGUACCCAUUCAAAAGCUGCCCAUCCACCCAACUAUCCUCUCAAAUUUCAACUUUAUUGUUAUACCACCAUCUUAAUUUCAAAAACUUCUCAAAAUUAAUUCUUAGCUAUUAGAUGAAAGACAAUCAAGGAUAGUUGAUACCAACUAAUUUCAUUUUCUUCUUUCAAAACAACUUGCUUAUUCCAUUCCAAAUUUGUUUACAAUAACUUUGUGUCAAAUUUCCUGACUUCGUCCAAAGAAACUUCAAGACUAUUUUUCCAACGACACUACAUUCCCCUCUCUAAUAUUCCAGUUCUUUAACCCACCUUUUUUGAUGGGAUAUGAUGUAUUAUCUCAUCUCAACAUCUCAUUAGAUAACUUAACUGGAAACUUACAUUAUCUAUACCAGGCUCCCAAAAUGUUAAGAAACGUGCAUCACCUCCUGAUAGGUACACCUAUUCGUUCGAUAGGUUAUUCACAUGCCGCACAACCAACCACAAGGCAAUAUCUAAUACUCUUUCCACAUUCAACAACAAAGAAAGAUAUAAACCCAACUAGAACCAAAAAAUGGCGGAGAUGGCUACUAUAUUCAAAACAAAAAGUGCAGAGAUCAAUUGAACUAAGUCCUUACACCCAUGAGGGAAAAAAUCAAUUACCCAACAAUCAACAAGGCCAAUUCGGUAUAUAAUCCUAAGAUUGAAAAAGUAGCUGCCAGUCAACAGAUACAAGCACAAUAAAUCAGGGAAUUGAUAAUCAAACAUUGAAAGAAGCAAUAAGGGUCAUGUUAAUGAAAGAAAGAAAACCCAAAAUCAAACCAAAGGUAGUGGAAGAGAAGUACCUGAUAGGACAAACCAAGCUUAAUUGAACGGCCUUGGAUCCCGAAGAAAAUAGUGAAAAGAGCGGAGGCGAUGAUGAAGGUCCGGGUGACGGGGGCAUUGUCUGCGGACACAAAGGUAGAGGAAAAUGGAUCAGAAGAAAUUGAGGAGUAAAAUGGGUGGUUAAGGAAUCGAAAAGAAGAGUGGAAGUGAACGUACUAAAACCGGAGGGGCCGCCGUUCAUCGUCUCAGAGAGGAAGCAACGAUCCUCUCAGACGGUCACAGCCUUCUUCUUCUUCUUCUUCUUCUUGUUUCUCUAUUUGAUUUUGAUUUGUCGUCUUCGUCUGUUUGGAAUUUUGGAGUGGAAAUUCGAUAUCUCUUUCUCUUCCUCUUCCCCCCACCUCCUCGCUACGGUUGGAAACUACUAUUUAUAUAUAUUACAUAAAUUACCCCCAAAACUUUGUAAUUUGUUUACAAAUAUCAAACACUUACCGAUACAACAAAUGUAGAGUUUAUUUUAAAUUAUAACAAACACUUCAAAUAUUUACGCCGACAAUUUCAAAAACUGUAAAAGCCCACAUAUCUAUGUGUUAAAUAUCAAAAGUUAAUUCAAACGAGCACGUGAUUAAUCGACCACAAGCGCGAGGGUAAUCUUCUUCUAAACGACCCUCUUAUAGCCUAAAUGAAUGAUCGAUCGUUUCAAUCAUGAUACACAAUUGUAUAAUUUUUUUACGAUGAAAAAAUUCUACAAUUUUAACAACUGUGUUAAACAAUCAUGUGAACGACAAUACAUCGUCGUUUAGAUUGUGCAGUUCUUUUUAAACGAUGAAAGCAUGAGCUUGGGUGAUAGUUUACUCUAAUCUUUUAAUCCUCUCGUAUUUGUAAGAAUGAAAAUUUUAUUUUUGUUGAUCAUUUUCCAAUUUCAACUUAAGCUUAUUUGUGGUGAUAGUUUAAAAGAUUCGUUAUCAAAUAUGAUAUUUCUUUUGGUGUCCUUUUUCUAUUUUGAGAUUCAUUGUUCUUCUAAGUUUAAAAUGAAAAUUUUGAUUUUAGGACUUGAAUUUUGAGACACCUUGGUAUGGGCUUGGGUCUACUUCAUUUUGGGCCCAACUUUUGGGCUUGGCCUUAUUUCAAUUUACAAUUUUGAUUCAAAUUGAUGCGUAAACCAAAUUAAUCUCAUGUCUAACUACCACGUGGCGAAAAACUAUAAUUUUGUAUUGAUUUUUAAAAUUAAUUUAAAUUUGUUUUGGUCACGACAUGUAUUGAUUUAAAUUGAUAUAUUAUUCUCGUAAUAAUAAUAUUUUGUGACCAUUUUAUGUUUAUUGGUAUUUGAAUAAUUUGAUUACUUUCUUAAUUUCAAACUUUAAUUUAAAGCAAGAAGAUGGGUAGAAAGGAGGAAAUAACUUUUAAAGUAGAGUCCUUAACUAACAAAUUAACAACUAUUAAAAGGAAACAUUUGAGGGUCUCUUAGUAAAGUGGUAGAUUGUUGCAAUUAUUCUAUCACAUUUAGAUGAAUUUGAUGUUGAGAUCUAAUUACUAAUUAGUAUAAGAAAUUCAUGAAAUUAAAACAAUAAAUUGAUUGAAAAGAGUAAAGUUGCAAGGCUUUUAACAAAAUAGAUAUCUUUAUCGAUUUACCUUUCAUUACACUUGUAUAUCUUUUCUACCCAAUGUAUUAAUCACAGAUUGUCAUGUCAUUUACGAAAAAAAUGCAUAAUUAAAUUUUAAAUUAAUUAAAAGUUGACACGUGUUCCAAAUUGAAAUUGAAGACAUAAAUUGUACGUUUUAAUGAUGACAGUUGAAGGUUAAUUAUUUUUAAAUAUUAUUUAUUUGGGUUAAAGUUAAAGCAAAAUAAUAAUAAUGACGCAAAUGCUUGUGAUUAAGCCUAUGGGUUUGAUUCAUGGACCAACCAGACCGUCCAAGUCCAUAAAGCUUGCCAGAGAACUUUUAUAAAUAGAGGAAUUAUGAUCAUUCGUAGAUUUAAUAUUUUUACUCCAAAAGGCCUAAAAGAGAUUUUUUUUUUCCAUGCUAAAAGAUUGAAGUUAUAAACUUUAUUGCAAGACUCCAACUUUAAAAACAUCACGUACUCUGUUUCCUCAAAUCAAACAUAAACAUUCAGUAGAGAGAGAAUUAAAGGAUGAAAAUGAACCUCAUCGAAUCAUAAUCAACAUUAACACAAGUUAAACUUCACGAAUUAAAUUUCUCUGAAAUUCUCAACUGAACAAACUCAAUUUAUUGUUUGUGUUACUUUUGUAUAAUAUAGAACUGCAGAUAUAUAAAGUUAAAAUUUUAAUACGAUGAAUGAGUUAAUUAAUGAAAAUGCGUGACAUAUUAUAAUAAGUGUUUUUUAUUAAAUUGGACUUUUAUAAGUAUAUACAAAAUUAUAAAUCAAACUAUUUGAAUGGAUUCUAAGUUAAAACUCAAAUGAAUAAGACAACAUUUGGCAAAAACAUCAAUGAUCAAGUCAUACAAAUAAAUAUGUUGCAAUGUAAAAAUCACUAACAUCACUAAUGAUACAAAAUAUCCAAAAACACAUAUAAUCACAUCUCUAAAUAUUAAAAUCCAUAAACUCAAUCAUCAAUAAAAAUAACUCUAUGAAAAUUCCUAACUAUAUAUAAGACUACAAAAUUAAAAAAAUGGUAUAGAAAACUCUUGAAGAACUCAUGCCACUCUUUCUAGACAUGAAUUCAACAAUCUCCAGCUUUGGAUUCCAUUCUUGGUUCCCAAGAAAUGCUUUCUUGCCUAUAAAAUUCAAUAGAAAAAGAAUAUGAACUUUUCCCGCUCUAAAAUUCAACCAUAAAAAGAUGCAUUUAUACAAAAAGUUGAGCAACAUUGCAAUUGCUAUAGUACAUGUCACGAAGCUAUACCAAAAUUUUUCUAAACAUAGCAACGCAACUUAAUUAUACAAACGGUGGUCUUACAAAGUUAUGCUUUAUAGUUUUUCGGUUGUUGCAUCAUCGUCUUCAAUAACGAAACGCUAUAUUGUGCAUUGAGGUGUUGUUUAAGCGUGUUUUUAAAGCUUGGAGCCGACCUUUUUCAAAGUUUCCAAUUCUUUAGUUAAGGACCCAAAAGCUUCAGAUUAUUAGUUUGAUUAUUAGUUUUCUUAAUGAAAAUAUCGAUUGUGUGUCAAAAUACUCAAAAUCUGUAAAUCAAAUAAAUAGAUUCAUGAAAGUAAUAAAAUUCACGCAUUUUGUUUUGUUGUGCUUCAAAUGUCUAUAAUACAUAUUGAAUUAUUUGUGCACAUUUUUAUGUUAAGUGAAUUAUAUAUUAUACAAUCAAGACUUUAGAAUCAUGUUAAUGUGACAAUGACGGUUCAUGUUGCCUUACGACAUAUGAAUGAACUAAAAGACAUCUAACUCAAUAAACUCAAUCAUAAUCAACACUAAAAUCUCGCUAAGUUACUAAAUGAUCAAGCUUGAAAAACCUCCAUAUUGAAGAUGAGAAUCUAGCCUCCCAAAGGGAUAACUUUGCUCGACUCCAUAGUUCAAUCACAAAGCUAAAAACCUAAAGGCUAAGUUACAAAUCGUAAACGGAAAACUAGAAGGGUAGUUGAAAAGUCGUCAAAUUCAUCUUCUCUUCUAACCUAAAAAUAAUGGAACAAAUAUCUUUAUAAGUUAUCGUGAGCAUCGAGACUUUACGUACUAUCGCAUGCAAUGGGGAGCAAUCUACAUUAGUUGACUAACAUUGCACAUAUUGGCUACCCUAUCUCCCUUCGAGCAUUGUAUCUCGACAUUUAGACAAUGACAUUUUUAUAACUUUCUCAAACAUAUUUCCUUUAUAACUCUAAUUUGUCCAAAAUGCUUUGAAUGACUCCCACCGCUCAAUUUCCUCUAAAUAAAUCAUUUAAGCUCUUACAAAUUUCUCGAAAUAACAUGAUUAAUCAACUCUAACCUAACGCACUUUAAAUGUUAUAUACUAAUAAGAACUUAACAUGAUAAUAGUUCGAGACACGUGUCAAAAUCUGAUUGCUCAAAUCCUAACUAGUAGCUAAAGAAGAGAUGGAAAAAGAAUUGAAGUGGGAGUGAGAAUAGAGAAGAAGAAAGGUACAAAAAAGUGAGAGAGGCACUAUGAGAAAUCCAAUGAACAAAACCCACCAAGUGAGGGAUCUUGCUUUUCUUUCUUUCUUUCUUUCUUUCUUCAUUCCAAUUCCAUUCUAUUCCAUACCCUUCUUUUUGGUCAUACCAUUUUGGCAUACCAUUUUUGGUGGGUCACCUAACCUCAUACCCACCCAUAUAUUAUUACAAAAGAAAUAUAUAUAUAUAUAUAUAUCUAUAUAUAAAACAUAAAAACAAGUUGGGUCCCACAUCCAUCAUUUUUCUAAAUUAACAAAAUUUCCCUCUUAAUAAUAAUCAUUAUUAAUUUAUUACAAAAAAAUUUUAAAAAAAAAAAUUCUCUAGGUGUUACUGCCCUUUAAACUACUUCACCUCCCUCUUUCCCUCCCCUUUUUCUGCCUUUUGAAAUAAAGCUAAAUGCCUCUAUUUGGCACCACAUGUGAGUUCUUAAAGACAGAAAUGCCUUUUUUUUUCUUUUUUAAACUUCAUUAACUUCACUUCUGGGUUUUCUAUUGUGUAUUUUACUUCCUUCAUUCACUUGUCUACUAUAUAUAUUUAAUUGCAUUCACAGACAUAUUCAAAACCGUACCUGCAGGCAGAAAGUAAACACCUACCACAAACCACUACUCCCCAAAAUGUAGAAAAAAUGUUAUUUGAAAAAAUUACACAAUACGUUCACCAAAUUGCAUGCCAACAUACGAUCUUAAUAAGAAAAGUUCAUGUCAAUUUAUAUUGAGAGUUCAAUACAUAACAACUACUCUACUUUAUUUAGAAGAUUGUAUCAAUGUGUGGAAACCUUUUCUUUUUAUAUUAUAUGAAUGUAAAUAUAUAAUACAUUAUUAAUACGUGGAAUAAUGGGAUUACAGACAACAUUGAAGAAAUCAAGAAAAGGAAAUAAGAAUGAAUAGAAGAAAAUAGAAGAAAGAAUAAUAAUUAAGUGGAGCAAAAUUUAAGGGAAACAAAUGGCAGCUUUAUUUAUUUAUUUAUUUAUUUAUAAAUAAUCAAUAGUGAAAUUAAUAUAAUUAAGCAUCGUGAUUGGCGGAAGUGUUUUUGACCAAAGUAAUUUAAGAUCAUUGAUUAAUUAAAUAAUUAAGAGUGAGAGGAGGACUCAUUGUUCUUAGGAACUAUAUAUAUUAUGUUAUAUGCUAUAUUAUUAUGUCAUUGAUUUGCAUAACAUCUGUAUCCCAUGUUCUUACAUGUUUUCAAUAUAAACACUUUUCCCUAUUUUCUCUUUUACUUUUAUUUUAGUCCACUUGUAUUUUGCACUUCAAAUAUAUAUUUGCUUCUACUUUUAAAUUAAUAUUUUUGUAACCAUAUUAUUAUAUUCUUUACCAAACUUUAUUAUAUUCCAUGGGGAAAAAAAAAAGAAAGAAAGAAAGAAAGAAAAGAGAUGGGUAAUGGGAUUAGGAUGCCUAAGGAAUAAGAAUUAUUACCUUUUUUGUUUUGCCCUUUUGGGUGCCACAAUACCUCCACUCUAAAUCAAAGCAAGAAUCACUCCCUCUUUUACUAACUCUUGUUAAUUAUAGUUAAAUUUAGCUCAAACAUUUUAUAUAAUCAUUCAGCUUCCCUAAUUUAACACUUAUGUCACAAAUAUAAUUAUUACCUACUAUGGUUUUGGUAUAUAUAUAUAUAAUUUCAAGUUUCUUCUUGUGUUUUUAUUUAACGUUAAACGACCAUAAUAAAAUAGACAAACAUAUAGUCAAUUUAUAAAUACAAUAUAUAUAUAUAUAUAUAAGCUCUCCUUUACAACAAAAUGUAGAAGUGAGUAUGAUAAGACCCAAAAUUCGGGUCGACCAAAACCAAUGGUAAGUUUGUGUUCCUUUCAUAGUCAAAAUCCAUUUGAACAUUAUUACUUAAUCAACCAUUGUCGAUUAUUCGGUUAUUGUUUGGUUAAAAAAUCGACUAUGAUCGAUAGAUUUAUUCAAUAAUUUGUAAGAUUUCUUUGAUUUAAAAAACUUGUGAGAUUCGAGUAGAUAACAAACUAAAAUUUUAGAAUCGUCAUAAUCAAAUUAAGAUUGCACCAUUGUUUCCAACAAAACAAAAAUAAGAUAUAUAGGCCAAAAAAAUAUAUAUAUGUAAUUUGGUCCAUUUAUAAGUAAUAGAAGAUACUUUAUUUUUAUUUUUUAAAAAAAGUAUUAAACUUUUGCACGAUAGUUAAUGUCAAAACGAGUAUAUAAUUCAAUUGAAUGUAUUAACGAUGCAUAGAUAAGUUGAUCAAUUAAAUUCUACGUCAAACUAAUUCUAAUUAUGUGAUUUUUGUAUUUAUCACUUUUAGAUUAAAUUUAGAUUUAAUCCAAAGAGUUAGAAUUUAAUCUUAUUUUUAUAGUUUCAUUAAAUGACCUUUAAAUAGUCGAUAAAAUAUAUUUUCACAAAAAGUUAAUACUACAAAGGUUAAAUUUAAAACGCUUUAUGAAAGUAUAAUUAGAGAGUACCAACUUUCUCUUUUCAUACGUCAACAAGAUUUUUUAAUCGUACACAAUUUAUUUUAAGUUGUAUUUUAAAUAUUAUUCAACUUAUUUAUAGUAAAAUAUCACUAUCUAUUAAACAUUGAUAGACAUCUAAUAAUGUCUAUCAUUUAUACACGGUGAUAUUUUGUAUUCUAUUUGAAAAAUAAAACGACCGUUUUGUCAUUUAAAACAAUUACCAAUUACUUAAACGAAAACAUGGAAAGUGUGUUCUCAUUUUUAUGAAUAUUGAAAAAGAUUUCAAUUCUUUUAGUAUCAACCAUAACGUUAUAUAGAGCUUCUCGUUGACGAGUGUUUGGUAUUAACAAACACAUUAUUCUUUAGUUUCCUUUCCUUACCUAAUAAAAUCCUAAAAGCAUUUAAAAGAUUAAAUCUUUUCAUUUAUCAUGAGAAAGAAAAAAGAAAAAAGAAAAAAGAAUAAUUCUUUUCAGAAAAAAAAAAAAAAGAAGAACAAAAGAAGGAAUCAGAAUUUAUAAAUAAAAUAAUUAUUAACAAAUGAAGUUCCUUUUCUUAAUAUUUUUGUUUAGGGUUAAAAUUAAAUUAAAUAGAUUCUUGAGCUUUAUAAAAGAAUGGUUUAGUGUAUUAUUAUAACAUUUAAUUUAUGCUUUUUUUAGUAUUUAAUUGGUGUGUUUAAACUUGUAAACGUGUAUUAAUAGAUUCUUAAUUUUAGUUCCAAUAAUUUCAUAAACUAUCAAAUAAGCUAUUGACUUAUUUAUUAUUUCUUAAUUAAGAUGUGUUGACUUAUUAGAAUACAAAUUAAUGAAAGUUAAAAAAUAAAUCUAUAACGUCAUUUCAGUUGGUAAACGAUAAAUGUGUUGAAAAUAUUUAUUAAAUGUAAUAAAAUUUCAUAUUCAGACAUUGAUAAAUAACGUCGUCACACAUUAAUAGAACAUACAUUAUUGUUGAUUUAUCAAAUAUGAAGAAUAUCAAAAUAUAUCCAACAAUAUUGUUGAAAUGCGAAACGUGGAAUACUAGUAUAUCAUUCGAAAUGAUAAAAUUAUAAAGUAUAGCAUCAUUAAUUCAAAAUGCAUUUCAAAUAUAUUAUUAGUUUGAAAUGUCGAUAGUGAUAUACUGGUUCAAAAUUCAAUUUUAAGUCGAUCAUUGGUGUAACAAUAGUCUAUCGAUAUAUAUUCAAAAUAGUUACCAACAAGUCAUAUUGGAUCAUUAUGAGUUGACGUUAUUGCACUAAAAAAUUUAUAUAUAAGACAAUAUAAGUUAGGAAUUAAUUUUCUAGUAGUUUUUUUUUUUUUUUUUGAAAAUGUAUUGUAAUACAACUAGAAGUGGGAGACUUGAACUUUGGGAUCACUUGUCCUCGAAUACAUACAGAUGUCAGUUGAACCGAGUUCAUAUUAACAAAAAAAAAAAAAAAUUAAUGACACAUUUAUAUAAGAAAUAUAAAGUUUCCUUCCUUAGCAUCCAAUAUAUGUUUGUGUGUAUAUAUAACUGGCUUUGUAUCAAUACUAUUAGUUGGCCUAGUGGCAAAUAGGUUCGGGUUACUAUAAAAGUCCCGAAUUAUUUUUACUGAACUAUAAAGUCUCUCAUCGACGAAAUUUAUGCAUUCGUCACUAAUAGUCUAGUGUUUUUUGUGAGAUUAAUUGAUACGUGUAAGUUGGCUUGAACACUCUAAAUUUAAUUUUUCUCGGUAAUCUAAUCCAAAUUUACAAUUUUAAUUAGGAUUUUAUUUUCCCUCUAUUAUUGGAAUUGCCCUUUCAACAAAUAUAAAGAAUAUUUGAACAUUAACCAAACAUAAAGACUGCAACUCGAAUUUAUUCUUAUUCCAAUCAUAAAACUUUAUCAACAAAGAAAAUAUACAUUUUUCAAACAUAAAAAUUCAAUAUUAAUAAUAACUAUCUUUCUUUCCAUUCUCAUUCCAUCUAACCUUGGAAAUAUUAUUGUUUGUUUGAACGUACCAUACCAAGAAUCAAAUCAUUCUUAUGCUUAGUUAACAAAAGUAAUCGAUAAGAUUAAGUACGUGACUAUUACAUUUGAAACUAUACUCUUUUUUUACACGUGAUUUUGAUAUGAUCCUAAUUACAAAACGAUCUAUUCUAAUGAAUUAUCUUGGUAAAUAAUUUUUUCAUAGUUAAAAAAGAACAAAAAAAAAAAAAAAAUCAAUCACUCACUCAAGGGCCUUUUGAAAUUAACAAGCUAAAAAGGGUCUUUUUUUUUUUUUUUAAUUCUCUUUUCUAAAAACAUCUUUUGCAAUUAAUUCUUAACACUAAAUGCCCUAUUGAGUAGAAUGACUAUACAUAUUGACUUUAAUUUUAGUUGCAAUCAAUUAAAGUACUUCACAUGAUGUGAAUGAAAAUGAAAGUACGACAAAAAGGAGAUUUGUGGAUCAAAUAACCACUCAUGUCAAUUACCGUUGAACUAAAUUAGGAUUUGAAAUCCAAAUUCGACACUCGAUAGUUUCAUCAUUUCUCUGCAUCCCCUACAACCCUAGCAUUACAUCAUUAUUUAUUACUUAUACAUCCUGAAAGCUUUUAAGAGUGAAAGUUGUCCUCAUAAAACAUAAACCAAAGCCCUUUCAGUAGUAUUUGUCUUCAUUCACGUACUUUUCUAGAAAAUUUGACGUAGUUACUGAAAUGGAAAGUAUACCUCAUUUAUUUUUAAAUUUUUAAAACCUUUAUUAAUUAUACCAUUAUACAUCUAAGAGGGGUUCAUUUACACGUUUAGAUAUUAUUCGCAUGACGAUUUCUUUUAACUUACAUACAUGUGUGUAUAUAUUCUCACAUAAUUCCUAACCUCUAUAUGCAAUACUUUCUCUAUACUUUGAUUUAUAAAAAGCUACAUUUGUCAAGCUAUAGUGGAACACAGAAUUUUGCUUCCAACUUUUCACCUAGCUACCUACUUGAAUUUGAAUUCAACUUUAUUGUUUAUUGUAUAUAUAUAGAGAGAGAUAGAAAAUUAAAUAAAAAUAGAUUAAUAAAAUGGAAAAUAUAAAAAUUAUAAAAAUUGAGCAUCUUUUUCCAAAAUUUUGUCUCUUAUUUUACUUAAAGGUUGAUAUAAGCAAUUCAAUCAAGAAUCCAAUUCUUUGCACCUCCCAAAGACAAUCCCUUUUCAAUUUUUCAUUUUACUAUUUAUCUCAAUCUCAUCUUCUUAUCAGAAUCAACCUUUUAUUUUUACUUUUUAAAAUUUAAUUUCAUUUAUGAUUUACUUUCAUAUUUAAUUAGACUAAUAAAUUUGUGGUUUGAAUUUAUGGAAAUAUUUAAAGAAUGAAAAGGAAAGGUUAAAUAUGAUUUCUAUUUUCUAUAUGUGUGUGUGUGAUUAUAUUUUGGAGAAAAUUGCUAAAAAUAUAAAAGGUAAUGAGUGGAAUAUAUGCCAUUGCUUUUACAUUUGUCUUAGUUUUAAAUUAUAAAAACAAAUCAUGUAUAUAAUUCAAUCUAUAUCUCUUUUUUUUAGAUUCUUUUCGAUAAACUAUCCCUAAAAAUAGAGAAAUAAUUUUUGGGUUGAAAAAGGAAAAUCGUAAUAAUUAGAAUAUUAGACCAACAAAAAAAAAAGUGAUUUUGUUAUAGGAAAUGUAAAUAGUUUAUUAAUUUUUCUAUUUUUGAAAUAAAACACUUUGUUAUUGUAAAAAAGAAAAAAAAAAAACCCAAAACUUAACUUAAAAUGAACCAAAUAUAGUAAAAUUUUAGAUUAUAUUACUCAUAAGUACCGAUAGAUUUUUAUUAAUGUCUACCAAUGUAAUGAUGUCAAAAUUGAUAAGCAUUUGAUAGAUUGAGUUUGUCAUUUAUGUCGUAUUAAAUUUUGCUAUACUUUAUAAAUAUUUUUUUUAGUAAUUUCAUAUUUUUUUAUGUCAAUUAUUUAUAAAUAUUUUUUUAGUGAUUUUUAUCAUUGACAGACUCAUAUGAAUAAUAUAAUCCAUCACUUAUAGACUUUGGAAAUUUAAUCAAACUUUUAUUAUGUUUGAAAUUUUUUUCUUUUGUAUUUUGGUAUAUCGACAAAUAUUUUAGAUAUGAUACAUUUGUAAUUGUUCUUAAAGAUGAAUAUAGAUAUAUAUAAUUGAAAGAUAAUAUAUUUAUUUAUAUAAGAUAUAAUUACGAGUGAAACCAAAAUUAAAGCUAUGUAGACUUAUAUUCAAAAGAAACAUUAUCAUAUAAUUGUAGACAUGUUGAGAGUGAAAAUGGUUAAAAUGUUGAGUGAUGAAAUUGACUUGAGCAUCGAUUAAAUAUCAAUAUCAAUAUCGAUUAAAAUAAAUUAAUAUAGUGAAAGUAUCGAUUCACUUAUAACAUUAAUUGAAAAUAUCGAAAAACGUCUCAUUCUCGGUGUAUUUUGAAGCAUAGGAAAAACACAGUACAAAGGAUCUAUCUAUGUAUAUGGGUGCAGUUUUAACUUUAAUAAUGUAAAGAGAUUUCUGUCAUGUCAAUUUCAUCCUCAUCUCUUCUCUAUGCCUAAUCCUUCUAUGCCAAUCAUUAAUUUCAACUAUUGCUUCUUUAACAAAAAUAAUCAUCAAUAAUUAUGGCCUCCAAUUUCUAAUUCUUUCUAUCAGUUUUAACUAUCAACUAUUCCUUUCAUUAAAUUCCAUUCUAUGCAACAAAAAAAAAAAAAAAAAACGAUAUGAUUGUUGUUAUCGUAAUUAGCACAUAAAGUAGCAAUCUAACACCAUAUGGUGUUACUUUAAACGACGCUUAUUGUAUUAACAUGCAAAAGAAAGCUAAGGUUCGUCAAUAGUAGAGUGUCAUUGUCACUUCAUGGAUCAUCAAGUUGAUUUCCAAAAGAGAUUGCAUUUCGUCAAAUAACAACGUAUGGGAUGAUUUGAAAAAACGUUUUUCAUCAAACGAAUGGAGGAUCAAUGAUUUGUCGAUAUAUCUCCGAAAUCAACUUUAGGAUGUGUUACAAUAAGUUAUAUAAUAUAAUAUAAUAUCAACCAUCCAUGCAAAUAUCGUUCUUAUUUUAUGUUAUUUACGAGAAAAAUAUAAUAUAAUUUAUUAAUAUAGAUAAUAAUAAACAAUAUCAAUUUUAUUUGAUGCCAUAAUAAUGAGACUAAAAUAGUCAAUGAUUAAUAGACGUAUUGAUUAACUAUUGAUUAUAUACAUUAUAAUAAUAAUGAAAUAAUAGUAUACAUUGAUUGCUUAUAAUCAUGACAUAGUUACUUAAUUAAUUAAUCAAUGUGCAUUUUACUUUUUGUUAUUAUUAUACUUUUGGUUCUUUCCCACUUUGUAACGUUUUGUAUUAACUUACAUUAGAGUGAAAAUGAACCUUCAAUUAUGGUAAUAUGUUUAUCUUAUCCAUUCAACUAUAUACUAACAAACAACUAUAUAUUUUACAUAUAUACGUAUAUAACCAUAUACUAUAUCUUUUCUAUUUUGAUUUGCAUUUUUUUAAUAUAGUGAUUGGAUUCUUAGUCAAAGUUCAAACCAAAACAACUUUUGGAAAUACGACCGUUAGGUAUGUAAACACAUAAAGCCUUGAAGAUUUUAUCCAUAAAAACAUAGAAUAGAGAAGAAGUGUAAUGAUAUAUGCAAUUUGGCAAUAAACAUGACUCCAACUGGCAACACUUUAAUUAAAUUGUUUCAAAAUGGCAAAAACUUAGUUUUCUUUAAGGUCAUAGACACUUCAAGGACACAUAAUCAAUUCAAUGCUAAGACACAUGUGCGCUUUCUAUACCUUUUCUUCUACAUCGAUGAAUCCGCGAUUCCAAAUUCUAUUUUAUGUUUUUAAAUCGUUUUAGUUAAGUAAAGAUUGUAAGUUGAGGAAGAAAAGUGGAGGAUUUGUUUAUUUGUGGGUGAAAAAUGAAUGAGAUUAUUAUGUUUGAUAUCAUUGAGAAGUAAGAAAAAGGAAGUCAAAGUUAUUUAUUCAUAAGCAUACACAAAUAUCUAUCUAUUGUAUUGUAUGAUAGGCUUGGGUUAGCUCAUAUUUAAUAAUAUAUAUGUUUUUGUUUAUAAUUAUGAUUAGGAAAGUUUUAAUUAAUGAAUUAAUUUGAGAGAGAAAGAGAAAGAGAAAGAGAGAGAUUUAUUGUUAGUUUUUGGUGAUGAAUAAAGACAGGCUGGAAGGAUCCAAACCCAACCCCACUUCUAUUAUUGUUAAGAGAGAAGAGAAGCCAAAGGAAAAAAUGAAUAAAAAGCUUAUGAAAUCUUUCAUUAUUAUAUUAUCUCAACACAACAAGUUAUUCAAAUUCACCACAUUGCCUCACCAAGCCAUUAACCAAAUACAAUCAAAAAAAUAUUAAUUAUUAUUUUUAGUUUAUGUAUUUUUUAAUUAAUUUGAAAAUAUAAUUCUAUAUUGUAUUUUCCUUUUUUGAAUAUUGUAUUAUUAUUGUAUAAUAUUUUGAUUAAAAAAUGUUAUGUUAGGUUAUAAAUUUAGUACUAGUCAGAAAGAACUUAGUCGGUUUAGUUUGAUAAAACUUUGACAUACCGUCUAAAUGAUUACCAAAUGACUGGCUUUUAGAAAGAAAAUAAUAUUGACUUGGAUUAUUUAUUAAGUUUGUUCGGACUAAUAUAACAAAAUAUCAAAAUAUUUUUUUAAUUUGAUUAUAUUUUAAAAAUUGUUUUAAUAGUUUUUUCUUCUUUUGGGUGGUUUAUGAUAAUGAUAAUUUUGUAAAAAAAGAAAAUUAGAUGGAUUAAAAUUGUAAUUAAAAAGAAAAAGAAGAACUUUACUUAGAAAAAGCAAGAAAAGGAGGUUGGGGGGGGGGGGGGGGGGGGGGGGGGGGGGGGGGUGCUUCUCGUCUCUUCUCUCUCUAUCUCUCUCUCUCUCUCACUCUGCUUUUCUUUUUCUUUUUCUUGCUCCCUCUGCUAAGCAUCUUUUCCUUACUUUUGUUUUAUCUUCUUUUUCUCCAUUUUAAUUUCUUCUUUCUCCCUUUUCUCUUCUUCUUCUUCUACUUCUUCUUUCCCUCUCAUUCUUCUCAAUCCCCUCUCCCUUUUUCUCUUAUUCACUCACUUCUUCUUCUUCUUCUUCUUUCUCACCAUCAUUUACUUCUUCUUCAACAAUUCUCUCUUCUUCUUCUUCUUCUUUUUCUUCUUCCUUCUCCCUUCCUCACUUUUUUUCACAUUCAAUCACACAAACCUUCUCUCUGUUUUUUAUUUCCAGGUUAGUUUGCUUGCUUUCCACGUGGGUUUUCUCUUUUUCUUCUCUUAUCAUCAUACCAUUGGAAUAUUUGGAUGAUAAUCUCUCUACCCAUUUGCUGAUCUCCCCUGAUUUGGCUGAUCAACUCCAUAAUUCUUCCCCAAUUGUUUUUUUUUUGUCUUUUUUUUUUGUUUUUGUAACUGUGGAAUAGAAUUCAACAAGUUUUGUGAGUAUUAUUGGGAAUGGUAUAAGAACAUUGCAAUUGCUGGAGUUUUGGUAAAACAAGGAGGUCUAAUCUGUGAGUGAUUUUAGUUUGUGUGUGUUCAACUGGAUUUCGGAUUCCAUGGGGCUCUGUCAUGGAAAGCCCAUUGAACAAAACCCAAAACCCAAUUCAGAAAACCCCAAUUCAGUGAUUCAAUCUGAAACCCCCAAAACGCCAACCAAUUUCCCAUUCUAUAGCCCAAGUCCUCUGCCCAAUCUCUUCAAGAGCUCCUCUCCGGCCAACUCCAGCAUCACCUCCACCCCUCUCCGCCUUUUCAAGCGCCCCUUCCCGCCACCAUCUCCGGCCAAGCACAUUCGGGCUCUUCUCGCUCGCCGUCAUGGCUCCGUCAAACCCAAUGAGGCAUCUAUCCCCGAAGGAAGCGAGUGCGAUGUAGCCUUGGAUAAGAACUUCGGCUAUUCCAAGCACUUUGCCGCUCACUAUGACCUUGGUGACGAAGUGGGUCGCGGCCAUUUCGGCUAUACUUGCUCUGCCAGAGCUAAAAAAGGCUCCUUCAAAGGCCAACAAGUCGCUGUCAAAAUCAUCCCUAAAUCCAAGGUUGAUUUUACUUACUUGCGUCUCUGUUUUCAACUACAAAUUUGCAUCCACUAAGUUGUUGUAGUAUUAUGGUUCUAUGUUCUUAUUUUCAUCCUGCGCAAUGUCAAGAAUAUCGGUUCACCAUCUCGUAAUGGUUGGACAAUUUAUUAAUUUAUUGGAUUUAUGAAUCUGGAGUUGUUUUUAUUUCGGAUAAUUUUUUGGUGUCUCAUGAUUUUCUUUUGUGUAAUGCGGGGAAUUUUGAGGUUGGAGAAUUUUUGCUUUGAUGAAAUGUUCGUGGAGCCCCUUCUUUUAUUAGCAUUUAAGGUGAUUGUGUGCCUACUUAACCCAAUAUCAUGUUCGUCUGUCUGUUUUAUGUUGGGGAAUUGGGACCAAAAAAGCUGUAUAAGGCACUUCUUUACUUCUUUUGGUUAGUAAUGAAUCAUCCUUACAUUGUUUUCUUUGUCAGUUAUGCCACAGGCUUGGGUGAAAUCGAACUACAAAUCUAUUUAAAUUAACUAAAAUAGUUCCUAACCAGCUUAUGUAACUUGUUCAUAAAAUAUUGAUUGCUAAAAUUAGUUAAUAUAAGAUACAUUCUUACUUUUAAAUUUUUGGUUGAAUUGGACGAUAGUCUUUUUAUAGACGAUGAAUGCCUUUUGGACAUGAAUUCAGCAUUUUGUUACGAGUAGUUUUCUGGUUCUUAUUGGGAAGAAAAUAAUGUGCAGAUGACUACUGCAAUAGCGAUAGAGGAUGUGAGAAGGGAAGUGAAAAUACUGCGGGCCCUCACUGGACAUAAAAACUUGGUGCAGUUCUAUGAUUCAUAUGAAGAUGAAGAAAAUAUUUACGUUGUGAUGGAGUAAGUUUAUAUUGCCCCUACCGACCAACCUCCAGCGUGAUUGAGUAAAUUCACACAACAAUUUUAUUUUAUUAUUUAUGCUCUUCAGGUUAUGCGAAGGAGGUGAACUUCUUGAUAGGAUACUUUCGAGGUAUCCUUUUAUUGUUGCAUGCUACUAAACUGAAUGUACAGGAAGAUCGUUUACUCUAGAACGUCUUCGGUUUGGAUUUCUUAGUUGUUGAUAAUCUUUUGAAUUCUUUAGGGGUGGCAAGUACUCAGAGGAAGAUGCAAAAGUUAUCAUGGUUCAGAUUUUGAGUGUGGUCGCUUACUGUCACCUUCAAGGUGUGGUUCAUCGUGACCUCAAGCCUGAGGUAAAUGGCUAAAAAUUUUGCUCAUUUGUAUUUAUUUUUAUUCAUGUAUUCACCCAUCUACAUCAAUCAAGUUCCAGCAUCUUAAUGGUCGUUUCAUGAUAUUUCUGCUUUUCAUUUUCAAUUUCUUGUUUAUAGUUGUUGACAAAAAUGUGUUUGUUAACUAUUUCCUUUUCCUCGUUUCUCUUUCUUUUUUUUAAAUAUUCUUAAAAACCAUAUUACAAGUUUUAGAAAUGAAGAAAAAUUCUACAAUGACUAUUUUUAUAUAUAUAAAGUAAAUACAAAAAAAUACUUUUGGAUAUUUUAUUUAGAAAGUAUUUUUUCAUGUAAAUUUUAAAUGUUCUAGGUUAGAGUUUGAGUACCCUAAAAAAAGAAACUUACAAUUUGAGAGAACAAAACAUUCAAGGGUUACAAACACUACAACACAUCUCUGUUUAUUUUUUAAUAUAAAAAAAGAAACAACACAAAUAAUAACUGAAAGUUGGUUUCAUUUUUCUUCUUUAAAAAAGUAAAAAACAAGGAAUAGAAAUUAGAAUUCCUAUACAAAAGAUAUAAAUAAAAGAAACUAGGAGUGUUAUCAAAUGCCACAAUUUCUUCGGGUUGCAUUUUGGUUUUGAAAGAAUUUGGAUCUAAUUAAUACAGUUUCUUUAGUACACAAAAAUGUGGAGGUGAGAUUUGAACCUCUAACCUGAAGCAAAGUAACAAGAGUCAAAAUCAUGACACGUAGCAAUUUCUCUUUCUAACAUUUGUUUGUUCAUCUUACUGACAUUCGAAUUGGUUGUUUACUAAUCUUUGUGAUAUUUUUGCACUUUUUUCUUUCUAAUUGUGAUACGCCUUUUACUUCAGAAUUUUCUUUUUACAUCAAAAGAUGAGACUUCCACUCUUAAAGCUAUUGAUUUCGGCCUUUCUGAUUAUGUAAAACCAGGUCUGGACUCUGAACUCUUGUUUUUUUAUCCAACCAUCUAUUUGAAAUUAGACUGCAGAUUUCUGACAUUUUGAUCCCUUUAUACAGAUGAGAGAUUGAAUGACAUUGUUGGAAGUGCUUAUUAUGUUGCUCCUGAAGUUUUACAUAGAUCAUAUGGAACCGAGGCAGACAUGUGGAGUAUUGGUGUAAUUGCUUAUAUUCUCUUGUGUGGAAGUCGACCAUUUUGGGCCCGAACAGAAUCUGGUAUUUUUCGAGCUGUUUUAAAGGCAGAUCCAAACUUUGAGGAAGCCCCAUGGCCUAGUUUAUCUAUUGAUGCAAUUGAUUUUGUGAAGAGACUGUUGAACAAAGACUAUCGCAAGAGAUUGACUGCUGCUCAGGCCCUGUGUAUGUUUGCUGAACUUCAUUGUGAAGAUCUUUCUUUAAUUGCUCUGCUUAGAAAGAUAUAUUUUAUAGCAUUUGUUUGUUUUAUUUUGUAAAGCUCAAACAACAAUUCUUGCAUGUAGGCCAUCCGUGGUUAGCUGAUCACCAAGAUAUCAAGAUACCAUUGGAUACGAUUACUUUCAAGCUUGUCAGAAGUUAUAUUUGCUCAUCUUCACUGCGUAAAUCAGCGUUGGGUGUAAGUAUCAUCAUACCAUUUAUAUUUUAUUGUUUUAUUGUAUUAGGUCAUUUUUCUGUUUUGUUUUUCGGCCUCGUAAGAUGCCAACUUCUUGCAACUGAUUGGUUUGGGACAUCAAUUUUCCACAGGCUCUUGCAAAGACAUUAAGUGCUGUUCAACUAGGUUAUCUUCAGAAGCAAUUUACACUGUUGGGGCCUAACAAGAAUGGGCUCAUUUCCAUGCAAAACUUCAAGACGGUUGGAUCUUUUUCUGAUAUCACAUACGAUGAUAAAGACUUCCAAGAACGUAUUGUAAUGGAAUUAUAAUUUUGCAGGCUUUAAUUAAGAACUCAACAGAAGCAAUAAAGGAUUCGAGAGUUCUUGAUUAUGCCAACGUGGUAAAAGUUCUUUUUAUUUUCUUUCAAUUCUAAUACGUCUUUGAAAGAAAUAUGGGUGACGUGUCAUAUCAAUUAUGUACGCGUUGCAUGCUCUCUGGCAGGUUAGUUCCAUUCAGUACAGAAAAUUAGAUUUUGAAGAAUUCUGUGCGGCUGCCAUAAGUAUAUACCAACUAGAGGGAAUGGAGAGCUGGGAGCAACAUGCCCGGCAUGCUUAUGAUCAUUUUGACAAGGACGGAAACCGACCAAUAAUGAUCGAGGAACUUGCUUCAGUACGCUCUUUUUCUCUGUUUUGUAGAUCGUUUGCUGUGCAUGUGGUUGAAGUGGCAUGUUUUAUGAUAUAUGUUGAAAUGCUUUAAAUAUGUUCUCCAACGCUCUGGAUGACCAGGCACAGAGUCCUGCCUUGGUGGGGGCUCAUGGCGAACGCCCUUGGAACUUAAAAGUUGGCACUAUAGGCUGUUUAUGAUUUUGGGUCCAGUGUUUAGAGAGAUGUCGUAUAUAAACACCCUCUAAUUCUAUUGGACCUCUGCAUCUGAGUUAUCUGUUUUUCUUUUUCCUUUAUUAAUAUAUAUGUUACAUUCUCUCUCAGGAACUUGGACUUAGUCCUUCGGUACCGGUCCAUGUGGUUCUCCAAGACUGGAUCAGACACUCAGAUGGGAAGCUUAGCUUCCUGGGAUUUGUCAGACUUCUACAUGGUGUCUCUUCUCGCGCAUUUCAGAAGGCAUAAAGAAAAACCCAGAUAAACAAACCCAAAAUUUUCUAUUGUUAAACUUCCUUGACCAAAAUUGUUGAAGGAAUUGGAUAUGAUUCUGAACUCGGGGCGUGCCGUAGUGAAGAACCAUAAUAAUAUGAUCCUGCUCAGAAGGAAUAGGGGUGCAGAAGCUUGUUGCCUAAGAAGCGUUGUUGGUGCAUGUUGUGAUGUGAGGUGUAAUUUGUUGUAGUUGUGCAAGUUGUUUCUUACGUUUUGUCAUUGAAGUGAUUGGUGGGGGUUGAAAUUUAGAGGAUUAUUGUACAGUGGAAGAAGAACAGAGGAGGAUAAUGUACCCAGGUUUAGCCAACUACUUAAAACUCAAGAGUUAAGAAGAAGGCCAUUCAUGGCCCUUUGGCUUUUACUACUACUUUUUUCUUUUUUUAAUUUUUCCAUUCUUCAUGUAGAAAUGUUAAAUUCCCCCUCUCUAUCGAUGCUCGUGGUAGGAAAAUUUCCUAUACUACCUUUUUUCUUUUCCUCUUCUCAAUUUAUUUGUGAGUUAAACACAGUAUGCGAAAAGUGGGAUUCCCUGAUGUUAGUGUGGCGUCUAUUGAUACUUAUAACCACCAAUUUAUAGUGUGGAGAGAGGAUGUCUGAUACUAAAAAUUCUCUCUUUCUCUGUUCUUCAAUUAAUAAUAAAAUCUAUAAUAUAUAACAUAUAAUUAAUUAAUUUUGGUUGGAUUGGACUUAAUCCAAUUUUUCACUAAAAAAAAACUAGAACUUUGAAUUCAAUCCAACCCACGCUUUAACUUAAUUUGAUCCGACUCUUAUAAUAUGAGUUGGAUAGCAUGUGUUGUCAGGUUAUUUGGAUAAUUCUUACACUGAUUCACCUAAUUAUUGCAUUUGUUAGAGUUUUCGAAUUCCUUUAAAAAGCCAUAUUACAAAAAAGAACUUUUCUAAAAAGUAAUGUAAAUUUUGAAACAUGUCAAAAAUAGGAUAUACAAAACUAAAAUAGGUGAAGUCGUGCACCCGAUCCAUAACUUCAAUGUAGUGGAUCCCACAUCUUCUAUUUUUUAACUUUAUUUAUAUACAUAUUCAUAUAUAUAUAUAUUACAUUACAUUGGGUUCCACAAUUUUUUAUGUUCUCAUUAUCUAUAUACAUUAUACGUGGGUUUCACAUGUUCUAUUUUUUCUCAUUAUUUAUAUAUACAUAUCCAUAUAUAUAUUAUAUAUAUUAAACAUUCAAAUUCUAAAAAUAUAUUUCUUUAUUAAAUUAAUUUAUAUAUAUAUAUAUAUAUAUAUAUAUAUAUAUAUAUAUAUAUAUAUUUAAAUAUCUCAAUUUUUAAUCUUCAAUUUUUUAAUUUAAUUUAAUUAUUUUUUAAUCAAAAUUAUACCUACAUAUUUUUUCAAUUUUCAAUUUUGUUUAAAAACCAAUAUAUUAAGAAAAGAUGUUAUUAAAAAAUAUAUUAAACAAAUGAAAAUAGUAAUAAUAAUAAUCAAUAGAAGUUGAAGUUACUUAAAAAAAAAUAAUAAUAAUUGAAGCCAUCAAUUGAUAAUUAAAUAAAAAAAAUUAAUAUUUAUGAAAAAUGAAAAAAAAAAAGAAUUAAUUCGAUUACAAAUUAAAUUUUAAAAACUUAACUAAAUCAACAUUUUCUUUUUUUUAUUUAUAUAUUAAAUAUCUCAUUUCUUAUUAAAUUCAUCUUUUCUAAUUUAAUUUAAUUAUUUCUCAACCAAAAUUAUACAUAAAAUUUUCUAAUUUUCUAUUUAAAAACACAUCUAAUAACAAAAAUAUAUUUUUAAAAUAUAUAUUAAACAAAUUAAAAAAAAAAAUUGAAAGAAGUUAACCUUACCCUAAAAAUAAUAAUAACAACAAUAAUUUGGAAUAGAAAGUUAUUAGUUAAGUUUUUGAAUUUUAAUUUGUAAUGGAACCCAUUCUUGUUAUUUUCUUCCAUUUUUCUUUAUUUAAUUCCACUUAACUUAAAUCAAAACAAUUUUCUUUAGAUAUUAUUUGACAACAAUUCCUUACUAAUCUAUCUCAAUCAAAUAACUAUCCAUCAUUCUCAAAUUGUAUUCAACAACAUUAAAAAUUGAUAUCAUAUUAAAAUUAGAUAACAAUUAGUAUUAUUGGCAAAUUAUCAUACACAUUUGGUAUUAUAAUUAGCAAUUAUAUAACAAUCCUAACAACAAUGACAUAAUGGUCAAAUUACGUAAUUACGUAUGCCAUUUUUUUUCUUUCAAUAUGAUUUGAUCUGUCAGUUUCUAUAUAUUCAUGGAAUCAUUUGUGUGUUUAAUUUGUUAAUAUGUUGCACAUAUAUAUUGAUGCUAAAUUCAAACAACAAAACAACAAAACACCAAAAUAUGAUCAUAUGAAAAAUUAUACGACAGAGAGUAAGUUAUAAACAGAAAAACCACCUCCAAGUUAAUUACAAUUACGUCAACAAAUGAUCCAUAUAUAAAUCAAUUACAUCCAACCCUAACUAUAUAGAAUGAGAGAAUAUCAACAACUAAUGGAAUGUUACGUGAAUGUGUUUGUAUUAUAUAUAUUGUAAUUAGAGAGACAAAAGUCUUCGGAUCAACAACCCACGAGUACUGCUUUAACUCUAAUUUGAAUGUGCUGUAUGUAUGUAUAUGAUAGUAAGUUUAAGUUUCUGUAUUAUAAUAUGUAUCUGAAUUAAAAUUAUUGUUAUUUCAUCAACUUUGUAAAAAGUAGAUAGCUAGGGUGUUAUAUUAACACCCCCCACAUUAAUUCUGUUGUGUCCACUCACUCCCUGCUUGUGAGGAAGACAGUAAAAGAACAUAUACUCAUCAUAACUUUACCCACUGAUCUUCUUUUUCUCUAGGUAUUAAAAAGGUGUGUGUUAAUUCAAGAAAAACUUAUCAUAUUUUUAUUAGGUAACACUUUGUUUCACUCAUUAUUCCAUUUAUAUGAUAACCAAUCUAUUGUAAACAUUGUGAGAUCCUCAUUUUAGUAUUGAUUUUAAUAAUUAAGUUGAAUUUACAUGUUUAUAUAAUCUAAUAUUAUACCUCUAUCAUCCAAGAAAAUCACGUAUACAUUUGAAUUUUUGAACGUAGGUAAUCUUUUGAAACAUGGAACUAAAUGAAAACUAAACCCUAUAUAAACUUUUAAAAAAACUCUUUUAAAUCAAAUCAAUAGACUUUAGCACUAAAAUCGAAAAAUCGGUGUUUUUUUAUGUAAAAAAACCAAAGUUACUUAUACACGUGUAAAUCUUGAUACAUACGAUAAAUUAAAUUUAAAACAAAAUUCAAAUCUCAAAAGUAAAAUUGUAACAUUUUGAAACGUAAAAGAAUAAACCGAAAUUAAACUCAUUAGUUAAAAGACUAAAAGUGUAACAUUUUCAAAUCUAAAAACUAAAACAAACCAAACUCAAAACAAAUGGUAUAUUUGGUUUGAUUCUCUCUCAAAAAGUUAAUAUUAUUGCUUGUCUCAAAGCUCAAAGGAAAUAUACAUACACACACAUUGAGAAUGGAAAUAUAUGAUAAGUAAAGUUAUAUAUUUUUGUUUAAUUAUCCCAAAAGUAAAAGCUGUAUAAUUUAGUAAAAGUGAUUUACAAAUAUAGAAGCUAAAAUAAUAUGUAGUAUAAUAAUAAUAAUCUUGAUCAUAUACUAAUUAAUAUUUAUGGAUACACACAAACAUUAUCAUUAUUUAUAAGCCAACCCCAAUAAUAAUUAAUUAACCCCACCCCCAUAUUAUAUUAUAUUAUAUUAUAUAUAUAUAUAUAUAUAUAUAUAUAUAUAAUUUAAAAAAGAAAAGGGAAAAAUAAAUUAUAAAAACCCACCGAAAGCUUCCUCCAAAACCCAAUCUCUCACUUUAGCAAAAGAAAUUUUUUGAAAUUUAAGAAGAAGGAAUUUAAUUUAGAGUAAUGAUGCAACGCCCUGAUCAUGAUCAUGAUCAACCACAAAGCUCUGAGCUUUACAGAUUGCUGGCACAGACCGGAGCCUUCACCCUCGGCGGUCCGGCCUUUCCUCCGCCGCCGGCUUCUACUCAAACCAUGUCCAGCUCUUCUUCUUAUUACCCUCUGGAUAAUAAUAAGUCUCCCCAAGGGGUGGCCGCGCCGACGCCUCACGAUAGAGCUUUGGCGGCUUUGAAGAAUCAUAAGGAGGCUGAGAAGCGGAGGAGGGAGAGAAUUAAUUCUCAUCUUGAUAAGCUUCGUACUCUUCUUCCUUGUAAUUCUAAGGUCAUCCUUUUCUCUUUUCCUUUUAAUUAUUUUACUCGUUAAUAAUUUCUCCAUCUCUUCUUUUCUUUCAUUUCUCCACACCCUAUUAUAAACCCAACAAACACUGACAAAUUGUUAGAACAACAGACCUCUUUAUAUAUUAUCAUUAACAUAGUUUGUCAUUCAUUAUAAACUCAGAAUCAUCCUAGCCUAUUUGAUCUGGGAUUUUGUUUUCCUCACAUAUGAACUUGGCUAUUUGUAUACACAGUCAAAGAAAACUGGAGUCCGAUAUUUAGACGAUGGUGAUGAGAUUCAACUCAUUUCUUCUUAACCCAGCUUUAUAAAAAAAAAAAAGGGAUACGAGCGUAUAUGUGUACAAGUAAAAGGAACAAGAAUGAAUUCUUUUUAAAGAAUCUUUGGUGAACUCCAACCCUAAGAUUUUCUGAACACUACAAACAGAUGUUUGUUUGUUUGUUGGUUGAGUUUAGACAAAUUUAGAGACAGUGUUUGUUUGUUUUCUUCAAAGCAAAAACUGCCAAAACUCUCUCUUCACUGCCAAAAAGUCAUAAAAUACAACCUCACUUUUUUGUUCUUUCUCUCUACUUACAAUCUUCUUACCCCUAUUAUUUUAGUGUGUAUUUAGGAAAGUUUGAAACCUUUAUUAUUUCCAACCCUUAUCUACACUCAUCCGGUGAAUUUAGUAUAUGCUCAAUGGAUCGAACUAAUAUAUAUAUAACUCAAAUUCAAGUUUCGCUCCUUACAUUUUUUUUUCCAACAUACACUUAUAAUUCACAUUUUUUCAAUUAGACGGACAAGGCAUCUCUUCUUGCAAAAGUUGUUGAGCGAGUGAAAGAGCUUAAAAACGAGACGUUGGAGAUCGCAGAGCUCGAAAGCUUCCCCUCGGAGACCGAUGAGAUCAGUGUGCUUUCUGGGGAGAAAUCGGAGGAUGGAAGGCUUCUGUUCAAGGCAUCGUUGUGUUGUGAGGACCGCUCUGACCUCAUCCCUGACCUUAAUGAUAUCCUUAAUUCUCUACACCUCAAAACCCUUAGGGCUGACAUUGUCACGGUUGGUGGUCGAAUUCGUAACGUCCUGCUUAUCGCCGCUAACGACCACCAUAGUGUCGAAUCUGUUCAUUUCCUUCAAAAUGCGUUGAAAUCUCUUAUUGAACGCUCAAAUUCUAGCCUUACAUCCAAGAGGAGGCGCCUUGUACUUCACCACAAAUGAUUAUUAUUCAUUCUCAAUAUCUUCCUUUUUUCAGACUAAUUCAUAUUCUUCUCCUUAUUUUCUUCAUCUCACUUUUAAUCCAAUUUUCAAUCACAUCAACAACCUAACUUAAUUAGAAUUUGUUUUAAUAGUUCGAUAAAACUUUCUCGAGUAGAUCUAUGGAUUUUAUCAAAACGAUGAACAUGAGUUAUUAGUUAUUACAAGGUUUUAUAUCAAAACCUUAUUCAAUUAAAUUCUAAUUUUUAAAAUUAUAUAGUUUAACCUAAAAUCAAAUAGAUCCUCCCAUGUAAAAAAAACGAGAAGUAAAAUUGAAAUUUUGAUAUCGAUAAUUACAAUCAUAUUGAUUUUUUCUGAUAUUAAAACUUUAUUAUUAUUAUUUUUUAAUUUAAGAAUUACAUGUAUAUCAGAAACUUGGAAAAAUGGGUUUUCAAUUAUAAAAAUAAAAAGUAUGAUUUAGAAAGAAAAGAAAAAGUUAAAAAGAGAAAUGAAAAUUAUGAUUGGGGUUUGGUUUUUUUUGUAAGUUUCCAAAGCCAAAGGCAUGAAGAGAAAAAAGGGAAUAUUUUUCCUUCAAGUUUAUAGUACUUUUAUGAGAGCUGCAGGGGCAGCCAGAACUCAACCUCCCUCCCAAUGAUGUUCGUAUUAAUGAUAGCAACGACUAUCGUCUUUCAUCUACAAAAUUUAAAAAAUACGUCUAAUCUUCACGUGAUAUCAUAUAAUUUUAAAUAAACCAAUGAUCUAUAAAUUAAAUGGUAAAAACGGAACGUUAAUGUCAAAGUCAAUAAUGAUGUAAUUUUCUUAAUUAAGUUAGGAUUAAAUCUAAUUUGAUCCCAUGGUAAUUAGGAGAUGCUUUUGUUUACUUUAUUUUCUAGUUCAAAUUCAUCUAUAGUGUACUAUAUAACCCUACUUUCAUAAAUGAAUGGUAUUUAUUUUUUCUUAAAAAGUUUGGGGAUUGAUUAAUACUUAUAAAGAUAAAUUUACAAGGCAAAAUAUAACAGAUGAAAAGAAAAGUAUUACUAUAAAUUAGGUUGGUGAGUCAACCAAGCUAAUUUGAAGAAAAAAAGAAGAAGAAUUUAGAAAGAAAAGUUAUAAUGAAUGUGAGCAAAUAGUGAUAUGAAAUUAUCCAAUUGUGACUUCAACUUCAUGGAAAAAUGUGACCACAAAGCACAAAGGAAAUGUGGAAACAAAAGGAAGAAAAGACCACAACCGAAAGGUAAUGAGCAUUUUGGCAUUGAUAGUGAUUUUAUUGUUAUUAAUGAAAAAUGUUAUUUUAUUGUUUACAUUUACAACACUUUAUUAUUUAUUUAACUUUUUAUAAGAAUAAUAAUAUAAUCAAUAUAUAAAAAAGAAAAACCCAUUGGACUGCCAAAAAAAAAAAAAAAAAGAAGAAGAGAAAAGUGGUCAAAGUGUAAUCAUAGCUAAAAGGCACAUUUUAUUUUGCAAAGAGAAAAGAAAUAUCAUAAUUAAUUAUGAUGGUACACACAUAUGUGAAUGAACAUGAAUUGAAGAACAUGUUUCUUUUUCUAAUUAGGAAAUUUUAAUCACAAACUUUUUCUAAUUUUAAGUUUAUUAUCCUUCAUUAGUCAUAAAAUUUAAAUUUAUAUUUAAGAAAUCAAUUGAUUUUCUUUUAUUUUAAAUGAAUUUGUCAAAAAUAUUUAGAUAGAUAGAGUGUUUGAGGUCAAAGAAAUAAUUAAUUAUAGUUGAAUUACGAUAAUUUAGGUACAAAAUAUAGAUUAUUUUGGUUUGAGUUAUAUUAACAUAUAUGUUUGAUAUAUGUAAACUAUUUUAAGAAAUGACAAAUACGAUAGCAAAUAAAAAAAUAAAGCUACAAGAAGUCUUUUAUAAUUUUUUUUAGAAACUUCUCACACCCAUGUAAUUAUUUAAAUGUACGGGACUUUUUAUAGUGUUUUUGUAAGACUAUAUUCGAUGCUACAAUAAAGUAUGAGAGUAUAGCUUAAUUCUUGUAGUAAGAAAAAAAAUAAAUACUAAACAUUUAAACAAAUAAUUAGUAAAUACGAUAUCAAAUGAAAGUUUGAAAUAAUGAUAUGAUUGUAUCUAAUUUUGUGAGUGUUGGGUGAUUCAAAUCCUCUAACCAAAGUUUAAUAUUUGUUGACUUUAAUUUUCUCUAUAGGAGUUUGAUCUAAUUAUCAUUGAUUGAAUUAAGCCAUGCAUAAUUAAGCUGCUUUAAUUAUGGUUUACACAUUUGGUGAUGCAUAAUUUCAUGCUUUAAUAAUAAUAAAAUAAAACAAAUUGAGAUUUGUAGAUUUGAAAUAUAUAACUUUCAUUUUUUUAUAUUAAUUGUUAAUAAACCGAUAUACUAGAUAUCGAGGAAUUAGUGGAUGUAGCCGAAUAUCUCAACUAGGUUAAUUAUUACCUUUUUAAUGUCUUUAUCACAUUACGUUACUUAUAAAAAGAAUUAAAUAGGAAUUAGAUUUAUGAUUAAUCUAAUAUUAUUAUUUUUUUUUUCUCAAAUUAAGGAAUGUGAAUGUAUCCCUUCCUAAAUUUUAAAUAAUAAAACGAGUAAUAUUUGGGUAUAGCUUAUGUAUGAUCUAUCUUUAUACGUCUCAAUUUAAUUAUUGCAAAAAAAAAUAGUUUUUUUUUCUCAUUUUCUUAAUCACUCCCCUUCAUUAUAAAAUAUGAUAUAUUAUCUCAUAUUUUUGUCCAUCAAUUCAACGAAAGGUUUAUUGCAUUAAACUACAUAAUUAUGGUUUGUUUCUACGACGUGAAAUUUUUUCGUAUUUAUAAAUAUUUUGGUUCUUUUCUUUCUAUUAAUUAGAAUGUUAUAUCAGGGUGUACAAGAAUUUUGUUCACGUCUAAACUUAAUUUUCGAGUUGCUAAAUAAGCCAAAUUAAGUGAAAUUAAAGCAACCCCUAAAUAUCUAUAUAUAUUUUUCGUUCAUAGCCUUAUGGUAAAAAAAAUGUGUCGAGAAAAUCAUGUUAGACAAUUCAAUGACUAAUUAUGAUAACAUAUUAUACGAAAAAUAGUUGAGUAUAUCUUGGGGUGCACUUAUUUUUGUGAAUUCAAUCUAAUCAUCUAAUCUCCUUCCUAUUAUACGAUUGAGUAUGGUGUACCUCAGUAUCCAACUUUUUACUCAUCUUUCUAUAUUAAAAGAAAAAGAAAGUCGAAUCAUAAUAUACAACAACUCAUUUGAAUUGAAGCAAAGUUAAUAGGUCAUUGUUGAAGCUAACUGCAACUCUACUCACUCAAGGCAGGUUUUGAUCAGUACACACUUACCUAAUAUUCUUCUACUGGUAGUUUAUAAUCAUACCAAUUUUGAAAGUCCACUUUUACUAUACAUACAUUCAUUAAACCUUCCAUUCUCCAAAAAAAAAUUAAUAUAAAGGAAACCUUUUAGAUCUCCUACUUUGAUAUCAUGUUAAAUUUUCGAUAAGAAAUAUAUCAAUAAUCCUAGCUACGUUCAACCUCAUAUAUUAUUUGUCCUUUACAUUUGUGUGUAUCAAUGAUCUAACACUUUAUUAGAGUAGAAGAUCCUAGAGGCUAUGUCUCUAUCAAACUCCUAUUUUCUUACAAAUUAUCAAACCAAUAAGUGAGAUAUAAUGUCAAAUUAUUUAUAUAUAAUUAAAUUUAACCAUAUAUCUUUGGAUAAUUAGUUAGUGACGAUUUAACAAAACUACUCUACCAAGACGUUGAAGUGCUCAAGUAGACACACCACACCAAUGUUUAGUAACAUGAUCUCUUAGUACAUAUAUAUCCUUAAUUCGACUUUACUAAACGGCCUAUGACCUCAUCUUUGGUCAUGCAUACGCGUGCGCAUCCGGUCGCCGGAUCAAUGCUAGACUAUAGAAUGACAUAUAUAUAUAUAUAUAUAUAUUAAGUAAAAACGGGGGAUACUAAUUAAGCCAGAGAGGGUUUAUAUAUAAAGAAGGAAAAAGUGUUUAUAGUUAGGGUUAUGUGAAGUAGUUGGAGAAUGUUAUUGUGGGGAUAGAGAGAAUGAAAACAGAGGGGGGAGAGCGUGCAAAAAGAAGAUGCUGAGAGGGAAGAAGGGGCAGCAAAAAUGAUGAUGAUGAUAGAUGUGGUUGGGCACAUACAUUGAUAACAUAUAUAUAUAUAUAUGAAUAUGAAAGCUAAGACAAUUACACGACAAACCACAACAUUACAAAAACAUAGAUCUAUGUGAGACAAAAUCACUUUUGGCGUGGAGGGCAUUUGUGGGGUAACCCUAAUCAACUUUUUUAUUUGGUGCUUACUGCCUCUUUCAACCACAUACACACACACACACCCUACACUUUUUUCCCUCUCUCUCCCUCUCUAAACUAACACAUGUGUUAUUAGGGUUUAUAAAUUAUAAGUUUCAAGUUCUGGUUUGUGCUGACUGCUGCUUGGUUUGUUUCGUUUUUUAAAAUUAUUAUGCUGCUAAACACACUUAGUUUAUCUUUCAAUUUCACUUACUUUAUCUUUCAAUUUUCUUGCUUUGCAUUGAUGUUUUAAAAAAUUACUAAGCUGAGAGAAAAGGAAAACUAAUUAAGAAAAGUUUAAUUUACUUUUAAUGACUUGUUUGGAUCAUUUUAAUUUUUUUGGUUAAUAACUCAACCAUUCUCUUAUUUUCUAAGUUAUGGUAAGAAUUUGAGAGGAUAUAGACUUAGUUUUUAACAGCAAACUAAACAUCUCAAAUACUUACUUUCCAACUGUUUUCGCAUCCUACUUUUUGGUUUUUAGAAAUUUAGAAUCUUUCUUACAAUGCUUUAAACAUUUUUUUAAAUUAAAAUUUUUAAAGAGUUGAAUAUUUUCUCAGUCAAAUUCGAAAAACAAAGAGUAAUAAAUUUAGCUAAUGUUUCAAACCAUUUGGUAAAAAAAAAAAAAAAGAAAGUAGAAAAUGGAAAAGCAAAAAAUUUAGAACAAUGAAAAUAGUGGUUAUUAUAUGCUUAACUUAAAAGCCAAAAUCUAAAUAAUAAUCAAACAUAACAUAAAUUUUAAAGUUUGUGUUCAUUCUAUUGGUGACUUUGAAAAUAAAAGUAUUUAAUUCAUAAUAAAUAUUUAAAGUUUUUUAAUCAUGGUUAUUUAUAAAUUAAAAGUUUAGUAACACUAUUUCCAUUACUUCUUCUUUUUUCCCUUUUGUUGAAAGUAUAUUCAAAAUGAAAGUCAAGUAAAUUUCAAGAAUAAAUAGAAACUUAACUCAACUAUCACAUGAACCAAAAAGGUAAUAAAUAGUUUAAAGAAAAGAAAAGAAAAGAAGAGACAAAUGCAUGGGUGAAUGGAAGGAGAUGUCGGGACAUAGUAAUUUGAUAUAUUGUGGGAAUAAAAACGUAUACAUAUUGUCUCCUUACUCUCUCUCUUUUUCACCUCAGCAUGCGGUCUCCCUCUCUCUUUUGUAAUCAUUGCUACCACACACACUAUUCCUUUUCUCUUUGGUGUUAUCACGCACGAGCGGAUCCAACGUUUUCCUUCUGCUCAAACAUGGGAGAGAGUGAUCAACAAUAUCAUCCUCUCUAGCUAUGUUAUUAUUAUAAGUGUUUCCUACACUCACACUACCUUUUUCAUUACCUUCUUCUUCUCCAUAUUUCAUAUGAUCACCUCACCUCAACACCUCUUUUUUGACUUACCUUCCUCCACCCUCCAAAUUAUAUAUGAAUAUACAAUCAUUUAAGGAAAAUAUAUAUAUGAUAAUCUUUAUAGUUUGUAGCUACCCAGGUGUUUUGGGGAUUUAAAAUGUUUUAUUUUUAGUCUUUUUGUGUUUUCACUUUGCUUUUAGUUUGGCACAUGCAUCUACGUUUUAGAAUAUAAUGCAUUUUAACUUGUGAUAUUAUCUGACAUUUUAAUUUGGUUUCCUAAUUAAGUUAACAAGGUUUACGUUUUUUUUACUCUCCUUCAACAGUUUUUCCCAUUUUAUUAUCACGUUUUUAUUCAUCUUUUAACUCACCAUGUUCUCUUCAAAUUCCACAGCUGGAACUGUUUUUUUAUGCUAAGUUUGCCAUGAGUAUUCGUAAAUAAAUUCAUAUUAUUUAGAGUGUCAAGUAGUUACACCCUCUAACUCAAAUACACUAAACCUCAUUUUUCUUCUUUGGAACAUAAUCUGUUACUGAUCUCUGUCGUAAAUAAUCCAUAGUGACAGAGAGUAUUCUUGAGAGCUAAAGAACAUGAACUUCUCCUUUUUAAUUCAGUAGGUUUGGACAAAGAGUAUUCCUGUUUUUGUAUUAUAAUAAUAAUGAGUGAUUAUUGAUUGUUUUCAUCAUUAGUUGCUUGUUGUUUGUAUGUACUUAUGGUUGAUUUAAUUAAGAGAUUCUGUAUACAUAUCUUGUUUUUAAAUUGAUCCAAUGGCUUGAUCUGAUCCUUGUUAAAGUUCAAUUUGUGUCUACAUUUGAUUCAAAGUUAUAAAUGGAUAGGAGUAUGAAACAAUUAUAAUAUCCAAUUGAAGUUGAUCACAAGAAUUUAGGAUCAGGAAAAAGUGAAAGAAUUAAGUGCAGAAAGGAAUGUAAUUAACGUUAUAUGUUUAUGUGUGGGGAAGUUAUGAUCAUUAUAUACUAAUCUUUAAGAGAAAACAAUGAUCUCUUACUCUUAGUAUUGUUGCAACAGUAUACAUAUAACAUUGGAUCUUUAACUAAGAUAGUCUAAAAUGAUAUACCAUAUUACAAGAUUGACCCAAAUUUUUUAAAAUUUCCAUAAAUGUCUUAAAUUGACUAAUAUUUUAUACAAGUGUAACGUCCAAAUGACUAACCCAUCUUUAUUAUUAAUAAUAUAUUAAAAAAAUAUAUGUAGAUGUAUUAUUAAAUAUAUGCAGUAGUAUAUAUGUAACAAAUCACAAAACAUAAAUUAUUCAGUAGCAUAUAUGUAAGAAAAAAAAUUAAUGGAUAUAUAAUCUAUGUAUAUAUUGGUAUAUAUAUGCAAUAAGAAAAAAUCACAAAACAUGAAAAAUAAUGUGUAUGUAUCAUUGAAUAUAUAGUAGUAUAUAUGUGACAAAUCACAAAACAUAAAUUUAUUAUUCAAUGGUAUAUCAUAGUAUAGAGUUUAGGGUAUAUCAUAGUAUAGGGACAUUCAAUAAAAAAUUAUACAUCGAACAUAACACGAAAAUGAACUGAAUAAUAAAAAAAUAAACCAAAUAGAAGAAACAUAACUCGAAUAUAUGCUAUGGAACAUAAGGACAAAUUUUUUAAGGAAAAAAAUGCUACAAAAUGAAGAAAAAAAGAAAAAUUUAAUUUUAAAAGUUCUGUAUAAUUAAUAAUAUAGAUAAGAUUAUAAUUGUGGAAAGGAAAUAAAUAUUAAUUUAGAUUGAUGUAUUUUGGUGGAAUCUUUGUAUAGCAUUUUGGAGGAAACUAGGCUAUUUGAUACUUGGGCUCAUUGCAUAUUAUUGGGCUAACAUACACACACCAAAUUUUGGAGGAGGAAGCCGUAUUUGAUGAUUGGGUCCUUUGCAUUCUAGGUCCAUUACUUCAUAGAGAUUUGUAGUGAUUAGCGGUAGAAUCUAAAUAAUUCGAACUACCCGAUUCUAAAUUAUAAGAGUUGGGUUGAGUUCGGUUAAAAUAUGGGUUGGAUUUAGUUAAAAUUUUGAUUUUUUCAGAUUGGGUUGGGUCUUGAAUUGGGGUUGAAUUGAGAAUGUCUUCCAAUCCAACCUAACCUAAUUUGAUUUCAUCCCUAGAUUAUAUGAUGUUAUGUUCUUUCUUUUCCGUUUGCUAUUAACAAUUUUUGGCUGAUUUAGAUGCUUUUUUUUUUUUUUUGCAAAGUAUUGUAAUAAAUGUUGAGGUGGGGAUUUGAACUCGGGACCUCUUGUCCACAUGAACAUAAAGGUGUCAGUUGAGCUAAACUCAUGUUGGCUUUAGAUGUCAUUUUCGAAUUUUUGAAUUGACAUCUUACUGGUAUGAUCAUGAUAGAUUAUAAACUAUCUGCGUUUAAUUUUUUUAAAAAAAUUUUUAUGAUCGAUUAUCUAUUUGUUCUAACUUGUAAAGUGAAAAUUUUGGGAUAUAAUUGGAUUAAGGCAACAAUUUGGUAGUCUUCUUUGGAGCUUCUCAACAGUAUUGAUACACUUAUGCAAAACAGCCCAUAAGAAAAACUUACAUUUAUUGGAAAUUUCAGACUUCCACACAAAUUUGAUGUUGCUAUCAUCUCUUUGAUCCAUAAUAUGGAUUACUUUUUUUAUGGAAGCAAUUGUGAACAGUCCAUCAUUAUUCAGCUUUCAUUUUGGCGUUUCACAACCUUGGGAUGAGUUUAGAGAAGGAAACAAGGUUUUCAGCUCAGAUAAUUGUUGUAUUCCGAUGCUCCUUAACGGCCUUCUAGGAUUGUAUAUCACAAUCACAAAACUAUUGGUUCCACAUCUCUUUUAUACUCCCAUUUCGAAGAUUUGAGAGGGAGAAAAGGCAAGUCUUGUAUAAGGAUAGCGAGGAUUUUUCGUUCCAUGAACCAUUCCAGAAGGAAAUUUUAUCUCCAUUUUGAGCUACCAAUUUACAUUUGUUGAGAACCAAUCAAUCCCUUUGAUAAUAGAUCUCCAUAGGGCCUUUAAACUGCUGAAUUUUUCUUUAGUAGGAAAGUCACUAAUAGAAUCUUUUGUGUAUUUUGGUAGAUAUCAAUUUUUUCCAAAGAGGUUGAUUUUCAGAGAUGAAACGCCAUAGCCGUUUGCUUAAUUAUGCAAAAUUUGUGUUAGUGAUUUUGUGAUGCCCAGGCCACCUUUGUCUUUUAGAGCCUUAACUUUAGCCCAUUUUAAGAGGUGAGAGUUGUUAUCCUCUUUGGGAUUUUUCCACAAGAAAUUGCUCCAAAGUUUCUCAAUACUUUUACAAACACCAAUGGAAGCCUUGAAUAUGAAUAACUUGUAGGUGGGAAGACUUUCGAGAGUUGCAUUGAUGAGGGUGAAUUUGUCACCUUUAGAAAUGUUAGAAUAUUUUCAGUUGCUAAGCUUUUUAUUAAUUUUUUCAGUGAUAUUAUUCGAGAAAUUUUUGGAAGUAGGCUUGCCUCCUAGAGGAACAACCAAGUAAUUUAUAGGCAUGUAUUAGACUUAAAUUCCCCAGUGGAUAACAACAGUUUCAACCCUGUUUGAAUCAACGUUGAUCUUUCUGCAAUCACCUUGACAAUAAGUUUAUAAAGAGUUAAUGUUAGACUAAUGGGUCUAUAGUCAUAUGCUUUUUCAUAUUUGUUCUUCUUAGCAAUGAGAGCAAUAUAUGUUUGAUUGACAGCUUUGUUGAUGAAGCCUUUGAUUUGGAAGUCUUUGAAAAUGUCCAAUAUAUCUUUCUUCAUGAAUUUCCAAACACUUUAAAAACAUUUCUUUUGAUGUUGUUGUAUAAUUGAAUCCUCAAUAGAGUUAAAAGAGAAUUGUUGUUGAACUUCCCAUUUAGACUUUAUAAUUGAUAAUAUAAUUAAUUUUUUUUAAAUCAUGCAUAAGAGUUUGGCAAAUUGGAAUAAAUAAGCAUCAGAGAAUUUUGCAAGUUGAAUGUGACUUAAGACCACAUUCAUAGAAUAUUCUUUUGAUGCCUAAAAAAUGGUGCUCAUGCAUAUGCUUAGGGUUUGACAAAAACUCUAUUUUUCUCUUUAAUUUAAUGCUAUGUUGAAUUUUGUAGGAAUCCAAAUGAUGCACGCUUUCAUUCAACUUUCUCUUUCGAAAACAUCCAAGAGUACUUUAAAAAUUUUCUAAUACUACGAUAACAUAGAAAUAGUUUGUGUCAAGUUACCAAUUUAAUUAAUUUUAGUACACAACAAUGAACUUCUUGUUCUAAUUAGUUUUUAUGUUCUUAUAAGUUGGACGUUCUUGGAAUUAUACAUUAUUCAUACAAACGUGGUAUUCAAUGAAAACAAAUUCUUAGUGUAAAAAAGUACCAUUACGAUACUCCAACAACAACAGUAUUAUAAUUAGGGUUUUGGAUGAGUAAAAUGGAGAAAGAAUUCCAAUUAGUUUCUCUUUCGACUUCUUUCUUUUCUUAUUUUCCUUGUGUGGCGUUAAAGUCUUCUUGUUUUAUUUUUUUAAUGUGCCGCCCCCAUACACACCAACCCCACUUGGAACUUUGAUCAAUGUUAUUUCUAUUAUCAUACCUUUGUUGAUUAGUUCUUGUUAUUUCUUAUCAUUUUUCAAUUCCACUUUCAAAAUAUUGCUACACAGAUAUACUAACCAAAUUUGCAAUAAGUUUAAGGAAGAAGGGUAUCUGUUCCUUCAUAUAAUUUUUGUAUUAUUCUGAAGCUCAAGUAAAUAGUUUUCCAACUUCAAUAAUGAAAUUACACGGAUUAAUUAAGCAAACCCAGAAACAAAAAACAAAAGUUAUUGAUACAAAAUGAAAAAUACAGAGUUGGGAUUAAUUAGAAAGUGGAGUUCUUGGGAUUAUUCCGGGAGAUGACAAUAGGUUCAACAGCAACAGCAGCCUUGUUAUUGGUACUGUGGAUUGCUCCUUUGGGUUUGGCGGUAAGAUCGUCGGGUUUGGGAGGAACGACGGAGACAACGAUGUUGUUGGGGACGUCGGAGGAUGAUGAUGGACGAGGGUAGAGGAAGUCAGUGGGGAAGAACUUGUAUUGAAGACCUGCCAUAUAAUAAUAUAUGAAAGAAGAAGAAGAAGAAGAAGAAGAAGAAACAAAGAGAGAGAAUUUGGUGUUUGAUGAUGAUAUAGAUGUGUGCUUAUAAUGGGGGGCUAUUUAUUUAUAGGAAUUGUGUGGAAAUUUCAAGAAAUUUCUGAUCUAUACAAUGUGAAUAUAUGAAAAUAAUUCUCUCUAAUUUAGAAUAUUGGUUUACUUUUAGAAAGCCAUAUUGAGGCAUCAAAUUGGUAGAUCAAGUUGGAGCAUUUGUUUACUUUUAACUGUGGGCUAUGGGCGGUUGAGUAUGACGUUGGUCAUCACUCCUAUUAAUACAUCUUCUCAAAUACACAUUACCUUAUUCAAUAUUUAUUUCUUUAUCUUUAUAUUAUAUAAUUAUUUCUAGGAAACAUGAAUGAAACUUCCUUUCUUAAAACAAUGUUUUAAAUCUUGAAAAACUCUUAUUUUAUAUUAAGUGAUUAAUUAAUAUGUGCAAUUGUUUUAAAUAUUGUUUUUUUCAUUUUCCUUACUUUAAUCACAUCAAUUCUAUAAAUACAAAUCAUUUUCGCCUUUUCAAUCUUGGGUUUAAUUAAAGAAUCAAAUAAAUAAAUUCAAAGGGACGUGUAUGCAAUUUUAAAUUGUACUUUAUUGAUUAAAAAAAUAAUAAUAAAAGAGGUACAUAUAAAUUAAAAAUAGGAAAUGUUUAUGAUGGAAUGAUAUUAAAGAAAAGAAAAUGACAAAAAGGAAAUAUAAUACUAUGAGUAGAAAAGGAUUGUAAUGUUGAGGGUAAAAUAGUCAUUAUGAAAAAAAAAUUAAAGUUUUUGGACUCUAUAGUAUUUUAAUUUUUCCUCCUACAUCUUGUAAUUGGGCUUUACCAUAUAAUUUGGCACCCCAUGCCCUUUGGACCAAUUACUCCUUUCUUGUUUGGCUAAACCAAAUUAAUUGUGUUAGGCCUCAAAAGGAAAAGAAAAUUGUCAUCUUAGGGCCAAAAUAGUCAUUAUACAAAAAAUUUAAGGUAAAGAAUUCUCCACUCAUACUCUCUUUUACAAUAGUUUAGAUAGAUAAAAUUUCGACAUGAUCUAUAUUAGAUAUGUUUAGUGAAUUAGAUCGUGUAAACAAGACGUUAAAAACAACAAUUUAGUUUUAUAAUGAAAUCAAUGAUAAAAGAAGAAAAAAAGGUACCAAUUUCCAUCAAACACUUGUAUGAGUGGAUUGCAAUCUUUGUGUUGAUCAUGAUGUGUGUCGUGAACUAGACUAUGAUAGAAAGGUUUUAGUUUCUACUUAAUGCAUUACAUAUGUGAGUGUUGAAGAGUUCAUACUAUACUUACGGAAUCCUAAGUUUCACUACUUCCUUAUACUUUAUAUAUUAAUUUUAGAGAAGUUAGCCUAUAAACCUACAAUAUAUAUAUUUAUAGACUAUAAAGGAGAGCUCAUGCAUGUAAAACGAGCCUAAGAAGAAAGUGAGAGAACUUCAAACUUCGGGGAAGUCUAUAUUGAAUUUGAAAAGCUUAAAGAGUAGGUGAUAUAUGUUGCACCAAACUAGGAUGACGUGUAGUUUACAAAUUUUUGUGCGCCUUGUCUAUUUUUCUAAUAGUAAGUUAUUCUAUUUACCCGUUAUCACGAUACAUGAUAUUGGGCUUGACGCCUUUUGUAUUAUUGAAUUAAAUUUUCACUUUAAAAACAAAAUAUUAUUAUGUAGUUGUAAACAAGUUAAUUAGUAGGUUAUGGAGAGAAUGAAUGGUUUUGAGGAGAUGAGAAUGGUAAAGUGAUGAAGGUGACAAAUGGGUUGGGUUUGAGUGGGUGAGAUGGGUGGCUAUAUGCUUUGGGAAAUAUUGCCAAAACUUAAGAAGAUGAAUGAUAAUAUAGAAGAGAACAAAAAGUGAUCACGAGAGGUCCAUAAAUUGUUAUAUUAUAUCAGAAACUCCCUGCUAAAUAUAAAACUACUUCUUAUAACUACUUUUGUUGGAAAAGGAAGAAUUGAAAAUAGUGUUAAACCCUAAUGGCAGCAUGUGACCUUUCUCUGUCCCUCACCUGAUCUCUUUUGAUUUCUUCUCUGUUAGUUUUUUUCUUUGGAUUGGGAAUUAGAAACACCAAAAACACACAUGUGAGUUCACAUGCAUUACUGGUGUGAGGUCAUUCUCUUCCAUCAUUUUCUCACAAAAUGGCCUUUUAUUUGAUCCAAAAUUGUAAAGUAUAUAUGAUGCUUUUAAGUUGUUCUCAUCGUCUCAGUUCUGACUGUUUAUCAAAACUUAAAAAUGUAUGUGUAAUUGAAUGGUCGUUUAGAAGCAACAAAAAUAACUAUUAUAUUAAAGGUUCUUUUUAGCUAAAUACGGUAUCAUAUGCUUCUAACGACUUAUCUUAACUCAAAUCUUAAUAUGAAACAUUACUUUUAAACAUCAGUAAUUUUAAUUUUUUUAAAAAUUGGUUGGUUUUGAGAAAGAAGGUAAUUAACUAUUGCAAAAUAAUUGAAGUUCAUACAAAUAAUUAAAGCUAUUUAUAUUUGAUGAGACAAACAAGGUUUUCAAAGACGAAUAAACAAACUAAAUUCCAAAAAUGAUUUGCAAAACAACUUAUUAUAUUUUACUAAUUAGUAAUCAACAAUAAUGAUUAAGUGAAAUAUAGGCUACACCUCAUCUCAUCCUUGAACAAAAAUAUUGUUCAAUGCAUGUUUAAAAAAAUUAAUUAAAAUGUCAUGUGCCAUUUUAUACCUUCCCUUUUAAUUCUAAACCACACAAUAUUUUUUUAUAGCCUUUCUUCAUCCAUACAUCCAAAUGUGUGUGUAUAUAUAUAACAAUAAUGUACACAUUCUCAAAUGAAUGAAUCAAUCAAUACAAUCUCUCUCUCUCUCUCUUUCUCCCUAUAUUUUCUCUCUCUCUCUCUCAAUUCUAUAUAUAAUUUAGUUUUGAAAUUAUGGGAAGGAAGCAAGUAAUAGAGAUACUGUUGUUUGUAGUAAUGUUGCUGAACUGUGUUCUCUUAGUACACAAUCUUGUAAUAACCCUUUCUCCUAACUCCAUUUUUAUUUUAUUUGAUUUCUUACUACCAAUAAUUAUAUAUUUAGGGGUUUUUCUUUCUUUUUUUGUACAUAUAUAUAUAUAUAUAUAUAUAUAUAUAUAUAUAUGAAUCCUGUUGGUUUGGUUCAUUGUGUUUUAUAGGCCAUUAGUGAGGCUCCAACACCACAGCCACAGACUAGUUCCAAUUAUUCCAAUCCCAUGGUAUUUUUCUACAUUGUAAUAUAUGGUGAAUCCAUCCAUUGAUUGUCUUUUGUAUAUACAAAAAGUUGGAAAUUAGUGUAUGUAACUUCCUUUUCCCAUUUUUUUCCAAAUUUCAGCAUGGAGUUACUGAAGGCAGCCUUCAACCUCAAGGUAAAAACUAAAAACUAAUAAUGAAAGGAUUUUUCAUGUGGUCAAUUAUUUUAAACUAAGCAUUUAUGCAGAAUGUGGGGCUAGAUGCACAGGGAGAUGUUCAAAGACAGCAUUCAAGAAGCCAUGCAUGUUCUUUUGUCAAAAGUGCUGUGCCAAAUGCUUGUGUGUUCCUUAUGGGACUUAUGGCAACAAACAAACUUGUCCUUGCUACAAUCAAUGGAAGACUAAGAGAGGAGGCCCCAAAUGCCCUUAAUUACUUUCAUUUCCCAACUCCCUACAAAAAAAAAAACCAUCAUUAAGUUACUUUCUAAUCUCAUUUUCUGAACGUCCCUAUUUUUUCGUUAUACUUCUAAAAAGUGAUGGUUUUGACCUUUCAUGGAGGGUGACUUCUUAAAAGUAUAUAUUAUAUGGAAGGGUUAUUGUUGUUGUCUACACCUUCAUCAUAUAUGAUACCGAACUCAACUAACACUAAUUCUAGUAAAAAUAGGAUAGAUUGAUUCCACCAUUUUGCGUGUAAGGAAUUUGAGAGAAUUAAAUUGAAUAUAAUGAGAGCAUAAAACCUUAAAUAGGAUAUGUUAAUUGUUCAGAAGUUCUAUUUUUAGAAGUUAGAAUAAUCCACUCCAAUUGUUGUUUAUGUGAUUAUGGAGAAAGCAAGAUUAAUUGUCCAACAUGCAAGCGUUUGGCCAAUUUGUUUUAAGAAAGAAAAACAAAUCAAACACCAGCUAUUAAUCAAAACUCAAAUCCUAAUUAAAUUAAAUUGUUCAAUUUAUAAGAAGCAAUAUUCUUUACAAAACAAACAAUUAUUGCGUUAUGAUUAGAGGAAAUUGUCAAGACGAUUAACAAGUAGAAGGCUAACUUAAUUAAUGCGUGAAAAUCUAAGCAUGUGGCAUUAAAGGUUUGGUUAAAUCCUAAGCAAUAAGCAUGCAUCAAUAAAUUGUGCUUGAGACAACUUACCAACUCUCAUCAAAUUGCACUUAAGCAAGCAUCGAUACUUAAUGUAAUCUACCAGUGGCAUAUCUAUUUUUCUCCUCGAACUAAUUCUUAUUGUGGUGAAAUUCCUUUCUUGACAUCUCAAGCAUGAAUACUUAAUGCAACCUACCAUUAGCAUAUCUAUUUUCUCCUUGAAUUAAUUCUUGUGAAAUUCCUCACUGACAUCUCACCAGAGCCAAGCUAGAGCCACAAUUAGAUUGAUACAUUUCCGCUUUGCUUACAAACUUUUGAGACUGCAUGCUGACACUCCGACUGGCAGCCCUUUUUGUCGAUGAGAUCAAUUUAUGGCUGCUGGAGGUGAUGCAUAUGUUUUUUGGUGUUGGCAUGUUGACGAACUCAUUUUCUACAUGAACUGGAAGAGGCCUUCAAUUAAGGGUUCCUUGAUGUUUUUUUCACUUAGAUCAAUUAAAGAUCAUUUUUUUCAAGGACCAUAUUGAACUUCGAGGAGAGAGAAAAAAACUGCUUCCGUGCCGAAAGUUAUGCUUAUAGAGCCUGCAAAUUAUAACUCACAACAAUCCAACAUUUUCACAUAAGACCACAAAACCUGGAUGGCGAUAGAAUGCCAAAUGUUUAAAAUCACAAACAGAAAAGAAAAUAAAAUGUUACUCGAGAAUUUGACAACACACACACAUGAACCCUUUCUCUCGACAUGUACGAAACUCAUACAUAAAAUAAUAUCAACUCAUGAACAGAUUUCCCUCAAAACGUGAUUUUCAAAUAACCAAUCAAACUAGUGAUUUAGAAACUUGAAUCACAUGAGGCAUAAUCAAGUGAACGAGACAUUUCCCCCGUUUGAUCUUCCAUCUCAUUGCAGAGUGGAAAGGAAUAUACAUGAAGCAGAAAUGCCAAACCCGUAUGUAGUUCCUUUCCCUAAUGGCGGAAGCAUAUAGUUCUGUCUAUCUACUAUUUGCAUUUAUGAGAAGAGAGAUUAUAGUCAUCCCUGUUUGGCAUUACAAACCUCUGUCCCGCAAAAGUAUUAGACAGUUGAGAUGUCAACUCGGCUUUUAUGAAGCUGAAAUGCUGGGGUGAUCCAGCUUCCACAACUACAUUGGAUGCCUGACCAAUUAAAGUAUCCAAGACGAGCUUCACAAUGAGCACAAGAUAGUUUCCCUUCCAAUGCACCUUCUUCAACUGGAUAAUAAAAGUAAAAUCAUUCAGCAUUGGAUUUUUUAUACAUGGAGAUUCUAUGGAAUGUUUUCUCAUGGCUUGAACAUCAAGUGCAUUUUUUAAUGGACUUUCUAAACGUUUAAAAACUUGUUUAUUAGUGAAAAAAUAAAAAGUGUUUAUAAACAUUUAGAAAGUCAAUUCAAACUCACCCUAAAUUUUCUAGACCUUAACAGCCUUUUUUCCACUAGGACAAAACAUUAGUCCAAGUAGUCUAUUGUGUGCUGCAAGGCUGUUAAUUUAAUCCAGCUUUUCAAUGACUGCGUCUAAAUUAUCAGAUAUUACAAGAUAUGGCAGAGGUUGCAGGAUUGAUUUACCUCCUGUCAUCCACCGAAGGGGCUCAACAAAAAUGGAUGAACACUCAGGUUCCUCUGACUUAUUAAAAGGGUUUCCACUUUUUCUCUUAUACCAGUCAAAGGACGUCUCACCUUCCCCAGGAAUGUGAUCCACCACAUUUUCCAGCAAGGCGACCAGUCUUCGACAUUUCUUGCAGCGGUAUGCACGUGCAUGGGAAAAAUCUACUUGUUGAGAUGACUGUACCUCUGAAGCAACUUCACGGGACAAGCCUGGAUCUGCUCCAAGUUUAGAAAUGUUGAUUUUUUCCCCACGAUUAUAGGACUCACCUGAAGAGGCAAUAAAUAAUAUAAAUGAAUAAGCAACAAGAAAAUUCACCUAUAAAACCUCGUAAAAAUAAAUUCACAAAGGAAAAAGAUAUCACCCACUAGAGGUCCCGAUGCAUGAGACCACACUAAAGGAGGUAGACGUCUCAAAGCAAAUGCCUAACACAGACGUGUGCUCAAACAUACAUAACAAUUAUUAUAUGAUUGGAAAAACCAUUAACAAAGUAACAUUUAGGUAAAAACAAUUGGGAACAACGGAGGUGACACUCUGUUAGGGGAUGCUUCAGUUUGAUCCUAGGGGUAAGGAUGAUCAUUUCUUAAGUCCUCAUCCUUCCAAGGACUUUUUCUUGUGGCUCAACACUUAGUUAAUCUUCCGGAAUCAGGAAUGACCUUGACGAGGCCAGGUCCAGGAAUAAGUACCAUGGUGGCUCAACACUUUUCAAACAUCUUUUGAUGAUGAUGCAUAAUUAUUUAGAGGCCCUUUGAUAUGUAUACGAUCAUUUCAUUUUUGUUUACAAAUCUUUUGACUUGUAAAUGAAGUUCAGGACACCAAAUAUGUAAAUUCUUUUGCUGGCAAAAAUCUUUUAUGCAUGGCUCCCUGUCUUCGCCAAAAAAGGUGUCCUUUGACUCAAGAAAGCUGUUGUGAUAUAGUGAGAUCAGUGGGUGGCAAUACCAGAGGCAAUGAUCUUGCUCUUUCAACUCCUUAAAUUCAGACUUCCAUCAUAUGUGCUGGACUCAAGAUAACUAAAACUCAGAAUUUAAGAUAACAUCCGAACCAAAUAAGUGUGUGUAUGCACGUAUGUAUACCUUGACUAAUCACAAACCAACUGUAGGACCAUACAACAUACAACUGUCAAGAAAUUCUAGGAUUUUAUCAAGUUUGUUACAAGAUAAAUAAAAGCAUAUAAUUGAAUGUUGGGGGGAGAGAGAAGAAAUAGGCCAAACAAAUAAUAUAGAAAAUCAAAAUUUUUAAGAAGAAAAAUAAAUGAAUUGUAUAACAGCAGUAUGCAUCCAAACAAUUGAACUAGAUUGAAACAAUUCACCAGGGGGCAGUGAAACAAGCAAUACAUACCCAAUACUUUCAGGCGAAAACGCUUGUAUAUAGGACUGGCAUAAUCAACCUUGAAACCCAUUUUCUCGAACAGUUUUAACUGGAAAGAAUAUAGACUAGUAAUUAGCAAACUAGAACGGCUUAAUUAAGGCAUUGAUUCUGCACAAGACCUUUCAGUAACUUAUGAAUUAACAAUAUUUCCAAGAGCACCUGCUCCAUAAAUCCAUCAUUGGGGCUGACAAAUUCAUUGCUUUGUCGUAAAGAAUCAAGCGCAUCUGCAUCAAUGGAUAGUCAUAAAAGAAAAACUAGCAAUUGAUUGGGACCAUAAGCAACUACGUAUACACUGGUUCAAGCAAAUGAUGGUUAUUCACACCUUCUAGAGAUAGCUGUUCGUUUCUCAUAAGAUAUGCUGUGAUGAUGGCAGCACUGCAACGAAUAAAUGAAAAUGAAUUAAAUAAAUAUUUGAUAUCAAGAAAAUUGGAAAGAUCAUCAUAUAGGACUGGAUUAAUCUAUGAUAGAGCAUGAAAUAUAUUUUAAUCAUUCCUAAAUUUUAACUUCAAAGAAUUUGGUACAUCGCUCUUGGAUGGGGAGAAUCUUGACUGCUGCUAAAGAAUAACUCUAGUAUCAUAGUACCAGGUCAUUAGAGAUAAUCAAGAAAAGACCACAGGAUGCUUCUGUCCACUGCCAAUAUUCUCAGGCAUGUUGGUCGAUGAAAUUCAACACAUUCAAAAAUCUUUGGUGCUCCCUUGGAGACAAUGAACUUCUGUAUCAAGUUCUUGCCUUUCUUCUCCUUAUGGGAAGUUUAGUUCUCUCUAGCUCAAUGUCUUUAGAGCCAUUCUCUACAAUUUGUGGUUGGCAAGGAAUAGGCACAUUUUCUUCAUGCUACUUCUGAAAGGCCCUCUAUAUUGAAGACAUACGAGAAAGGGUAGAGUGUGGAAUUUCAAGUAGUGAGAUGAGCCGGAGAGGUCAUCAGCUCUCUCACACUAAGUUGCGUGCUGGGCUAUUUUCUGUUAUCUUGAAGUUCAUACUGAAGAACUGAACUUGGGGAUCGCUCCAUUAUCUCCUCUGUGCUGGGUUGUUUCCUCCUCACAAUUUUUUUUAUAUCCGUGAGUGUUUGGGCCAGCUUAUGCACACCUCAACUAAUACCACAUGGCAACCCACCUGACCCUACAACAUUUGGGUGUCAAGGAAGCUCGUAGGAAAUGAAUUCUUAGGUUGGUGACCACCAUGGAUUAAACUCAUGACCUCUCAGUUAGUUAUUGAGACUAUGUCUCCUUUUUUACCACUAGGUCAGCUCAUGAUGGUUUGUUUUCACCUCACAAUACAAUCAAAUAGUAAGAAUAUGCUUAAAAUAGCAUGUGUUGACUUGCUCCUAGAAAUGCUCACAAAGUGGUAACUAGUACAUCCAAUUUUGGAGAGGUUAGGAAAAGUGGCUAAAAACAAAAAUUUGAAGAGAUGGUAGGAGAAAGUGGAAACAGAAAGAGAUUAAUGAGAUAAAAGAAGCUGAAGAAAGGCUUACUUGUGAUUUUCAAGAGAGCCAACACUCAGCGGUUAUAACCCUAUUACAAGUAUGCAUGAAACAGAACUCCUGUGAGACCCCUAUAUCAAAGAUAUAUGCAAGCAAGAGUAGUGAAGGGAAUUCUCCUACUGAUGGUUAGCAGCAGGAACAUGCUAAGAGCAUACAAAUGGACUGUAGUCUUAAUAGGGAAAGUUGGUUUUUGGGGUGUAGAAUUUAAGGUAGUCAAGUGGGUAGAUGAGGUUACCAACCCUCUAAAAAUAAGAUAGGUAGUUGCCUAUUUUCUGUUAUCUUGAACUUUGGAUCAAUUUAUUGAACUUGAAAAUUCUCUGUGUUUCCUCUGUUUUGUGUUGUUUUCUCCUUAUAUUUCAAUGAAACAGUAAGGGAAUCCUUACAACUUCCUUCAGAAUAGUUUUUGUUAAUCACUCUCUUCAAUCGUGACUUCCAGCAUAAUUUUGGGAUAUGCCCUCAUGUCAUCUGGUAUGAACCACAUAAUUUUACCAGAUGGAAAGAUAAUAACAAUAGGGUUGAUAACAUUUUGAGAGUAUCAUUUCCCUCCCACAAUUUCCUUUUCUUUUUAUGAGAAACACGACUUUCAUUGAGAAAGAAUGAAUCCCGCUUAAGAAGGGAUUCCAACUAUACAAAAUCAUGUUCAUAGGAUAAUUACAAAAGAUCUUCGUCGAAGCCCAACGGGAGACAUGAAAGCGAACAAGAGACCAUCAGCCUCCCACAAUUUUUUAUCCAAUGUUCGUGUAUCUCACUCAGUUCCUCCUUCCUCUAUUCUUUUUUUUAAUGAGAAACAGAAAUUUAUGUUCAAAAGGAGACAAAAGUACAGCCUAAGGCAACUAAGGUUCCCACUCCCUGCCAAAACUAACAAAAGAAAAGUCUGCCAAUUGUUAACUAACCCAAAGUUUGUAAUUACAAAAGAAUUUUGGGCAAUUUGUACAUCUCCAAGAGCCAAUGUCUUGCACCAAAAGCUAAAAAGAACCGAAGAGAGAACUUAUCUUUGAUCACCUGGUUGUUCCUUUCCUGCACCAAAGAAGAGAAUGUUUUGCACAACACCAAAGCACUCUUCCCAACCACCAAUGAAAUACCGUCAAGAACCUCCAAAAGCCAAUUAACAAUCUUUUUUGGAAGGCAAAAAGCAAUGCCAAACUCCUUAAAUAACGUAUUUGAGCUAUUAGCCACAAAAUGGCAGUGGAGAUGAAACAAGCGGUCAAGGUUUUCUUCCUCAUGUAAACACAAACAGCACAUAGAAGAAGACCUCACCCAAUUUUGAAGUUGCCUUUGGAGUUCACGUGGGUGUUCAAACUUCUAUAAGCCAAUGACCAAAGAGAAACUCAACCUUUUUUUGGGAUCUUGAAUUUCUGUUUACCAAAGGAUAGCACAGUGUCUUCUCCCAAUUGGUUAGCAUCAAAAAGGUGGAUUUAGCAACAUAUGAGGCGAGUGAGUCAAGCUUCCAUCUCAUUGUAUCGUGAUCAAUGCUCACAGCCCAACUAUUUAGAAACUCAACCAAAUUAACUAAAUUCCCUAAUUCCCUAUCAAAGAGAGGUCUUUUAAUCCCCAAGUCCUCAGUUUUCUGUCCACUGUCCCAACAAUUAGCAAUGGAAGACCCAUUCUUCGAGGUAUUUGAAUAAAAAUUUGGGUAUUUAUUCCACCCCACGUCAAUAACGUUCCCGCAUUCUUCUAUCGUUCCCCGAGACAAACUCCAGAAAGCUCAAAAUAGAUUUUUGUCCUUUGUGUUAUUUGACUAAAGCCGCUGUCUAUCUUUCUGAUUUUGUAAUUUUAUCAAUUUUUGUCCUCAAAAUUGUGGGAGGUGGCUGCACCAGAUGUCUUAAAAUGUUCCAUAUCUCACAUUCAGCUAGUUUUCAAAUAAUUCAUGUUCAAAAUUUGGGAUGCUUUAUUUGUUAUGCACAACCUUUUUUUAUAUGAUUGUAGUACCUACUUAUGAUCUUCAUAACACCCAUAUCCAGGUAGAACAAACAACUAAUAUUAACAGAAAAUUUAUCCAUAAUUAACGAUGAAAAAUCACAGUACCUUCAAAAUAACCUAGCAGAGAUACCAUAUCACAUAUCCAAAGCAAAAAAACGAGUGGUUAAAAUAAAAUGAAAUGAUAAGUUGCGUAUACCUUCUAGAUACUCCAGCGAAGCAAUGCACCAGAACAGAUCCCUCCUUUCUACCCCGCUCAAUAAAAUCAUAGCACACAUUCAAAUAAUCCAACAAAUCCUCGUUUUCCAUAUCUCUCAGCGGCACUGCCAUCCUCUCCACCUUCAAACCAUUUCCAGCAUAUUCCAGCGAGUACAAGAGCUUCUCAGGUGAUAAAGAACUCUUCGACCCAUCAACAUAGUCACUCUCAGAAGCUAAAUCACACCCAGUCCCACCCACAUACACCUUCUUAAUUUCCUUGCUGGGGAUUAUCAAUCCACUGCGCCAUUCGGAAAAAAACGAAAUCGACUCAGAACUAAGAACCGAAAGCAUGUGUGUGAUAUCUGAGGUACCAAGCUGUAGAACUUCUGCUGCAUCACCAAUAUUUCCAAUGAAAAGCCUCUCACGUACAAGGUGAGGCAUGACAAUA
RNAcentral lists this long non-coding RNA (96058 nucleotides) under Cucumis sativus (cucumber). Its description in RNAcentral is "long non-coding RNA (CSAT_LNC001291)". Lineage: Eukaryota; Viridiplantae; Streptophyta; Magnoliopsida; Cucurbitales; Cucurbitaceae. The record is from RNAcentral.